RNAcentral lists this long non-coding RNA (150922 nucleotides) under Citrus maxima (pomelo). Its description in RNAcentral is "long non-coding RNA (CMAX_LNC001224)". Lineage: Eukaryota; Viridiplantae; Streptophyta; Magnoliopsida; Sapindales; Rutaceae. The record is from RNAcentral.
UCUGGGGCCAAUGUAAGUCCAAUUUGCGCAAGCUCUUUAUGCACCACAGCUCUUCUGGAAGCUUUCUCAAGUAAGCACAUGGGUUGACAAUUAAGCUUUCAAGUUUCGGCAUUGCUCCAGCCCCCAUCGUCCACUCAUCUAGCCAAUACAUUGAUUUCAGGUGCAAAACCUUAAGUUCGGGAAAGCUACUCAAGCCAACACAAGCAAGCUUUCUUCCUAAAUACGAGUUCUGCUUCAGUUUCAGCACUCGAAGGCGUGGAAGAUUUUCCAGAAUUGGCAUGGGAUCCUCCAUUAGCUCAGUAUUUGAUAAGCUCAGUUGGAUCAGACUUGGGGGAAAUUGGUAUUCAGACUGGACCAUCCGUGAGGGCUUGCUCUCAUUCACCAGCUUCAAGCAUUCAAGUUUGUGGAGUUCGCAAAGGCUUUUGGAAACCCCAGAUUGAUAGUAACUCAAAUCUCCAGAUAUCCGAAGAGUCUGAACACUUGGUAGUCUGCCCAAUAUAUCAGGAGUACAACUACUAGGGUUUAAAGCUGAUAUGAAAAUGAGUUUUUUCAGAGAGCUAGAAUAAUUUUUUGGAGGUGCGGGCAGAGUGAUAGAACCAAAGUUUAGAUGCAUGAGUUUUUGCAUCAUCCAAAUAUCCUCUGGUGACUGAUCUAUGUAGCUAGAUGGCAUUUCUAGUGUUUCAAGGUUUAAAAGGGUGCAUAGCAGUGAAGGAAGGCAUUUGAGCGAAGGGAUAUUCAAUUUCAAAUACUUCAAAAGAUAUAAAUUUUCUAAUGCGGGUGGAUAUUGGUCCAGGACUGCAGAACCCAUGUUCAAUACCCGAAGGUAUUUGAACCUUUUAAAAAAAUUCUCGCAAUCUUUCGGAUUAAGAUGAUUGCUUUCUGAACUGUGAUUCAGAAAUGAUUGGAGAUACAUGUCAGACUGUUGUAAAAAAAAGAACUCAAGCAGAUCUUCCAAAAUGAAGCACCGUUUAGCAUUUUCAAUUGAUUCCCCUAUCCAUGCAGGCAUUCGGACAAAUCUCGUCUUCUCUGCCACCAAACCCAAUGAAGUAAAUACAAAACUUGGAACAUAACACGCUUUAAUUGUGCCUCCGGCUCUUCUCGUACUCACUUUAAUGAAGCCGCGAUGGAUUAGUUCUUUCAAGUAAUGUUCGGCAGUUUCUUCACCGUUGUAUGGUAUGAAACCUUCAGCUACCCACAACUGAUAUAAUUGCCUCGUGGAUAUCUCGAUGCCUGGAGGGAAGACACACAAAUAGAUGCAGCAGACUUUCAAGUGAAAAGGUAACUCCAUCACAGAGAAAAUUUGUCUCCAUACUGUCGGAAUCGCUUCGCUUUGAAGAUAAUUUUCUAAUGGCAUACUUCCAUAGUGUAGGAUGAAAAAUUGCCAGGCCUCAUGCUUUAGUCUGAUCAAUGGUCCUCCAACGAGCACUGAACCAUGCCGAAUCUUCUCUCCAUUUUCCAUUUCCAACGACUCAAGGAGGUCUGGAUCAGCGGCCAAUAUUAAUACUCUGCUUCCAUUCUCAUUAUCAGGGAGAACUUCUUCGAGAUCAUCCCAUAUCUCACGGUCAUUGAAGACGUCAUCAAGCACAAUAAAGUACUUCUUGUUUGUUAGGUAAUCUCGAAGAAUAGAUUUCUUCAAUUGAUAAUCUUCACCGAUAAUUACACUAACCCGAGCUGGAGGCAUCACAGACUUGAUUAUGCCAUCCAAUAUCUUGCCAAAAUCAUAACGUAGAGAAACCCUGACCCAAGCAUGACAGUCAAAAUAGAACUUGACAUGAUUACUGUUAUAAGUAUGUGCAGCAAAAGCAGUCUUAUCGAAGCCACUGCUGUCGAGAAUUGCAACCACUGAAAGCCCAGAUGGUCCCUCAAUCAAUAGAUCAAAAAACUUCUCUCUGCCCCUUUCAAAUUCACUGAUAUCGAGCCGAGGUUGUCCCUCACUCAAUAGGCGAAUGAUUUCGUUACGUUUUUCACUGAUAUCAAAACCAUUGUCGCCGGGUGGAAGUUGUUGCGUCCGAUUUCUAAUAUCAAUGAUUUCACUGAUAUCAAAACCAUUAGUGCUGCUUUCACUUUCGUUUUCACUGUUUUGCUGCUGCAUAAUGUUGAUGAAGAAUGUGUCAAUGGCUUCCUCAGAUUCAUGGACAAAGUGAUUGAUGUCCUUAAGAAUUUCCAGAAUGUCUGAUCUUUUAACGUCUUCUUCAUCACUUUCUUCUAAGUCCAACAGUUGCAAUAAAGGCAAAGACAUAUUGGAUUCAGCGAAUUCUUGUCUGAAUAGUUGAGACAAAAUCCGAGCCAUGUCAGCUUCAUAGUUUCCCGACAGAGUAGUAGUAAUAAUUUCAGACUCCGUAAGAAGGUUUUGAAAAAGCGGGGCUAAAUUUGUUGAAUCAGUCAACGUUAACGUGCCUUCUUCACCUGCUAACACCCUUUUCAACCUCUCACAAAAUAGUCGGAGGUGGACGUCCAGCAUAUCUCCUUCUCUCUGUAGCACCCAGAGGUAUUGUUUUUUGCUCCAAGAAAUAUUAAAAGGAUUGGUUCUAUCUCAAAGUGGUUACUGGUGUAAAAUUAAACGCCAUGGGAGAAUUUGAAGGGAAGAUGCCAAGGAACUGGCGAUGUGGCUAAAUUACACAAAUACGGCAUUAUUGCUCAUUUUUAACUCAAAAAAUUGAUACCAAGACGCUUGCCUUUUGAAAAGAAGAGGUAUCCAACCUUUAUCUUAUUUAAUUACUACCAUGACAUGAUUGAUGGUGCUUAAAUCAAUUGUUUCUUUAUUAAUUUAAAGAAUUUUUCAUUAAAAAAAUUAUUUUAAUAUCAAAUACCCUUCAAUGGCAUAACUGCCGCAGGCCCAGAAACAGGAUUAAUUAAAAUUUUUUGAAUUUUUGGGCAAGGAAAGAUUUGAAAUUCUAGUUAUGCAACCCAAGAGGGAGUGAAUUAGAAUUCUAUAAAUUAUUUAAUUUAUAAAGAAAACCUUAAUGCAAAUAUAAACCAAAUUCAAAGCAAUAACAAAUAAGGUGAUCACAAUAUAAAAAGAUAAGGGAAGAGAGAUUCAAACACAUAGAUUUUUACUUGGUUCGGCCAACCUCGCCUACGUCCGCGCCUCCAAGCUUUCCGAGCUUAAAGAUUCCACUAAGCAAGCCUCCAAGGCUUCAAAUGCUUACACUUGACUUCCAAGGUGUCAAUAACCUUUACAACAAGAGAUUAUCCCAAUCUCUUUAACCCAAGUGUAUCCCAACACUUACAAUCACUCAAAACAAAAGAUUACAAAUUUGUUUUGACUCUCACAAUAUUUAAGAUUACACAAUGAUGCCCAAUAUGUCAAUAGAUGAAGCAAGAAUGUGUUCAAAGCUCUAUGAAGAUUGUAUUCUCGAGUAUAAGCUCAAUAGUCGUGUUGUGAUCAAUCUUGUUUGAAUUUGAAUGAGCUUAUUUAUAUUUGGAGCUGAAAAACUAGCCAUUACAAACUGUCGGCCCGAAAACGGUUCGCUGUUAACCAUUAACGGUUAACCGUUUAGGCUGGUCAAAAGUUACCGUUGGGCCAAAUUUCAAAUAAACGGUUUGCCGUUUAGGAUUACCCCUUCGCCGUUAAAUUCUAGAGACCUGCAAGAUGAAUAUCAGUUAUCCGUUUACAUUAAACGGUUAAAGAUUUGCAUGAAGUGACUUCUCUGGAUAUUAUCGGUUAACCGUUUGUAAUAAAUGGUUCGCCGUAUGUUUCCAGUAACCUGCAAAACAAUUUAGCCUUAUCCGAUUUUGUUAAACGGUGCCAGAAGAGUACAACCUUCAAUUCUGGAUUUUAUCGGUUAACCGUUUAAAUAAACGGUUCACCGUUAAAUUCCAGUAGCCUUCCCAGCUUUUUGUGUUUUCCAUUUUUCUUAAUCGGUUAGAGCUUAGGCAAUAUGUUGCUCUCUGGUUUUAAUCGGUUAACCGUUUGAAAGAAAACGAUUCACCGUUUAUUUCCAGAAUCACAUUUUAAACCAGAUUUUGCAGAAAGUCAUUUUCUAAUUUGAAAGUCCAUCUUUUAUGAAUAUGAUUGGAAUGAUUAUAAGGCUUUCAUUUAUUAAGGAAUAGCUCCAACAUUUUAAUCAAAAACCAUUUAAAGUUUGUUAUCAUCAAAAUCAAUAUUAUUAACAUAUUCAUGUUAACAAUAGUAGUAUUAAACAUCAGAAAGCUAAGGUUGUUCUGUUAAUGAAUUGAUAUUGACAUAAUUUUAUUUUGGUUUCCGGGGAAAAAAAAACAUUUGUUGACAAGCAAGAAAAUAUUUUUAAAUUUUACAAUUUAUUAUACAUAUUUUAUCAUAUUACAAUAAUUUUAAUAAUAAAUAGAAACAUAAUAUUACAAUAAAUAAGUUAAAGUUUAAAUUAUUUUAAAUAUUAUAAAAAAUAAUUUUAAUAUUAUUAAUAGGAAGACAUUUUGUUAAUUUUAAAACCUUUUUAACCCAAAGGUUUAUUUAAAAGCUUUAUAAUAAACAUAAAUAUAAGAUUAAAAUAAAUAUCAUAAUUUGAAAUUUUUAGUAUUAUUUUAAAUAUUAAAAAUACUUUAAUAUUAUUAGCCUACUACAUUGAUUUUAUUAUUUAUAUUAUAUUCAUAUUGAUUAAAACUUUUUAAAGUCAAUUUUUUAGUCAGUAUAUUCAAGAGGUAUCAUAGUUAAAGAAAAGAUUUUGGUGUUAUUUUUUGAAAAUUUUAAGGUUUAAAUGAUAAUUUUUUAAAAUUUUAAGGAUGUAGGUAUUAUUUUUCCGACAAUUUAUUUUAUUUUUGAGGAAUUCGAUGAGAAAUAUCAUGAGAGAAGGUUAAUUUUACAUUCUUUACCUUUAUGAAAAAAGUGGAAACCAAGAAGUAUUCAAUUUUGUAUUUUUUGUUUGUAAUUCAAAAAAUGCAUCCACCAAACAAUCUUAUCUUGAUUUUUUCACUUUAUUCAUUUUCGAUCCUUUAAUCCAUCUAGUAUCUGCAGCCCCCGCCAUUUUUACAAAUCUCCAUCCGACAUCUACCCUAUCAAACAAAGUUGAUGGAAAUUGAACAAUUGCUUUUUGAAGUGGACCCAAUAAGUGGACAUUUUAUUAAUAUUAAACAAAGUUGACGGAAAUUGAACAAUUGCUUUCUAUGAGCCACUUAUUUUUAACAUUAGCGAUCUUAUCUGGACUACUCCAAUUAUUGAUGUAACUCCAAUGGUUGCAUCAACAGUUGAAUGUAAGAUAGUGUUAGCUCUUCUUUGAGAAUAUAGAGUGAUCUUUCUUUGUUUCUCUGUUGCGACGUGCUACUAUAAAUUUCUUUACCUUGCAGUUUAUAUAGUCUUGCUGUUAAUGAAUUCGCGGAGGCAUUAUUGAUCCAAUCUCAGUGAAGUAAUUGUGGGUGGAAAAUGAAUAAAGGGUAAGAGAACGUAGCUCAAGUGCUGAAUUGGCUAUUAAAGAAGAGUGUCACUUGAUCACAAUCACAUUGAUGCACAACUCACUCGAGGCAAAUUUCAUCUAUAUAUGUACUGCAAAUUCAGCCAAACCAUACAUGCAGGAACAAAACUAAAAUGUAGUUCUAAUCAAAACUGUAAUUAAAGCUACAAAAGGCUUGCUCAAUCCAAAAACUUAAAAGGAAGAUUUUACUCAAGUUUGUCCCCAAAAGACAGCUGAAUUGAAAAAUAUUGACUAUUGAAUCAAUGCUCAAUUACAUUUGAAAUGGAAAGCUUGGCUGCAGUUACGAUGUUUUUCCCUCUGAUUUUCUUCCAAAACAAAUUCAUUUGUAAACAAUAACGGAAGUAGCAAUAAUUUAUUCAUCAAAGAAAAUAUCCAAGUUUUCAACUAACAAAUCCUUUUGUCUAAACUAAAAAAACUUAUAUUUUUAAAAUCUAUCUACAAAAUGUUGGAAAUAAAGAGUGAUCUAUCAACUCGGUAAAUAAACUCAUACAUAAUGUUUACAAUAAUGAUAAAUUACAUAAUAAUUAUUAUAAAGAAUCAUAAAUUAGAAAAAUAUUUUAAGAUCAAAUUGCCUUCAAUGCUGAAUUACAUUUGAAAUGGAAAGCAUGGCUGCAGUUACGAUGUUUCCCCCUCUGAUUUCCUCCAAAACAAAUUCAGUUGUAAACAAUAACGGAAAUAACAAUAAUUUAUUCAUUACUCAAAUUUUUUCAACUAACAAAUCCUCUUGUCUAAACUAAAAAAACUCAUAUCUCUAAAAUCUAUCUGCAAAAUGUUGGAAAUGAGGGGUGAUCUGUCAAUUCGGUAAAUAAACUCGUGCAUAAUGUUAACAAUAAUGAUAAAUUACAUAAUAAUUAUUAUAUAGAAUCAUAAAUAAGAAAUAUUAAUCAUUUCACAAUCUAUUACGUAAGUAAGAUAAAUUUCAUAAUAAGUUAAGUUAUAAUGUAAUAAAUAUUUUCAAUAUGCUAAGAUAGGAUUGGUCCUAUCUCAAAGUAGUUAGUGGUGUAAAACUGAUGGUUGUCGAAGCCAGCAAAAAUAAAUACCUACUCUAAAUAAAUUGUGUAUAGUGAUUGAGCAGGGUCGUGUCCACAGAGAUCGGUAAUUAUUUAAAUCAUUUUAAAAUGUAAAAUGCAAAAUGGGGGAAUUGUUGACAAUAAUAAAAAUCAAAUUAAAAUAACAAGAAUGUAAAUUAAAAUUGUAAUUCAAAUUGGGGAAAAAGUAGUAUUAGACUUCAGAAAGCUAAGGUUGUUAUGUUAAAGAAUUCAUAUUGACAUAAUUUUAUUUUGGCUUUCGGGGAAAAAAAUAUUUGUUGACAAGCAAGAAAAUAUUUUUGUAUUUUACAAUUUAUUAUACAUAUUUGAUCAUAUUAAAGUAAUUUUAAUAAUAAAUAGACACAUAAUAUUACAAUAAAUAAAGUAAAGUUUAAAUUAUUUUGAAUAUUAUAAAAAAUAAUUUUACAUUUGAAAUGGAAAGAGUGGUUUUAAACACCAGAAAGCAAAGAUUAUUCUGUUAGACAAUUGUUAUUGACAUAAAAAAUAAUUUGGUUUUCAAGGAAAAAAAACAUAUUUGUUGACAAGCAUGAAAUUUUUUUUUUGUAUUUUACAAUCUGUUAUUACAUAUUUUAUCAUAUUAAAGUAAUUUUAAUAAUAAAUGUAUAUGUAUCUAGAUUGUAACUAUAUUUUAAAAAAUAUAAUUUUUUUAAUUAUUGCACAGAAAAUGUAGAAAAAUGUCUAUGAAAUAAUAUUAUUAGGACUAAGAAAAAAUAUUAUUUUAGAUAAGUUAUAUAUUUAUUAUUGAAUGAAUAAUUUAUUAAUUUAUUGAUAAAUAAAUAUUUAUUAAUUUAAAGAGAGAUUUUUUUUGGUUUUAGUAAUAGUUUGUUUGUUACAUGUACACACUUAUAAAGAAACACAAAAAGUGCUUGCUCAAGUCAAUAGUAUUUGCUUUAAUCGCUACUGUUCAUAAUAAUGUAGCUAAGUUAGGAAAUUUGUAAUUAUACUAUGGUUCUGUUUUGUAACGCCCAAAUUUCUAUUAUUUUAUUUUAUUUUUAAUGGAAUUUAUAAAUGGCGUUACUGCCCUUAUAAAAAGGGUUAUUCAUGGGAUAAUUUUUAGGAAAUGGUUAUUUUUCCAAAUUCAAUAGGGUUUCUUAAGACUCCCUAUAAAUUAAUAUUUUUUUUCCCUUCGAUACUCGAAGUCCACGACGAUUCUUCUUCUUCUCUGCUGCUCAUUAUGCUCCUACCCAAACCCUAGGAUUCAAACUUUUGCUUAGGAGAGAAUCAAAGCGAUUGGUGUUGGAGGUGAUUGAGGCUCUUAGAGGCUUAGAGGUCUGUUAAUUCAAAUUCUUUUGUCGAGAUAAGUAAUUUCAUUCCUAAUAUACUGGAUAUGUAUAAGUAUUUUGAUGUUAUUAUAAGAGUUUUUAUACUUCUUAGAAGAUUAAUAGAUUUUCAUACCAAAAUCAGUUUAUGAAAAUGUUUUCAAAUCUGAAUUCUUUUGAUAAAAUAUUUUAUAAAUGCGUUUUAAUAUGUAAAUUAUUUUAUGACAUGACUGCCUUUUAUAAUUUUGUCUAUGAAAUAUUUUUGCAAGCCUAAAUUGUUGCUAUAGACUUUCAUGAAUCUAAUACGAAUGUUUUGUGCCUAUGUAUGAUUUUAAUUAUUUAUGACUGUACGGGGGCCACCUCUUGAGACUAUAUGGGGGCCACCUCUUGAGGGCCAAAGCGCCGCAAAGUGCCACAUAUAGUGCAAAGUGCCACGUAUAAGUCAUUAUGUUUUGGCUCAUUGUCCGUAGUUAUUCUGAUUCUAAUUCUGAUUGUAUUAUACGAUAUAUUUGUUCUGGACUAGUACUAGGUUUAUGUUCUAAGUGUGCACACGAUAUUCUGAUUCUGUUUCUGGUCAGGUCACCGAGACUAUAGGUGAUACUAUGUGACAUGAGCUAACUAUCUGCUUUCUGUAUACACUUUAUACGAUUUGCUUUCAUAAUUGAUUAUUCUUUUGAUACUCUGAAUUACCAUGAAUUUAUGUUAUAUAAUUGAAAUAUGUUGUUUUAUGAAGUUUAUGAGUUAUAAUAUAUGUUUUUGAAUAAAAGAAGGCUUGCAAUAUUUUUGAUAUCGAUAGGCCUAGUGUAUUAGGAAUGAUUUUACCUACCGAGUUGACAGCCCACCCCUCGUUAUUACUUUUUGCAGAUUAAGUUCCUUUUAAGAGGUAUGCGUAGCUUUGGAGUUAGAGAUUUCGUUUCCGUUUGCUAUUUGAAUAAGAAGAGGAAUAGACUCAUGUUUCUUUUUAGUUUAUUUCUGUUAUGAACUUGUAAUUUGGAGUUUGAGACUUUUGUUAUUGUUAUGUUUUGGAAGAGAUUAUUUAGUGUUAGACGUAUUAAUUUGUGGAUUUAUUUGAAUAAGAAUUUGAGGUAUUUGAGUUUGGAAUUUAUAAGUAAGGAUUACGAUUUGUAAGUAACCUCCUUCUUCAUGUGCUCCGCACGUGUUAGAUUUGGGGUGUCAUAUGUUUCGUAUAACUUUUGAAGUAGAGCUUAUUUAAAUAGAGUAUUCGUCAAUAAAGCUUCUAUAAAUAAAGAUUUUACUAAAAAAAAUUUAGUUGUUUGGUUGUCAAUGUCCAAAUUGACGAACUUUUGUUCCUUUGCUAACAUGUAUUUGUUUUAUUUAAUAAUAGAAGUUUGGUUUACAAUUACACCACCUUCAAAUCAGCUGAGCAUUUUUGCAACCGGUCACAUUAUACAUUAUACUAAUAGCAUCGGCAAGAGUUUUCGAUUGUUGCAACUUGCAAUGGACGCGAUGGGAGAAAAUGAGAAUCUUGUUUAAUUGCAAUAUUGACAAACCUAAUCCUUUCGUAGGGAGUAAUUUAAUAAUCGCUUGUUAUAAUUGAAUAUGUAUAAAGAAAGGAAAAUUCUAUUCAUAGAUUUCGACUUAUUUUUUGUUUAAAGUAAUUAAUCAUUCAACCAUCUUCAUUUGCCUCUGGCCAAUGCCCUUGUAGAUUAGUUGAACCGUUAAUUACUUAAUUCAGAUAAUUACAGUGUCCUUUUCGCUAAUUAAUUAUGAUUAUAUACGCUUUCAUAUAGCAAGUGGCUUUGUAGAUCUAAACCAAGUUGCUAUUUCAAAACGUUAAUUAAGUGAUUCUCCUCAUUGUCAUCAGCGUUAUACGCUCUAGGAAAAUAGCUCAAUUGUUUCCCUGCAUUGAUUUUCAUUGGUACGUGAUUUCUUAUGAAAUUCUUUUGAGCUUUCCUUAUUAAAAAUGCUUGAGCUUUUAUCACCCAAUACGGAUAUCAAUUAACUUGUGAACGAUUUUGUAAUGAAACUAGGAGUUAAAUAAGAUUUUUACAUGAUGAAUUUUUAUUUUUUUAAUUUUUUGAUGUAGUCAAUUUGCUAAUUUUAUGUAUUUCAUAUUCAACGGAAUUUGGGCACGGAAAGUUUGGAUUCUAAUAUUUAUAUGUUUAGCUUUAAUCAGUUUGACUUUCGUAAUCUUUUUCCCCUCAUCAUUAAGGGAUUCAGAAUUAGAGAAACGUUAGGAAGAGGAAGAAAAUAAUUUCGGAAAUAAGUAAGAGGGAAAAAAUUAUCAAAUUAGGAAUGAUUUUUUGUAGAGUAUGUUGCGUUUACUAAAAUGAAAUCGAAAUGAGCUGGAAUCAGAAUGGAUAAAAAUGCGAAUGUGCUGGAAUAAGAAUAAGUAAUGAGAAUCAGAAUAAGUUGUUUACUUGAACUGUAAGAAUCGAAAUCGAAAUGAGCUGGAUUGCAAUUACUUUGUCCUACAAUUAGAAUCAAAAUGAGUUAGAUUGUAACAAAUUACUAAAAGGUACUUAAUGAAUUAUUGUCAUAAUUAUUAUUUUAUAUUUUAAUUAUAGUGAUUAUUUAUUCUAAAUUAUUAUUAUUAAUUAUUUUCAAUAAUAUAUUAAUAUGUUAAUUAAUUUUAAAAAUUAUUAAUUAAUUUAUUAUAAUAAUAUACUAAUUAAUUAUAAUAAUUAUAUUAAUAAUUAUUAUAAAAAUAUAUUAAUUAUUAAUAAUGAAAUUACUUAUUUAAUUAUAAUAAUAUAUUAAUUAUUGUGAUUAUUUAUUCAAAAAUUAUAAUUAUUAAUAAUUAUUGUUAAUAAUGUAUCAAUAUAUUUUAUAUUAUGAAAUUGUGAUGUAUUGUAGACAAAUAAGGGAAUUUGGUACAAUAAAUUCUUAAUAUCUUAGUACAAAGUAUGGUACAAUGAUAUUUUAACUUAUUGUAGACAGAUUAAAUUUCGACACACUUAAUCCAUAAUAAAAUUAGUGGAAAAUAAUGAUAAUUUAUACAAUUAAUCUUUUGAGCAAUAAAAAAAUAAAAGAAAAAGAAGUUACUAAAUUAUGUUUACUGUUAAGAGUGAAUCCACAAUCCUAAAUAAUUUAUUUCCAUCGUUUCACUUAAAUUAAAUAGUGUGAAUUUAAAUUCUAAUUUUUUGAUAAAUUAAAAAGAAAUAAAAAAUUAAAAUUUUUCUCUAUGGAUCGACCUCGGAUUGAUCAAUUUAUUUCAUAACAACACACUUUUAUACUUGAGAGUUAUAAAUAACUUUGAAGUUGUGUUAAGUUUUUGACGCUCUUACGGGGGAAAAAUAUUUAUUUUAUUUUAUGUAUGGGUCAAACUUGAAAGUAUAUUUUAAGAUAGCUGCUAAUAUGCUCUAUUAGACAAUGAUAACGUAGUUGUUUGUGGUGUUCAUAAUGAGUUUAAUUAUGAUUCAACAAUUUAAAAUAUGAAAACAUAUGGAAGAUGGCCGUAAUUAAAUUGAUUGCAUGAAAAUAUUUCAAUGAAAUUUUAAAAAUUUGGUACUUAUUAUCUUAUCAAAAGUUUUUUAAAUUAUAUUACUACUUCAACUUAACUCCUCCUGGAUUGAUUGUAUUGAAUUUCCAGCACCGCCAUUGCUUCUACUUGAAAGCCAUUUAAGUUUGUGUAAGCUACCUAUAGUUUGAAUAACAAUUUACUCAUGAAUUGCUGUUCAUGAUAACAAUUUGAUUGAAAGUGCGGCUGCACUAAUUGUUCUCGUACGACCCCAGAAUGCUGUUAAAUCAGUUGUAUUGGAAAUUAAUCAACUGGUUACAACUCUACACCCCAUCAAUAUUUAAGCAGUCCACAGAACAUUAAUUGUGUUUUGAAAUUUUAAUGAGUCUCACGUGUUUUUCACGUGAUAUGCAGUAAAAACAAAAUUAAAAAAAUGAAAACAUUCAGCCCCAAAGCCAAAAUCCCCAACUCCUUCCAAAUUGGUUCCGCAGCCCCCAAAUCCCUUAAACCCAAAGCACUCUAAAACGACUCUCCUCAGCCAAAAAGAAAAAGGUCACCUCACCUCUCCUCUUCUUCUUCCAUGGCGAUCAACGGCGGCACAAGCACGGGCUGAUCUCCUUCGUCAGUAACGAUCAACGGCGGUACAAGCAUGGACAGAUCUUUUUUUUGGCAAUGAUGAACAGCGGCACAAGCAGAGUCGUCCUCAGGUACGGAUUUGAUGUUGGUUGUGUUGUCAAGUAGCGAUUCAUGUUUGGAAGAGAAUCCGCUCACAAGGACCUGGAGCACUUAAUCGAAGAUCUUAAGCGAGGAAUUCGCUUCCUCCUCAUUCCUAAUCGGUGCCUGAUUCAUCAGUAUGAUUAAGGAUGAAAAUUGAGAAAGAAGGACGCAUUAGGUUUGAGACAUUGGUUGAAAAACGCUACCCCGGUGGCCACGCUGGAAACAUAUGUUCCGUGGCUUCUUGCGUUGUCUGUGAGGAAUAUGUACUGCUGUAGAAGAUAAUUAUGAAUCAAUGGUAAUUGGCGUGUUGGUUUUGGUGCCGAUUUCCUCUUAUUUUCCAGAAAAGGCUUGUAAUUUGUUCACCUCAAGAUUCAAUUUUGUUAUUGAAAAUGGAUGGCUGUAAAGACCUAUUGGCCUUUCAUUAUAUUAAUGUUUUUGACAGUAAGUUUGUAAUAGUUAGUGCAGGGAACUUAUUGAUUCUUGAUUAUAUAUAACGGUGGCCCUUAUUACUUUAAAAAAAAAAAAAAAAUUGAUGAUGGGUUUCGUUUUGUAUAAGUGUUUGGAGUGUUGGAAAAUUAACAUUGUAUAUUUUAGAUAGUUGAGUUCCAUAGUAAUAAAAAGCUACGGAUUUGUUUUCUUUUUAUUGAAAUGAAAACAUUUUUCACUUGUAUAAUAGAAAAUAUACUAUAUCUUUAAUACUUUUGUCAAAUUUAUUAUUUAAAAUUUAUAUUUACUACAUAUUAUUAAUUUUUGUUUCAUAGUCAUAGCUUUUUUUCCACAGUAGCUGUAGCUUAAAAGAUACAGCACCUCAAUUCCAAACGCACUCUAAUUAAAAAUUUUAGAAUUUUUGGGCAUGGAAUUGAAAAGAGUAGUAUUAAACAUCAGAAAGCUAAGGUUGUUCUGUUAAAGAAUUGAUAUUCACAUGAUUUUAUUUUGGUUUUUGGGGAAAAAAAAAAUUGUUGACAAGCAAGAAAUUAUUUUUAUAUUUUACAAUUUAUUAUACAUAUUUUAUCGUAUUAAAGUAAUUUUAAUAAUAAAUAGAAGCAUAAUAUUAAAUAAAGUUUAAAUUAUUUUGAAUAUUAUAAAAAAUAAUUUUAAUAUUAUUAAUAGGAAGACAUUUUGUUAAUUUUAAAAUCUUUUUAACCCAAAGGUUUAUUUAAAAUGUUUAUUAUAAAUAAAGAUAUAAAAUUAAAUAUCAUAGUGUAAAAUUUUUAAUAUUAUUUUAAGUAUUAAAAAUAUUUUAAUGUUAUUAGUCUACUACAUAGAUCAUAUUACUUAUAUUAUAUUUGCAAUGAUUAAAAAAUUUUAAAAUCAAUUUUCUAGUUACUAUAUUCGCGAAAUAUUAUGGUUAAAGAAAAGACCUUGGUGUUACUUUUUACAAAUUUGAGUGCCUGCAUGAUAAUUUUUUCAAAAUUUAAGAAUGUAUGUGUCCUUUUCUCCAAUAAUUUAUUUCACUUUUGAGGGGAAUCCAAUGAGAAAUAUGAUAAGAGAAUGUCAAUUACUUGUCAUUUUCUAUUUUUUCUGUAAGCUAUUUAUUUUGAGCACUGGUGAUCUUGUCUUGACUACUCCAAUUAUUGAUGGAACUCCAAUGGCUGCAUCCACAGUUGAAUAUAUGAUAGUGUUAGCUCUUAUUUGAGAAUUCAGAGGGAUCUUUCUAUGUUUAUCAAUUGCAAUGUGCUAGUAUAAAUUUCUUUACCUUACAGUUUAUAUAGUCUUGCUGUUAAAGAACUCACUGAGGCAUUAUUGAUUCAAUUUCAGUGGAGCAAUCGCGCGUAGAGGAUAAAUAAAGGAUAACAGAACAGAGCUGAAGUGCUAAAUUGGCUAUUAAAGAAGGGUGUCACAUGAUCACAAUCACAUUGAUGCACAACUCUCUGGAGGCAAAUUUUGUCUGUAUGUUCUCUAAAUUCAGCCAAACCAUACAUGCAUGAACAAAAAUUAAACCGUAGUUCUCACCACAACAGUAAUUGAAGCUACAAAAGCCAGCAAAUCUGAACAAAAACUUAAAAGAAAGAUCUUAUUCAAAUUUGUCCCCAAAAGAGUGCUGAGAUGGAAAAUAUUGACUAAUGAAUGGGUCAAUGCUGGAUUACAUUUCAAAUGGAAAGCUUGGCAGCAGUUACAAUGUUUCUCCCUCAGCUUUUCCUCCAAAACAAAUUCAGUUGUAAACAAUAACCGAAGUAGAGAUAAUUCAUUCAUCAAAGAAAAUACCCAAGUUUUCAACUAACAAAUCCUUUUGUCUAAACUAAAAAACUCAUAUCUCUAAAAUUUAUUUGCAAAAUGUUGGAAAUGAGGAGUGAUCCGUUAUCUCCGUAAAUAAACUCAUGCAUAAUGUUAACAAUAAUGAUACAUUACAUAAUAAUUAUUAUAAAGAAAUAUAAAUUGGAAACGCUAAUCAUUCUACAAUCUAAUAAAUAAGUAAGAUAAAUCUCGUAAUAAGUUAAGUUAUAAUGUAUAAAUGUUUUUAAUAUAUAAUUAUUUAAGAAGUCAUUUAAUAAUAAAAUAUUUAUUCUAUUCAGUUGAUCAUAUAGCGUUAUCGAAACUCUUGACGAUAUUAUUAUUACACUUUUCUCAAAAAAACAUGAUUAACAUUUAGAGAAAAGUCAUGCCUUUUAGAUAGAAUAUGUACAUAAGCUAUCCAUAUUUUAUCUUACCAUGAAAAAAUUGAUGGUGAUUAAAUCUACUUUUAAAAUAGAUUUAAUGCACAAAUAUGAUGAUUUUUGGCAAAAAUUAGUUUCGGAAGAUACAAUGGUAGAAAAUAGUGAUGAUUAUUGUUUAAAUGUGUAAAUAGCCUAGGCAUAGCCCGUAAUACCAAUAUCCAUUUACCUUCAUUUAGAUUAUCACAUCUCAUGAUAUUUUUUCAUUCACGACCAUUGUUCGAGAUUUGAACUUGAUCAUAAAUUAAGCUGCAACGGAGUUACUUAUGUUUCUAAGCUUUUCAAUCGCGAUUCCUCCAUGCCUUUCUUGGAUACCAUUUUACUGACCUUGUAAUUGGUGUGUAUAAGGAGUCAUGCCCUUUCAGGAUCGUUUUCUUUUUUUUUUUUCCUGAUUGUAGUGUCAAAUAAAUAAAGAACGAACAAUUGAACUUAGUCUAUUUCGAGGAAAACCAAGGCCUGCAAUAUUAGAUGAACUUUGAACAAAAUUAAUCUACUAUUCUACAUCCCCACCAAAAUUUAAACAGUCGACAUUGUGGAAAGAAACACAUUUCGCCACUAGGCUUUUAGUGAGGCUAAUUUCUCUGAAUUUGGACAGAGUAGGUCCUCCAACGAGAACUGAAUCAGGACGAAUCGGCUCUCCAUUUUCUAAUUCGAACGAGCAAAGGAAGCCUGAAUCUGUGACCGUUAUCAAUACUCUGCUUCUAUUCUGAUUCUCAGGAAGUACUUCUUCAAGAUCAUCCAAUACAUCGUCACCCUCUUUGUACUAAUCAUCAAGCACAAUAAAGUACUUCUUGUUUGUUAGGUAAUCUCGAAGAAUAGAUUUCUUCAAUUGAUAAUCUUCACCGAUAAUUACACUAACCCGAGAUGGAGGCAUCACAGACUUGAUUAUGUCAUCCAAUACCAUGCGAAAAUCGUAGGAUAUAGAAACCCUGACCCAAGCAUGACAGUCAAAAUAGAACUUGACGUGAUUAUUGUUGUAAGUAUCAGCAGUAAAAGCAGUCUUAUCGAAGCUAUUGAUGUCUUUCAGAAGCUCCCAAAUGUCUGUUCUUUUAACAUUUUCUAAGUGCAAGAGCUGCCGAUAACGCGAAGGUAUUUCAUCUUCAUCGAAUUGUUCUCUAAUGAGUUGAAUUAAAACUCGAGCCAUGUCAGCUUCAUAGUUUCCCAGCAGAGUAGUGGCUAUAAUUUCGGACUCCGUAAGAAGGUUUUGAAAAAGUGGAGUUAAAUUUGUUGAAUCAGGCAAAGUUAACGUGCCUUCUUCACCUGCUAACACCAGUUUCAACCUCUCACAAAAUAGUGUGAGGUUAAUUUCCAUAUCUUUCCCUCUCUCAGUAGUACUCAGAGGUACGUAUUGUUAUUUGUUAGUGUUGAUGACGAAAGCUGAAUAAUCAAAACAACAGUGUACACAAUCAACAGAAGGCGAAGUAUGUUAAGUUGAGAUCAAAGGAUAUAAAUGAAGGAAAAGUUUAAGUACUCCGUUGAAAGCCAAAGUUGCUUUGGCCAAUUAAUUUAUAAGUGAAGGAAAGAAUAAAGUUAGUCCUCGAUGUCUUUUGAAAUUAGAAAUACAUUUUGAAUGCUUUAAUAGAUGCAGAGCAAGCUGGCUCGAUGUCUAACUAUUUUAAGAGCUAAAAUCAUUUAUUAGAAGUUGUGGCAUUGAAAAAAACUGGCUUGAUAUCCAAUUUUGUUAUUUAAUGUCUCACGUGAGAGUAAAUAACUGUUGUGUUACUGGCAGAUGAUUGAGACGGACAAGUUUGGAACAUUGUUCGAGACUGAAACUACACAUCAGUCUUAGAAAAUUGUAAUUUUGUUGAAAAAUUAUAGAUUGAAAAAUUAUUGAGACGGACAAGUUUGGACCAUUGUUCGAGACUGAAACUACACAUCAGUCUUAUAAAAUUGUAAUUUUGUUGACUUAUCAUGAUUUUGAUUGCCUCCCAUUGAUUUUCCUAUGAUGUCUCUGUAGAGUGGCUAUGCUUACAUUUUUAGGUAUUUAAUUCUAAAAAUUAACUUAUUAGAUGGAAGGAUCAAUUCUACCUGUAAAUCUAAGUGGCUUCCCUUUACUAACUCAUAUAAGACACAACAAUAAUUUUCUUCGAAAAAAACCACCAUCGGAGGGCUAUUUUCGUUCAACAUACAUGAGUUGUUCCGCCACCAUAUUUUGAGGGUUUGCUUCUAAUACAACUUGGGGAAGCUAGGGGUAAGAUUUCCAAGUAUCAACAUAAAAACCUUGCCGAUUGGAUAGAAGGACCAAUCUUACUUAUAAGUCUAAAUGACUAAUUUUUGAGGACACAACUCAACAGACCAAUAUAAACUUUUGGCGUCCCAUUUUAUUACUUUUCAGUGCUUUACUUUUGCUGUCUAUAGCCCUACUAUUCUAUUAAGCAGAAAAUAUUAUCUAUUUUCUUUCCAUUUUAUGUAUACCCCGAUCUUUACCUCUGAUUGGUUGUAGAUUCUUCUGUCGCUUUGGGGUUAGGGGAUGGUUUUCAUCAAGAAAUGAUAAAGGAUUGUUAGUUGUGUGACAAACAGCAUUAAUAUGAAGGAUGAUGAUUGUUCUUUUCAAGAGUUUAUAAUGACAUAAUUCUGCUUUGGUCUUUUAAAAAAAAGUAAUUUAGAAAUGAGGAGUAUGUGAGUGAUGAUUUUUACAAAUAAAUUGCAUGCGUAGUGAUGAUUUUGACACAUGAAAAUGUAAAAAGAAAUAUAACUUGUGAAUAAUAAUCGAAGUACCCUGCUAUUGUUAUAUUGAGUAAUCAAGGACUUCGAUAUUCGGACGAUACAAGCAACACAAUCAAAUAUUAGUUGGAAGGCAUAGCAAAAUUAGAAUGUAGAACAAACUGGGUAUUGAUAAAUGGAUGGUUUUGGAAGAAUUGAAAAUGAUGGCAAAAAAAAAACAAAGUUAAGAGAAAAGAGAAAGAGCAUUUGAACUUUACUUGUAAGUAAAGGCAAAUAUCUUGGUUCAAGAAAAGAUAAGAGAUAUCAAACUAGCAAUAGGAAAAAGGAGGAAGGUUAAGACAGCAUCUUAACAAAAGCUAAAGAAAAGAAAAACUUAGUUCAAGCAAAGAACAAUGUGCUAAUGUAGUGUAAUCUUGUUUAAUUUCUUUUUCUUCUCACAUUUUCCAGGGCUUAAAUAAUACAAUGUACAUUUUCAAGCAAAGAACAACAAAUAAAUAAUACAAUAUACAUACCCAGUAAAUUAAAAAAAAUAUAUUAUUCAAGUUUGUGGACAAUACUGUAGCCAUUGCGUCGUCGAAAUCUACUGACAGCUGAAACAAAGAAAGAAUGGAUGAACGCUGGAUCACAGUUGAAAUUGAAGGUCUGGUAGGUGAUGUUUCCCUCUCUGAUUUUACCUAAACAAAUACAAGAAAAUAAGAAUCACGAAUGAAAAUCUGUUAUUACACUGUUCUUACUUAUUAAAAUACAGAGGUUUCUUUGUUUCUCUGCAGCAAUGUCCAUGGCUAUUAGAAACAAGAACAAUUAGACCAGCAUUUGCAAGAAUCUUUUAAGGUAUUACUGCAGAUAUAAAUCGACUGAGGAAAUGGAAAAAUUGAAUACCAAAUUAGGCAAGUUAACUGAAGAUUCAGUUAUCAUAGAAGAAUAAAACUCAUCCAAUUCAAUCCAUCAAAUUUCAUUAAGCAUUUCCAGAACUCUUGAUUUUCUUUCUCAGUAGCCAAACAACUUCAAUCUCAUUUUUUUUUUUCAACAAUGAGUUCUCAAACCACUCUGGUAUCAUUUUAAGACAUUCUCGGCCUUGUACUCACCAUCAAAAUGGAUUGGUUGAGAGAAAACAUAGGCAUAUUGUUGAAUUAGGUUUGACUCUGUUGGCUCAAGCUCAACUUCCUUUUAAAUUCUGGUGGGAUGCAUUCCAUACUGCCCUAUAUCACAUCAAUAGAUUACCAUCUUCUGCUUUCAAACUUUCGACCCCAUGUGAGAAGAUAUCCAAGCACAAACCUGAUUAUGAUUUUCUCAAAUGUUUUGGUUGUAUUUGUUAUCCUUACUUGAGAGACUAUAACAAACAUAAGUUUGCCUAUCAUUCCAGUAAGUGUAUAUUCAUUGGUUAUAGUCCUUCACAAAAGGAUUAUAAAUGCUUACAUUCUUCAGGUCAAGUCUAUGUGGCAUGACAUGGUAUCUUUGAUGAGUCAACCUUUCCUUAUGCUACUGAAUCUGUUUUUCAUAGUCACACAAAUUCUGAUUCUCAUUCUUCAAAUUUAUUUACUCCACAGCAUGUCUAUUAUCUUUCUACUUUACCUGUCAUACCAGUAUUUCUAAAUAACAACACUGAUAAUCUAAACUCUACAAAACUAAAAUGCCAGCUGUUUGGUGUUAGCGAUAAGAAACAACUUACCACAACCAUUAAUUAUCCAUAAUUUCAUUGUUUAUCCUCAGUUUUCUUCAUAAAUGUUACAGCGUUCUUCACAACAAAGUGCAAGGGCAUCUCAAAAGUUCUGAAAUAAUACCUCAAUUCUAUUGCAAAAAUAAAUAAUCUCAAACAAGAACCAAUAAUCAUAUUUCGUUACUGUCAAACACAAUGCAUCUGAGCAAAACAUUGGAAGCCAACACCAGAAUACAUAUGAAUAAACAAUUAAAGAUAGAGAAAAAAGGCUUAAACCUUGGGGGAAAAAAGUGAAAAAACAUGAAAGACAAAUUACACAUGUGCAGUAACCAUCGAACUUAUCAGUGACAGCUGCAUCCAUUACAUUGCUCCAACAACACAAUGGCAAACCACCAGUUUCAAAUUGAGGAUAGCUAUUGAGAAUGAGAAAGUGUCCAAAACGCCAUAAAUAGACAUGUUCCUAUUAUGCAUAAUUUACAUUAUAGGCAAAUAUUCUUAUACCAUCAAAAGCAAAACAUGACACUAUAACAAUUGACUCCCCCCCCCCCCCCCCCCCCCCCGCACACAAAAAAAAAGGAAGAAACAAUACCGAAAAGAUUGAAACAGGUAAGGCUACACUGAGCACAGGAUGCCAUGAAACAUAAUCCAGGAACCAAAUUAAUAAAGAAGGAAGGCAAACCAUUAUUUAACAAUCUGUUUUGUAUUAGGGAAAGUCCGAUAAAAUCUACUUAGGGAUAAUUAGAGAACCUCAACUAUUAAUCACACCUCAUAAAUGAACUAACAUUAACCAUGUACCAUCCCCACAUCAGACAAACAUUCUCUAUACUUCUGAACCUAAUACUUCCAUCUUCAAUUGGGGUUUUUUUCUUUUGUGGGGGGGGGGAUAAGCUAUCGUUUUUCUAAGCUUGCUUACCUUCUGUGUGGGACUGAAAUACUGAUUUCGAAUCAUUAACAGUAAAAUUGGAAGCUCAUGAAAAAACAAUUUUAUCUUUUAACAAAAGUUAAAAUUACAUCUCCAUAUAAAUUCUCUUUUCAUUUCCUUCAAUUUUCUAAUUAAGCUUAAAAAAAUGUACCUUCAACCACAAAGGGGUUUAAAAUUUAAAAUAUAUAAAAAAAUAAAUUCAGAUAACAAUAAUUAAUUUAAUUAAAAAUAUAAAUAGAGAUUACAGAGAAAGAAAAAAUAGAGAAAGACCUGAUGUUGAGAGCAUCGACGGCCGGCAGUGACCGGCGGAAGAUGGCGAGAGAUGGCGGCGUGGGCCAUUGCUUGCGCAUCAGUGAGUGUCUCGAGUGAGAGAGUGAAGGUAGGGAUGGCAAUGGGGAGGGAGGGAGGGUCCAAUCUCUCUGUACCCAUCUCCCAAUUUGUCCCCGUCCCUCCCCGUCCCCAUUUGCUUAGAAUCUGUCCCCUACUCGAAUAAUAAUUCUCGAAUAAUAACAUAAAAUGCUCGAGGUUCUCGAUUUAUGAAUAAUUAAUAUAUUUUUUAUUUUAAAUUUUAAAUUAACUAUAUUAAAAUAAAAAAUUUAAAUAAAAAUAAAAUUUGAAAUAUAUUUUAUAUUAAUAUUGAUCCAUUAUAAAAAUUACAUACAAAAUAUAAAUUAUCAAAAUAAUUAUCUUUAUCAAUCUUCAUAAUCCUACAAUAAAAAGAAAAAAAAUUUACUUUUAUAUUGAUAAUAAAAUAAAUGUAGAUAAUUAAUUAAUAUUUUUAAUAAAAUAAAAUUAAAAUAAAAUAAAAUUUUUAGGCUAAUAUAAUCUACCCGACUUUUUUAAUGUGUUAAAUAAAAAUUUAAGACUUUAAUUAGUUAAUUAGGCCUAAAAGCUUAAUAAUAUAAAUAUUUUGAUAUUUAUUAUUUUUACUAAUAUUUAUAAUUUUAUAAUAUAUUCAAUUUUUAUUAUUUAUUUACUAGUAAUUUUAAAAAAUAAAAAUAAAAUUAAAAAAUAAAAUGGGGGAAAUGGGGAGGGGAUGGGGAUUCCACCUCAUCCCCGUCCCUUCCUUGUAGGGAUGGCAAAAGUUCGGGUCGGGUCGGGUCUGGGGCUGCCUGGAACUGACCCGGAUUUCACACAUAGCUGCCCGGACCCGGACCGUGCCCGGAUUUUUUCUAUGCGGGCCGGGUAUAUGGCUGGCACUAUCCGGGCACAGGUUUUUUUUGGGUUUUCUCUACCCACAUUUUCAAAACUGGCUAAAAAAAAAUUGAUAGAAAAGGCUAAAUAAGUAAACAAAAUUGCAAUUGGGCCUGGAAAUUCAUAACUUAUCCCUGAAUUAUAUAUAUAUAUAUAUAACUUCUAAUUCUUUGUUGAUACAAGUUUUUUCUAAUUCAUUAUAAAAUCACAUUAUAUAUAUUAUUUCCUCAUCAGAUAAUAAGUGACAAUUGCUCACCAGUUUAUUAACAUCUCUACGAAACCGUCUUUUAUGGCAUUAUUAUUAUUAUUGUUGUGGCUGAAACCAUGUAGUAUGUGAUUGAAGAAAUUGCAUUAAAUGUUGGAGUGGAGGUGAUGUAGGUGAGAAAGGAUUCCCUGGAGACUGUUAAACAAGACACAAGGCAUUUCCGGAAGAAAACAGAAGACAACUGGAUAAGACAAAACGGACAAAAGGGUAAGAGAGGUGGGUGGGAAAUUAAGAUAGGCAAUUUGUCCAGCAGAAACAUAAUAAUACCUCGUGGUCGUGGGUCGUGGCUGUGUUGGUGAAGUUGCAGCUGAACAAGAACAGUUGAUGCUGUCGCGUGGUGGCUGCCGUUGAGAAGAUGACCAAACGAUGAAGAGCUCUGUGACGGGAUGGUUGUGCUUUGCGAGGAGAAAUAGAGUUGACUGAGGAAGGUAAGAGGUUCGUGGAGGGAAAGGUGCGGACAACACUGCAUCAGUGCCGGUGGGUGGUGGAGAGACGGAGAGAGGUGCCGCCGAUUUGGAGAUUUCAGGGUGGGUGCUGACUGCUGCAGUGCUGCGUUGUUCUGCAAGUUGCAAUCGCGAUUUAGGGUUCAGUACCAGUUUUGGGGGCAAUUGGGCAAAGUAAAUUUUAUUUUCGCUUUUAUAUUUUCUUUUUUUUUACUUAAUAAAAAACCGGGCAUUGAAAAUCAAUGUCCGGAUCCGCUUUUUCCAUUCAUGUGGUCCGGGUAAAACCCGAACCGCACACGCCGGGUCUGGGCCGGAUCCGGUCCGGGUGGGUUUUUCUGCCACCUCUACUUCCUCGAAUAAGAAAUUUGGUAAAAAAAAUUUCCCGUCCCUUCCUCGAAUAAAAAAUCGGGUAUAAAAUUAUCUCUGUAUCCUCCCCGAAUGAGAAAAAUCCCCGAAGAUACCCAUACCUGUGGGGAUUUUUACCAUCCUUGAGUGAAGGGUUUUGUUUAGGGUUUUGGGAAAUGAAAAAUGUAAAUGUUUGAUUUUGUUGCUAGAAACUUCUUCUGCCGCUGCUUUUUAUUUUCGCUAUAAAAAUAAUAAUUUGUUAAUCAAAUAUUUUCUUAAAAAAGAUAAAUUUCUAGAACAAAAUUUAUAUUAAAUCAAAUUGUAAAAAUGUGGAAUAGGGCUAAUUUCUCCUUAAUAUUAUUAUUAGUAGAAGUAGAUUGUCGAACUAGUCUUGAUAUAUUUUAGAGUUGUAUUAUAGAUGUAUACGUAUCUAGAUUGUAAUUAUAUUUUAAAAAAUAUAAUUUUUUUUAAUUAUUGCACAAUAAAUGUAGAAAAUAUCUAUAAAAUAAUAUUAUUAGAACUAUGAUACAGCACCUCAAUUCCACAGUAGCUUAAUAUUAUUAGAACUAUGAUACAGCACCUCAAUUCCAAACGCACUCUAAUUAAAAAAUUUAGAAUUCUUGGGCAUGGAAAGAGUAGUAUUAAACAUCAGAAAGCUAAGGUUGUUCUGUAAAAGAACUGAUAUUGACAUUAUUUUAUUUUGGUUUUCGGGGAAAAAAAUAUUUGUUGACAAGCAAGAAAAUAUUUUUAUAUUUUACAAUUUAUUAUACAUAUUUUAUCAUAUUAAAGUAAUUUUAAUAAUAAAUAGAAACAUAAUAUUACAAUAAAUAAAUUAAAGUUUAAAUUAUUUUGAAUAUUAUAAAAAAUAAUUUUAAUAUUAUUAAUAGGAAGACUUUUGUUAAUUGUAAAAUCUUUUUAAUCCAAAGAUUUGUUUAAAAUUCUUAUAAUAAAUACAAAUAUAAAAUUAAAUAUCAAAAUUUAAAUUUUUUAAUAUUAUUUAAAUUUUAAAAAUACUUUAAUGUUAUUAGUCUUCUACAUAAAUUAUAUUAUUUAUAUUAUAUUUGUAUUGAUUAAAAUCUUUUAAAGUCGAUCUUCUAGUUAUUAUAUGCAAAAGGUAUUAUCAUGUUACAAUUUUUUGAAAUUUUAGGGAUGUAGGUUACGAUGAUUUAUUUCACUUUUGACAAAAUCCAAUGAGAAAUAUGAUAAGAGAAAGUCAAUUUAAUGUUCUCGACCUUUAUGAAAAAAAGUAAAAACUAAGAAUUAUUCAAUUUUAUAUUUUUUGCAUCCACCAAAUAAGUUUUGCACAUUUAUGUUAUCAUAAAACGAAAAAAAGGGUUUACCAAAAAAUGGUACCAAGCAUACCUUUAAUGUCCCACGUGAUUUCUUAUUAAGCCCAAUAUUAGAUAUAUUUAUACAUUUUACUGCAUUAAGUAUUUUAAUUAUAAAAGAAGUUGGUCCUUCCUCUAGUUACAAAAGAUAACUUUAUUUCAAGACUACCACUAAAUUCUUACGUAGAAUUAGUGCAAGGCCAAGAGAGAGUAACACAAUUUUACUUUUCCAUUACCAUUUUGAAAAUAGAAAGAUAUGGAUCCGUGUAUUUAAGAGUUAUUGUAAAAAUCAUACAAUUCAAUUUCCUGACGUGUAUUAUGUAUAUUUAGGCACAUUUGCCAAAAGCAUAAAUAGAUAGAAAGUAAAUUUACAAUCCACCCUUACUCACAAUUAUUGAAGUGAAGAUGCAUUACAACUGUCACUACUUUAACUUUAUUUAUUUAUUUGUUUUAAAUAAAAGUGUGAGAGAGACGGUGAACAUCAUGGACGAUAACAAAGGUUAAAGCCUAAAGGUGACCCAUUUUCUUUUUAAAGUGCUCUGCUGAAAGCCUAACUUCCUUUGGAUCCGCCGAAGUGGCCGAAGUGGUGGGCUGCUGCCCUCACAAGCAUUGUGAGGGCAGCGGUUCUAGCCCCCACAAAAGCAUUGUGGGGGUUAAAUGUUCUUUAUAUUUAAAAAUUUUUCUCCCUUGCGAAAUACAAGUGGAGUAUGGACAUCCCUCUCCUGUGAGGGGUUAUUUGUUUGGGCAUGUACUUCAUAGAAUUUAAUGUAAUAAUGUAAGUCCCAAUAAUGUAUAUCUGAUUGUAAAUAUCAGUAUAAUAUCUCUGCUACAAUAGCAAUUAUUGUAAAUAUUUGUGUAAUACAGUAAUCUGAUGAUUAAUCAGUAUUCAAAAAAAAAAAAACUUCAUUUGGAUCCGCCUAAGUUACUGCUUUGUAAAAUUUUAUAAAGCCCCUUAUACUCUAUAUUAUUUAUAAUUUGUUCAUAAAUAUUAUAAAACUUUCUGCAUUAUAUAAUUUUAUUGAGCCCCUUGUACUAUAUUUUAUUUCAUUGAAACCCUUAAAGUACCAAUUCGCCCUCUAUAAUUUUAAAUUACUAAAAUACCCUCCAUUUAAUUAAAAAUAUAAUGAUUAUUAAAUGAUUAUAAUUAUCUGGAGUACAAAUUCAGUAAUAAACAAUAACUAAAGUAUUAACAAUUUAUUCAUCAAAUAAAAUACUCGAGAUUUCAGCCGACAAAUCCUCUUGUCUAAACUAAAAAACUCAUAUCCCUAAAAUCUAUUUGUGAAAUGUUAGAGAUGAGUGGUGAUUUGUCAACUGGGUAAAUAAAUUUAUGCAUAAUGUUUCCGGUAUUGAUAAAUUACAUAAUAAUUAUUACAAAGAAAUCAUAAAUUGGAAACAUUAAUCAUUUUACAAUAUGUUACAUAAGUAAGAUAAAUCUCAUAGUAAGUUAAGUUAUAACGUAAUAAAUAUUUUCAACAUAUACUUAUUUAAGAAGUCAUUUAACAAUAAUAUUUUUUAUAUUUCAGUUGAUCAUGUCAUAUAGCGUUAUCUAAACUCUUGGCCAUAUUAUUAUUACUCAAUUUUCUCCCAAAAAAAAAAAAAAAAAAACAAAAACAAACAUGAUUAAUGAUUAGAGAAAAGUCAUGCCUUUUAGAAAGAAUACGUAUACAAGCUAUCCAUACUUUAUCUUACCAUGAUGGUGAUUAAAUAUAUUUUUAAAAUAGAUUUAAUGCACAAAUAUGAUGACUUUUGGCAAAAAUUAGUUUCGGAAGAUAUAGUGGUAGAAAAUAGUGAUGAUUAUUGUUUAAAUGUGUAAAUAGUCUAAGCAUAGCCCGUAAUACCAAUAUUCAUUUGCACCUUCAUUUGGAUUAUCAUAUUUUAUGAUGUUCUUUCAUUCAUAACCAUUGUUCAAAAUUUGGAUUUGAUCAUAAAACAAAACUAAAAAAUAUUAGAGAUACUAACAAUUGAGUCCCAUUUUAAGUCCCAAUACAAUGUGUUAUUUCUCAAUGUUGUGUCAUUCAUUAAUUAAGUGAUGAAUUUCAGAAUUAAUAAUUAGUUCAGACUUUAAUUAAGAUUUAAAUGUUAGAAUAUCUAGCAUCAUUCAAUCACAAUAAACAAAAUUCAAAUUGAAACGGCAAUAUUGUAUUUUCUUUAAUUAAUUUUGAUGCUGAAGCAAAUAUUUUGCUUGGGUUUUUCACUUCUUGAUUUUGAUUGGAAAAGUUUCUGAGACGAAGUAUUUUGGAUAAUUUUUUCGGGAUUGAAACCACAACUUGGUAGAGGAAAUUAGUUGGAGUAGUGAUGGCUUUGUCUUCAUUUUUGGUUCCUUUUGUGUCGGCAGCCCCUUACUAUUCUCUUGACCCUGAGUUUGAGAUAGAAAUUUAUCAACCUCCAACCCCACAUCCACAAACAAGUUGAUUGAAACAAUUGCUCUUUUAAUUAAGAGGACCCAAAUGAUUUAGGUUUCAGUUCUUAUCAUUUGUCUAUUAUUUAUUUGAAACAUUUAUUUUGAGCGUUACUGAUCUUAAUUAUCUGUAUUUCUCCAAUUAUUGAAGCAUUUCAAGUGGCCACUUUUUCUCCUUUUUAUAUAUGUUUAUUUUUUGGAGUGAUCAAACGGGGGCAAAAUCAAGUAUUCGCUGGUCUGUAGUUUAGCCAACGAUGGCUGAUCCACACAGUUGAUUAUAUGAUACUAUUAGCUCUCAAAAUCUUUCUUAUUUGAGAAUACAAGUUGCCCAAUAGAGUUGAACUAUGUUACCCAACUCCAUGCUCAUACAUUAAAUGUUUAGGUAGUUUUACAAAAUGAUAGCAGCAUGCCAAAACUUGUUGUUGUCAUUUUCGACAUUUCAAAUUGAAAAAUAUGCAAGCAAUCUUCAGUGAACAUUACGUUUUUAUUGAAUAAUUUAAAUGGCCAGUAAAUCAACAGUCCGUGAGUUUUAAAUCUAUUAUGACUUAAUGUAUCUUUCUGUAUUCGUACACAGGUUAUAUUAUCAUAGUUUAAAAUUUUAAUAUUAUUUUAAAUGUUAAAAAUACUUUAAUGCUAUUAGUCUACUACACAUGUUAUAUUAUUUAUAUUAUAUUUGUAUUAAUUAAAACUUUUAAUGUAAAUUUUCUAAUUACUAUAUUGAAAAGGUAUUAUGGUUAAGAAAAAGUUUUGGCAUUUCUUCUUGAAAAUUUGAGGGUCUGCAUGACAAUUUUUCCAAAUUCUAAGGGUAUAGGUUUGAAAAUUUAAUGUUCUUUAACUUAAUGAAACAAAAGGGGGAAACCAAGAACUAUUCAAUUUUGUAUUUUUUGUUUGUAAUUCAAAAAAUGCAUCCACCAAACCAGUUUUACGCAUUAAUGCUGUCAUAAAACAAAAAACAGUUUGCCAAAAAAUGGUACCAAACAUAUCCUUAAUGUCUCACAUGAUUUCUUAGUAAGCCCAUAUUAGAUAUAUUUAUACAUUUUAGGUAUUUUAGUUAUAAAAGAAGUUGGUCCUCCCCCUAUUUAUAAAAGAUAACUUUGUUUCGAUAUUACCACUAAACUCUUACAUAGAAUUAGUGUAAUGUUAAGAGAGAGUAAAACGGUUUUCCAUUACCAUCUUUGAAAAUAGAAAGAUAUGGAUGCGUGCAUUUAAGAGUCAUCGUGAAAAUCAUACAAUUCAAUUUCCUGACAAGAAGUUGGUCCUCCCCCCCUUUUUUUUUUUUUUUCAAUUACAGUGUGAUGGAGACAUUAAGGAUGAGCAUAAUAGUUAAAGAUGACUCAUUUCUCAUUUUCUUUUUAAAGUGCUCUGCUGAAAGCCAAACUUCCUUUGGCUAAUUAAUUUAGAAGUAAAGCAGAGAAUAAAGUCCUAGAUGCCUUCUGAAAUUAGAAAUACAUUUUAUAUGCUUUAAUUAUGAUUAUUUGGUAGACUAAAGACCUAAAAGAUAUGUCAAAAGUAUAAAACAGAGCGAUUAAAGAAAAAAGAAAAAAAAAACAGAGCAUUUGUGACGUAGAACAAUUGGUAAAUAAAUCCUAAAUAUUUGAGUUGUUAAAAGCAAAUAUAACAGAGACAGUAAGAGAGAUGCUGAAACAGAAAACUAUUAGCUUAUCUUGAUUUUCCCACUAUAUUCAUUUUCGAUGCUUUUCAAACGAGAUUCUUUUAAUUCUUCUGGUGUCUCUUAUAGAUCUCCAUCCCACAUCUGCACUACGAACAAGUUGAUUAAAAUUAAAUACUGUUGGAGAUGUGGGGUGAGCGGUCAACUUGGUAAAAAAACUAUGUGUAAUAUUGUUAAUAAUAUAAAAUAUAUAAUAAUAAUUACAAAGAAUCAUAAAUUAGAAAAAUUAUUUAUUUUACAAUCUAUUUCUUAAGUAAGAUAAAUCUCGUAAUAAGUUAAGUUAUAAUGUAAAAAAUAUUUUCAAUUUAUAAUCAUUUAAGGAGUCAUUUAACAAUAAAAUCUUUCUUUUUUUGAUCAAUUGGUCAUGGUACAGAGCAUCAUCUAUAUUCAUGGUGAUAUUAUUAUUACUCCGUAUUCUCAAAAAACACGAUUUAACAUUUAGAGAAAGUUCCUACCUUUUAAAAAGAACAUGUAUGCAACAACUACCCAUACUUUAUCUUACCACGACAAAACUAAUAGUGACUAAAUCAAUUUUCUCGAAUAAAGCAAAAUUUCUUAAAAUUAAUUUAAUAUACAAAUAUGAUGACUUUUUGCAAAAAUUAGUUUUGGAAAAUUAGUGACAGAAAAUAGUAAUGAUUAUUGUUUAGAUGUGUAAAUAGCCUAAACAUGAUCCCUAAUACCAAUAUCCACGUGCAUCUUAACACCUUUCGUCAUAUUCUUUCAUUCAUGGUCACUGGUUCAAGAUUUGAAUUUGAUCAUUAAAUAUGUUCAAUAAUAUUAGAGAUCCCAACAAUUGAGUACCAACUUAAAUCCCAAUGCUAUGUGUCAUUAACAAAUGUUGUGUCAUUUAUAAUUAUUGAAUGAAUAAUUCGUUAAUUUAUUGAUAAAUGAAAAUUUAUUAAUUUAAAGAGAGAUAUUUUUUUUUUUGGGUUUUAAGAAGAGUUUUGUUGGUACAUGUACAUACUUAUAAAGAAAUAAACUUGUAAUUAUACUAUAUCUUUCUUUCUUUAUUCAGUUUGGUGGGAUAUUGUGAUAAAUCAUUGGAUUAAAAUGCAUUUCUAAAUUAAAACUUGUUAAAAUCUAAUUUAUUUGGGAAGCGCAUAUUAUUUGUCAGUCGUACUUCUCAAGUCUCAACUUAGCAAGUUAUUUCUAACUUGUCAGUCUCUAUUGGUUCUCUAAAGCUAAUAGUCUCGAAUCUCCCGCAUUUGAUAUCUUGCCAUUAUUGUUGGCAUUAACAUGUUACCUGAGAUUGGGAUUCAUUAAAAUCCUCAAUGUAAUCGGUGGAACGAAUGGAUUUCUUCUGUUCACCAAUCCACCAAAAUUUCUGUAAUUAAAUUCAAGAGUCAAGAUCUAUGCUUAUAAUCUAUUCUAACAGCUAAUAUUCUAUUUUAUAUUUACUUAAAUAUGAAGAGCUAUGCUUGUCAUUAACUUCAAAUGUGAUCGAAGCAGCCUUACAUCUGUAUAUUACUUAUUCCCAACCUUUUUUUUUUGACUUCAUAUACUUUAUUUUCAUGUUAUUUACUCUUUUUUUCCCCUUUCUGACAAUUGAGGUAGGGGGUCAAACUUGAAAGUAUCUUAAAAUCAGACAAAUUUUUUUUUUUUUAAGAUAGCUGCUAAUAUGCUCUAUUAGACAAUGACAAGUAAUAACCUAGUUGUUUGCAUUAGAAAUGAUAUUUUUUGUGGUGCUGAUAAAGAGGUUGAUUAUGAUUCAACAAUUUAAAAUAUGAAAACAUGUGGAAGACGGCCGCAAUUAAAUUGAUUGUAUGAAAAUAUUUCAAUGAAAUUUUAAAAAUUUAGUACUUGUUAUCUUAUCGAGAGUUUUUUUAAAUUAUAUUACUACUUGAACUUGGCUGCUUUUGUAUUGAAUUCCCAGCGUUGCCAUUGCUUCUACUCAAAAGCCAUUUAAGUUUGUGUAAGCUACCUAUAGUUUGAACAACAAUUUACUCAUGAAUUGUUGUUCAUAAUAGCAAUUUGAUUGAAAGUGCGGCUGCACUAAUUUUCUAGAUGAAUUUUUUCCUACAUGCUUGUUCUCGUAUGACCCAAAAUCCUGCUACAUCAGUUGUAUUAGAAAUUAAUACUGGGUUACAAUUAUGCAUCCCCACCAAUAUUUCUUGAGGAAAGAAACUCAUAUCGCCCCUAGGCUUUUAAUGAGGCUCAUUUUUAUGAAUCUGGAUGGCAUUAGAUAUCUCUCCGAAUAUUGGUGGGAGUAUAUCGCAGAUCAAUGGGCUAUACUACAAAGUGUAUGUACGUUGACUCUCAAUAAAUACAAACGAUUCUCUGAUAUGAUUCAAAACAUCAGUGCACGCAUCAUUUUAACGAGAGAGAAUAUUCUAAGAACGAAAUUGAAGGUGCAAUCAGCAACUAAAAUGAAGCCAGAAAUGUACACGCAUGAGGAAGUUUUCCUAGAAGAUUGAUAUUUCUUUAACUAGCAAACAAUACAAGUCCAAAGCUAACCAAACCAUACCUGCAAGUCCGGGGCUUAAAUGGAGUACUUGUAAGCAUAAAACAUUAAUCAAAACACAGUAUAGACACACACACACACCCCUACAUACAUACCAGCAAAUUCGAAAUAGAAAAAGGAGUGCAACUAUUCAAGUUUGUUGACAAUAUUGCAACCAUGGCAUAUUAAAGCAAAUCCUUAAAAUCAGCUAAACGAAACAAUGCCCUGUCUCAUGAAUCGAUGCUCAACUAAAAAUUGAAAUUGAAAGUCCGGCUGGUGUUGUUAUUAGAUAGAUAUAACAAGAUCUUUCUUUGACAGUUCUUAUUAGAUAGAUAUAAAAAGAUCUGCUUUGACAGUUCUUAUUAGAUAGAUAUAAAAAGAUCUUUCUUUGUUUCUCUGCUGUAAUUUGUGGCUAUCCCACUCUGUUUUGCCAGUCAAGCUGAGUCUACGUUGAGACAUAAUUUUGACAUCAGAAGCGGCCUCAAUUAGUUUGGCAUUUUUAUAACCUCCUUGAAGGUUUUACGAUAAACAUAAAUCUACUGACAAAGUGGGCAAAAAGAAAAUGCAUGUAAAAGUAUGAGUUAUCAAAUAAGAUUAAAACUCACCCAAUUCAAUCCAUCAGAUUCCGUAAGGAUACAACUGGAUGUCAUACCGCCACUCCAUAUUCUCGAAAGUCCGUAGUCCUUGUCUCAACUGUGUCUGGGGCCAGUGUAAGUCCAUUUUUGCGCAAGCUCUUUAUGCACCACAGCUCUUCUGGAAGCUUUCUCAAGUAAGCACACGGGUUGACAAUUAAGCAUUCAAGUUUCGGCAUUGCUCCAGCCCCCAUCGUCCACUCAUCUAGCCAAUACAUUGACUUCAGGUGCAAAACCUUAAGUUCGGGAAAGCUACUCAAGCCAACACAAGCAAGCUUUCUUCCUAAAUACGAGUUCUGCUUCAGUUUCAGCACUCGAAGGCGUGGAAGAUUUUCCAGAAUUGGCAUGGGAUCCUCCAUUAGCUCAGUAUUUGAUAAGCUCAGUUGGAUCAGACUUGGGGGAAAUUGGUAUUCAGACAGGACCAUCCGUGAGGGCUUGCUCUCAUUCACCAGCUUCAAGCAUUCAAGUUUGUGGAGUUCGCAUAGGCUUUUGGAAACCCCUGAAUGAUAGCAACUCAAAUCUCCAGAUAUCCGAAGAGUUUGAACAUUAGGUAGUCUGCCCAAUAUAUCAGGAGUACAACUACUGGGGUUUAAAGUUGAUAUGAAAAUGAGAUUUUUCAGGGAGCUAGAAUAAUUUUUUGGAGGUGCGGGCAGAGUGAUAGAACCAAAGUUUAGAUGCAUGAGUUUUUGCAUCUUCCAAAUAUCCUCUGGUGACUGAUCUAUGUAGCUAGAUGGCAUUUCUAGUGUUUGAAGGUUUAAAAGGGUGCAUAGCAGUGAAGGAAGGCAUUUGAGCGAAGGGAUAUUCAAUUUCAAAUACUUCAAAAGGAAUAAAUUUUCUAAUCCGGGUGGAUAUUGGUCCAGGACUGCAGAACCCAAGUUCAGUACCCGAAGGUAUUUGAACCUUUUAAAAAAAUUCUCGCAAUCUUUCGGAUUAAGAUGAUAUCUUUUUGGACUGUGAUUGAGAAAAGAUUGGAGAUACAUGUCAGAAUGUUCUAAAGAAAGGAACUCAAUCAAAUCAUCGACAAUGAAGCACCGUUUAACAUUUGCGGGUGGUUCCUCUUCCACGUCAUGCAUCCAGACAAAUCCCGUCUUCUUUGCCACCACAAACAAUGAAGUGUAGUAUACAAUACUUGGAAAAUAACACGAUUUAAUUGUGCCUCCGGCCCUUCUUUUACUCACUUGAAUGAAGCCGCGAUGGAUUAGUUCUUUCAAGUAAUGUUCGGCAGUUUCUUCACUGUUGUAUGGUAUGAAACCUUCAGCUACCCACAAAUGAUAUAAUUGCCUCGUGGAUAUCUCAAUGCCUGGAGGGAAGACACACAAAUAGAUGCAGCAGAUUUUCAAGUGAAAAGGUAACUCCAACACAGAACAAAUUCCAAUGAAAAUUGUCGGAAUCGUUUCGCCUUGAACAUAAUUUUCUAAUGGCAUACUUCCAUAGUGUAGGAUGAAAAAUUGCCAGGCUUCAUGCUUUAAUCUGAUCAAUGGUCCUCCAAUGAGCACCGAAUCAAGCCGAAUCUUCUCUCCAUUUUCCAUUUCAAGCGACGCAAGGAGGUCUGGAUCAGUGACUGUUAUCAAUACUCUGCUUCCAUUCUGAUUAUCAGGAAGAACUUCUUCAAGAUCAUCCCAUAUGUCAAUGUUAUCGCAGACAUCAUCAAGCACAAUAAAGUACUUCUUGUUUGUUAGGUAAUCUCAAAGAAUAGAUUCCUUGAAUUGAUAAUCUUCACCGAUAAUUACACUAACCCGAGAUGGAGGCAUCACAGACUUGAUUAUGUCAUCCAAUAUCUUGCCCAAAUCGUAGAAUACAGAAACCCUGACCCAAGCAAGACAGUCAAAAUAGAACCUGACAUGAUUAUUGUUGUAAGUAUCUGCAGCAAAAGCAGUCCUAUCGAAGCCACUGCUGUCGAGAAUUGCAACCACUGCAAGCCCAGAUGGUCCCUCAAUCAAUAGAUCAAACAACUUCUCUCUGCCCCUUUCAAAUUCACUGAUAUCGAGCCGAGGUUGUCCCUCAUUCAAUAGGCGAAUGAUUUCGUUACUUUUUUCACUGAUAUCAAAACCAUUGUCGCCGGGCGGAAGUUGUUGCAUCCGAUUUCUAAUAUCAAUGAUUUCACUGUGGACAUGAAGAGCCAUAUUAGUGCUGCUUUCACUUUCGUUUUCACUGUUUUGCUGCUGCAUUAUGUUGAUGAAGAAUCUGUCAAUGGCUUCCUCAGAUUCAUGGACAAAGUCAUUGAUGUGCACCAGAAUUUCCAAAAUAUCUGGUCUUUUAACGUCUUCUUCAUCGCUUUCUUCUAAGUCCAACAGUUGCAAAAAAGGAAAAGAUAUUUCGAAGUCAUCGAAUUCUUCUAGAAUGAGUUGAAACAAAUGCCGAGCCAUGUCAGCUUCAUAGUUUCCCAGAAGAGUAGCAGCAAUAAUUUCGGACUCCGUAAGAAGGUUUUGAAAAAGUGGGGUUAAAUUUGUUGAAUCUGGCAGCGGCAACGUGCCUUCUUCACCUGCUAACACCCUUUUCAACCUCUCACAAAUCAGUCGGAGGUGGAAUUCCAGCAUUUCUCCUUCUCUCCGUAGCACUCAAUUAGAAUUAUCUUCGAAUUCUAAUUUAAUUGACUAAGUAGUUAUAGCUAUUCUAUUGAUUAGGUCUAGCUAUUAUAUUCUAAAUGAUUAAUUGAGAGGUAUAGUUGAAAGAUUAAACACCAUGGAAGAAUUUGAAAGGAAAAUGCCAAGAAACUGUGUAAGUGGCUAAAUUCCACAAAUAUGACAUUAUUGCUCAUUUUUUAACUCAAAAAAAGGGUACGCAUUCAUUUAGAGAAAAGUCCAAGACGCGUGCUUUUUAAAAAGAACAGGUAUCCAACCUCUAUCUUAUUAAAUUACAACCAUGACAUAAUUGAUGGUGCUUAAAUCAAUUGUUUCUUUUUUAAUUUAAAGAAUUUUUCAUUAAAAAAAUAUUUUAAUAUCAAAUUGCCUUCAGUGGCGUAACUGCCUCAGGCCCAGUAACAGGACUAAUUAAAAAUUUUACAAUUUUUGGGCAUGGAAAUAGUAGUAUUAAACAUUAGAAAGGUAAGGUUGUUCUGUUAAAGAAUUGAUAUUGACAUAAUUUUAUUUUGGUUUUCGUGGAAAAAAAAUUUGUUGACAAGUAAGAAAAUAUUUUUAUUUUUUAAAAUUUAUUAUGCAUAUUUUAUCAUAUUAAAGUAAUUUUAAUAAUAAAUAGAAACAUAAUAUUACAAUAAAUAAAUUAUAGUUUAAAUUAUUUUGAAUAUUAUAAAAAAUAAUGUUAAUAUUAUUAAUAGGAAGACAUUUUGUUAAUUUUAAAAUCUUUUUAAUCCAAAGGUUUAUUUAAAAUCUCUAUAAUAAAUACAAAUAUAAGAUUAAAAUAAAAAUCAUAAUUUCAAAAUUUUAAUAUUAUUUUAAAUGUUAAAUAUACUUUAAUGUUAUUAGCCUACUACGUAGAUUUUAUUAUUUAUAUUAUAUUCGUAUUGAUUAAAAUUUUUUAAAGUCAAUUUUUUAGUUAGUACAUUCAAGAGGUAUCAUAGUUAAAGAAAAGAUUUUGGUGCAACUGUUUUAAAAUUUCAGGGUAUAAAUGAUAAUUUUUUUUAAAAUUUUAAGGAAGUAGGUAUUAUUUUUCCGACAAUUUAUUUUAUUUUGAGGGAAAUCCGAUGAGAAAUAUCAUCAGAGAACAUUAAUUUAACAUUCUUUACCUUUAUGAAAAAAGUGGAAACCAAGAACUAUUCAAAUUUUUUUUUUUUGUGUAAUUCAAAAAAUGCAUCCACCAAACAAGCUUAUCAUAAUUUUCCCACUUUAUUCAUUUUCGAUGCUUUUCAAAAGAGGUUCCUUUAAUCCAUCUAGCAUCUGCAGCCCCCACUAUUUUACAAAUCUCCAUCCCACAUCUACACUAUCAAAAAAGUUGAUGGAAAUUGAACCCAUUAAGUUAUGUUCAUUACUGGUCAUUAUCUUUCUAUGAGCCACUUAUUUUGAGCAUUAGCGAUCUUCUAAGGAAUCAUGCCUUUUCAGGAUCGUUUUCUUUCAUUUCCUUAUUGUAGUAGUUAAUUAAAUAAAGAACGAACAAGUGAACUUUGUCUAUUUCGAGGAAGAACUAGGUUUCCAACACUAGAGGAACUUUGAAGAAAAUUAAUUGGAAGCCUUUAUUCAUCUUUGAAGAAAAUUACGUGCCAAUGUAACCAAGGCUUUUAUUCAUCUUCGGACUAUGAAUUUAUACAAAAACAUUAACAGAAAAUAACAAAGACACAGCUAAAUGAUAGCAACAAGUGUUGAUUUAGUGGACCACUUCUACAAGUAAAUAAAAACUAAAUAUUUAUUUAAGGAGGGCUUUUGUUAGUAGAGUUUUUAUAAAUAGAAAUUUAACAAAAAAAAAUUAUAGUUAUUUAGUUGUCAAUGUCCAAAUUGAUGAAUUAUUGUUCUUUUUGUUAACAUGUGUUUGUUUUACUUAAUAAUAAAAGUUUAGUUUACAAUUACACCGGUGUCAAAUCAGCAGAGCAUUUUUGCAGCCAGUCACAUUAUACAUUAUAUACUAAUAGCAUCGGCAAGAGUUUUCGAUUGUUGCAACUUGCAAUGCACGCGAUGCGAGAAAAUGAGAAUCUUGUUUAAUUGCAAUAAUGACAAACCUAAUCCUUUCAUUAGGAGUAAAUUAAUAAUCGUUUGUUAUUAUUGAAUAUGUAUAAAGAAAGGACAAUUCUAUUCAUAGAUUCGACUUAUUUUUUGUUUAAAGUAAUUAAUCAUUCAACCAUCUUCAUUUGCCUCUGGCCAAUGCCCUUGUAGAUUAGUUGAAGCGUUUAUUACUUAAUUCAGAUAAUUACAACGUCCUUUUCGCUAAUUAAUUAUGAUUAUGAACAUUUUCAUAUAGCAAGUGGCAUUGUAGAUCUAAACUACGUUGCUAUUUCAAUACGUUAAUUAAGUGAUUCUCCUCAUUGUCAUCAACGUUAUAAACAGGAAUUGUGCAAACAGUACACAAUGCUGCAGCAAGGCGUGGGUGGCUAGAGUUUUGCAACCACCCUUGAGAUCCUGUGCUGCCAGUAGUAAAAGAAUUUUACGCCAAUUUGGUAAGCCCUGGUCAGCACAACAUUUGGGUAAGAAACUCACUUGUUCCAUUAGACUCUCGAGUUAUAAAUGUUUUUUAUAAUUUACCUGCUGAAAUUAAUUGUGAGUAUGCCAAGUUGCUUGACAAAUUGACCCCGCAACAAUGGAACACAAUUUUCACGACACUUACGGUAGAGGGUGCAUCGUGGGCUAAUGAGGAGGGGCAUGUAAUUAACAAGAUAGAUUUAAAACCCAUUGCUAAGGUGUGGGUGAAAUUUCUAAAAUCCAGGCUUAUGCCAACCACCCACACCACUACUGUUUCACAGGAAAGGUUGGUGCUGUUAUAUGCUAUUGUUAGAGGGCUUCCCAUAGAUGUGGGAAGCAUUAUCGAAAAAGAAAUUCGAGAUUGUGCCAUGAAAAACCACAAGGCUGCUGCCUUGUUAUUUCUUUCACUCAUAACCAGCAUAUGUGUAGUAUCAGGUGUUCGUCUUGAUGCAAAGGAUGAAAUUUGUAAUUAUAUUAUGGCUCCAUUUGGUAUAACUUUUUAAUUCGAACUUAUUUAAGGAGAAUUUUUAUUAGUAGAGUUUUUAUAAAUAGAGAUUUUACUAAAAAACAAAAAUUAUAGUUAUUUAGUUGUCAAUGUCCAAAUUGAUGAACUAUUGUUCUUUUUGUUAACAUGUGUUUGCCAGUCACAUUAUACAUUUUUGCAACUUGCAAUGCAAGCGAUGAGAGAAAAUGAGAAUCUUGUUUAAUUGUCAAUAAUGACAAACCUAAUCGUUUCAUUAGGAGUAAUUUCAUAAUCGUUUGUUAUAAUUGAAUAUGUAUAAAGAAAGGAAAAUUCUAUUCGUAGAUUCGACUUAUUUUUUGUUUAAGGUAAUUAAUCAUUCAACCAUCUUCAUUUGCCCCUGGCCACUGCCCUUGUAGAUUAGUUGAAGCGUUAAUUGCUUAAUUCAGAUAAUUACAACGUCCUUUUCGCUAAUUAAUUAUGAUUAUAUACGUUUUCAUAUAGCAAGUGGCAUUGUAGAUCUAAAUUAUGUUGCUAUUUCAAUACGUUAAUUAAGUGAUUCUCCUCAUUGUCAUCAAGUGGAAAAUAGCUCAAUUGUUUCCCUGCAUCGAUUUUCAUUGGUAAGUGAUUUCUUAUGAUAUUCGUUUGAGCUUUCCUUAUUAAAAAAGCUUGAGCCUUGAUCACCUAAUACUGAUAUCAAUUAACUUGUGAACGAUUUUGUAAUGAAAUUAGGAGUUAAAUAUAUAAGAUUUUUACGUGAUGAAUUUUGAUUUUUUUAAUUUUUUGAUGUAGUCAAUUUGCUAAUUUUAUAUAUUUCAUAUUCAACGGAAUUUGGGCACGGAAAGUUUGGAUUCUAAUAUUUAUAUAUUUAGCUUUAAUCAGCUUGACUUUAGCAAUCUUUUUCCCUCAUCAUUAAGGGAUUCAGAAUUAGAGAAACGCUAGGAAGAGGAAGAAAAUAACUUUGGAAGUAAGUAAGAGGGAAAAAAUUAUGAAAUUUGGAAUUAUUUUUUGUAAAGUAUGUUGCGUUUACUAAACUGGAAUUAGAAUGAGCUGAAAUCAGAAUGAAUAGGAAUGCGAAUGUGCUGAAAUCGGAAUAGGUAAUGAGAAUAAGAAUAAGUUGUUUACUUGAACUGUAAAAAUCAAAAUCGGAAUGAGCUGAAUUGCAAUUACUUUGUCUUGGAAUCGGAAUCGGAAUCGGAAUGAGUUAGAUUAUAACAAAUUACUGAAAAGUACUUAAUGAAUUAUUGUCAUAAUUAUUAUUUUAUAUUUUAAUUAUAGUGAUUAUUUAUUCAAAAAUUAUUAUUAUUAAUUAUUUCCAAUAAUAUAUUAAUAUGUUAAUUAAUUUUAAAAAUUAUUAAUUAAUUUAUUAUAAUAAUAUACUAAUUAAUUAUAAUUAUUAUUAUAAAAAUAUAUUAAUAAUAAAAUUACUAAUUUAAUUGUAAUAAUAUAUGAAUUAAUUAUAAUAAUUAUUAUAAUAGUAUAUGAAUUAAUUAUAAUAAUUAUUAUAAUAGUAUAUUAAUUAAUAAUAAUAAUAAAAAUAUAUUAAUUAUGUGAUUAUUUAUUCAAAAAAUAUUAUUAUUAAUAAUUAUUGUUAAUAAUGUAUCAAUAUACUAAUUAAUUAUAAUAAUUAUUAUAAAAAUAUAUUAAUUAUUAAUAAUAAAAUUACUAAUUUAAUAAUAAUAAUAAAAAUAUAUUAAUUAUGUGAUUAUUUAUUCAAAAAUUAUAAUUAUUAAUAAUUAUUGUUAAUAAUGUAUCAAUAUAUUACUUAAUUAUAAUAUAUUAAUUAAUUAUAAUAAUAUAUUAAUUAAGUAUAAAUGAGGACAAAGUGGGUAUUUUUAAUUUCACGAAGGGGCAAAAUGGUCAAUUCUAGUAAUGGGAGACUCACUCCCACCCUCUCCUUUGGGAAUGAGUCUCCCAUUCCUCAUUCCCAAAUUGUGGUGGGCCCCAUGAUUUUGACUCCGAUUUCUAACUCAAUUUUGCGAAGUAAACGCUACCAAUGAUUCCGAUUUCGGAUUCUGAUUCACUUAUCUGAGAAGUAAAAGCAACAUAAAUGUGUAUGAAUAAUUGAUACCUAUGAAUAGUUUUGGGAGUUUUAGCUAGGAGUCAUCUAUUGAAGAUGUUUAGCAAUUGAAGAUCUCUGUCUCAGUAGUUUUCCCAAUCAAAAUCAAGAAGCAAAAAAACUUGCCAUUUUUCUACUUGAUAAUUAAUUGAAAUUUAAGAAAAUACAAUGGCAUUUCAAUUAGAAUUGGUAAUUGUUUAUCUUUUUUCAUUGAUCAAAUUCUAAUCGUGAUCCAAUAGUUAUGGAUGAAGGAAAUAUUAUGAGAGGCGAUAGGCCAAGUGAAGACGUACCAGCAAAUUCAAAAUAGUCGGGAGGUGGACGUCCAGCAUAUCUCCUUCUCUCUGUAGCACCCAGAUGCAUUGUUAUUUGCUCCAAGAAAUGUUAAAAGGAUUGGCCCUAUCUCAAUGUGGUUAGUGGCAAGGGCGGAGACAGCAUAUUAAUUGACUGUGGGCUUACUCAACUGCGAUAAAAAAAAUUUAAAAAAUAAUAAAUAAUAAAUUUAAAAGAUUUAUCAUACUUCAAUAUAUGUUUAUAAUUAUCCUUUACGAGUUUUCAUACAUUGAUAACGUUGUAUUACAACUUCAUUAUCAAUAUUAUUGUGGGCUGUUUAAAAAUUUGAUUAAUAUUAAUAUUUAUAGGCUUGAUUUUAUUUUGUAAAGCCCAUCUCUUUUUAUUUGUUUUAAAAACUUAGAGUGUGAGAAUUUAAGUAUAAUUAUGUAUUAGGAACUUGAAUAUAAAUUAGUGGGGGCUUAGGAAAAAUUUAUUAGAAAUUUUUGGCAAAUCAAAUUAGUUAGUAAAAGAUUUUUUUUUUUUUUUUCAGUGGGGACUUAAGUCCCCACUGGUCCCAAGCUAGAUCCGCCACUGGUUAGUGGUGAAAAAUUAAACACCAUGGAAGGAUUUGCAAGGAAUAUGCCAAGAAACUGGCUAAGUUCCACAAAUAUGGCAUUAUUGCUCUUUUUUUUUUAAAGAAAAAUUAUACACGUUAAUUUAGCAAAAAGUCUAAGACACGUGCCUUUUGAAAAGAAUAGCUAUUACCAUGACACAAUCGAUGCGGCUGAAACCAAAAUUUUCUUUUCUUAAUGUAAAGUUUUUUUUUUAAAUAGAUUUUAAUAUCAAAAUGCCCUUCGAUGUUAUUACUCUCACAAGCCCUGUAACAGGAGUAAUAAAAAAGUUUAGAAUUUUUGGGCAUGAAAAAAGUAGUAUUAAACAUCAGCAAGCAAAGGUUGUUCUGUUAAAGAAUUGAUAUUGACGUGAUUUUAUUUUGGUUAUCGAGAAAAAAAUAUAUUUGUUGACAAGUAAGAAAAUAUUAUUAUAUUUUACAAUCUAUUAUACAUAUUUUAUUAUAUUAAAUAAUACUAAAUAGAAACAUAAAAUUAGAAUAAAAUAAAUUAAAAUUAAAAUUAAAAUUAUUUUGAAUAUUAUGUAAAAAAUAAUGUUAAUAUCAUUGUUACUUGUAAAAUAUAUUUAGCCUAAAGAUUUAUUUAAAAUUUUAUAAUGAAUAAAAAUAUAAAAAUAAAUUAAAUAUCAUAGUUUAAAAUCUUAAUAUUAUUUUAAAUAUUAAAAAUACUUUAAUGUAUCUUAAUAUUAUUUUAAAUAUUAAAAAUACGUUAAUGUUAUUAUUCUACUACACAUGUUAUAUUAUUUAUAUUAUAUUUGUAUUAAUUAAAAAUUUUAAAGUCAACUUUCUAGUAACUAUAUUCAAAGGUAUUAUGGUUAAAUAAAGGUCUUAGUGUUUCUUUUUCAAAAUUUGAGGGUCUACAUGAUAAUUUUUCCAAACCCUAAGGUAUAGGAGUCCUUUUUGUCAAUAAUUUAUUUCACUUUUGAGAGAAUACGAUGAGAAAUAAGAUCAGAGAAAUGUCAAUUUAAUGUUCUCUAGCUUAAUGAAAAAAAAAUGGAAACCAAGAACUAUUCAAUUUUGUAUUUUUUGUUUGUAAUUCAAAAAAUCCAUCCGCCAAACAAGAUUCACGCAUUUAUGUUGUCAUAAAAUGAAAAAACAGUUUGUGAAAAAAUGGCACCAAACAUACCCUUAAUGUCCCACAUGAUUUCUUAUGAAGCCCAUAUUAGAUAUAUUUAUACAUUUUACUGCAUUUAGGACAUGUUUGAUAGCCUGCAUUAUAUAGGAUAAAAACAUAAUUUUGUAUUAAAUUAAUGCACACUCACGUUUGGCGCUAAAAGUAACUCCAGCCGCAUUGCAUUAAUGGGCUGCUACUGCGGCAAUUGCCGCACUAGCUUGCCUCUUUUUCUUUUUAAUUUUAUUUAUAAUAAUAAUAAUAAUAAUAAUAAUAAUAACAUAAUAUAACUUUUAUUUUAAUAUAAUAUUAAGUAUAAUUUUUAUUUUUACAUUAUAAUUAUUGAUAUAAAUUAAUAAAUUUAUUAUUUAUUAUUCAAUAAUAUUAUAUUAUUAUUUUUUUAUUUUUACAUUAUAAUUUAUUAGUAAAUUUAUAAUUUAAUAUAAUUAAUGAUAAUAGAAAAUAUCAUUACAUGUACUACAAAACUCUUACUUGGAUUAUUUAACACAAUUUAUUUUAUUCGUGAAUAUGUUAUAACAAUUGUAUCACUUUAUUGUUUUGUUAUUAUUUUGUGGUAUGUAUAAAUUUUUAUUCUAUUAUUCAAAGAUGACUUUUGAACUAAUCUUAUAGGUUUUAACUAUUUAUUUAUGUUGUUAUAUUAUUAGAGAUUAUUUGAUUAAAUUAUUUGCUUCGAUCUUUAUUUUACAGGUCAUAUAUUUAGAAAUUACUGAAAAAUAAAUGUUCUACUUCCAAAAAAUUUAAGGCUAUAAGCUCGAUCUUUAUGAAUAAUUGUGAUAUUUUUUAACAUUUACACUAAAAAAAUUGUUAAAUUUCUAAAAUUUAAGACUUCUAUAUUUAGUAUUUUUCCAAUUACUAAUAAGUAUUAUUUUCUAAAUAUAUAAUUUAAAUUAAUCACAAAAAAUUAAUACAGUACAGUGCAAUAUCAAAUAUAAUAUAAUUAAAAAUUAUACAGUACAAUGUAGCACCAAAUAUUGUACAAUAUUAUUAUAAAAUAGUACUGAUGCAAUACAAUAUAAUACAAUAUAGUGUGCCAAACGCACCCUUAGAGUGUGUUUGGAACAUGGGAUUAUAGGGUAUUAAAACACUGUUCACAUUAGCUUAAUACCAAUAUCAUGUUUGGAAAGAAAUUUUAAGGGAUUAAAGGGGGGUGAGCUAAUGCCAUAACUGCGCCAUUAGUGUCUUGGUUUUUUUUUAAAUAAUAAUAAAAAAUAUAAAUUCCUAAUUUUAUGUAAUAUUAUAUAAUAUUAAUUUUUAUUUUCUUUGAUCUUUACAUUAUAGUAAUUAAUAUAAGUUAAUAAAUUUAUAAUUUAUUAUUCAUAUUUUAAUUUUUAUUAUAUUAAAAAUAUAACUAAAUAAUUUAAUUUUAAUUAUAUAAUAAUUAAUGUAUAAAAUUGAUUAAUAUUUAAUAAGUUAAUACAACUAGUAAUAAGUGCUUAAAUAAUAUAUAAAAAUAAAAAUAUAACAUAAUAUUACAUUAUUUAAUUAUAUUACAAUAACUAAUAUAUAAAAAUUGAUUAUUAUUUAACAAUUUAAUAUAGCUAAUAAUAGAUACUUAAAUAAUAAUUUAAUAUAACUAAUAAUGAAUAUUGAUAUAUGAAUAUAUUUAAAUAAUAUUAAUACCAAUAUAUAUAAUAAUAUAAAAUAUUAUUACAUGUACUGUAGUAUUCUUACUUGGAUUAUUUAGCGCAAUUUAUUUUAUUAGUGAAUAUGUUACAACUAUUGUAUCACUUUAUUAUUUAAAUUAAUCAAAAAAAUUAAUACAGUACAAGAUAGCACUAAACAUUGUAUAACAUUAUUAAAAUACAGUGUUAAUGCAAUACAAUAUAAGACAAUACAUCUAUAUUAAAAUAAAAUAAAAUAAUUUAAUUUAAUAUAAUACAGUAUGUCAAACGCACCUCGUAUAUUUUAAUUUCAAAAGAAGUUGGUCCUUCCGUUAUUUAUAAAAGAUAACUUUAUUUUCAGAUUACCACUAAACUCUGAAGUAGAAUUGGUGUAAUGUUAAGAGAGAGUAACACAGUUUUCCAUUACCAUCUUUGAAAAUAGAAAGAUAUGGAUCAGUGUAUUUAAGAGUUAUCGUGAAAAUCAUACAGUUCAAUUCCCUGACACAUAUAUUUAUGAGCAUAUGCCAAAAGAAUAAAUAGAUAGAAAGUAAAUUUACAAUCCUCACUUCCUCACAAUUGUUAAAAUGAAGAUGCAUUACAACUGUGAACUGUCACUAUUUUAGCCUUUUUUAUUUUUUACUUUUAGUUAUAGUGCGAUGGAGACAGUGAACAUCAAGGAUGAGAAUAAAAGUUAAAGAUGACCCACCCACUUUCUUUUUAAAGUGCUCUGCUCAAAGACAAACUUCCUCUGGCUAAUUAAUUUAGAUGUGAAGAGAGAAUAAAGUCCUAGAUGCCUUCUGAAAUUAGAAAUACAUUUUAUAUGCUUUAAUUAUGAUUAUUUGGUAGACUAUAGACCUAAAAGACAUGUUAGAUUAUAAAACAGUGCGAUUAAAAAAAAAAGAGUAUUUGUGACGUCAAAUAACAAUUGGUAACUAAAAUCCAAAAUAUUUGAGUUGUUAAAAGCAAAUAAAAAAAAAGAAGGUAAGAGUGAUGCAGAAACACAAUAUUAGCUUAUCUUGAUUUUCCCACUUUAUUCAUUCUCGAUGCUUUUCAAAACAAAUUCUUCUAAUCUUUCUGGUGUCUGCAGCCCCUUGUCACGGGACGAGAGGUUUCGAGCCCGUGCGGUACUCUCGCAUCCCAUACUGCGAGAGUAAACCUAGUGGAAGUGGCACAAUAUCGACUGGUUUCACCCUGUCUUGGGCUCAUCAGGAGAACGGCUCCAGUUCCCAACCAGUGUGUGAAGAGCUUCGCCUAAACCCCUCUUCAACGUUAAGUCCUUGACUAGCGACAAGCUCCCCAAACUCAACCAGGUUGGCCUGCCUGAACUCCAAGAAAUCUAGGAUCAUUGUAUUCCCCACACGACGCCCCUGAAGCACGUCUCCUACAAUCAGCACAACCCUUAUCGAUACCAGCGUACAAACGCAUAUCUUCGGCGUCACAAUUGCAGUCCGUGACACCCUGCUCUUGUUAUAAAACUCCACCCCAAAUCUACACUACAAACAAGUUGAUUGAAAUUAAACAAUUGCUUUUUGAAGUGGACCCAUUGAGUCGUGGUCAUUACUCGUCAUUGUCUAUUUUUUCUAUGAGCCAUUUAUUUUGAGCAAUAGUGAGCUUCUCUGAACUACUCCAAUUAUUGAUGUAACUCCAGUGGCUGCAUCCAUAGUUGAAUAUAUGACAGUAUUAGCUCUUAUUUGAGAAUAUAGGGGGAUCUUUCUUUGUUUCUUUGUUGCAGUGUUCUAGUUUAUAGUCUUGCUGUUAAUGAAUUCACUGAGGCAUUAUUAAUUUAAUUUCAGUGAAGUAAUUAUGGAUGAAAAAUAAAUAAAGGAUAACAGAAUAGAGCUGAAGUGCUGAAUCGGCUAUUAAAGAAAGUGUCACGUGAUCACAAUCACACUGAUGCACAACUCUCUCUAUGUACUCCAAAUUCAGCCAAACCAUACAUGCCUCAACAAAAUUAAACCGUAGUUCUCAUCACUACAGUAAAUGAAGCCCACAAAGACAGCUGAAAUGGAAAAUAUUGACUAUUGAAUGGAUCAAUGCUGAAUUACACUUGAAAUGGGAAGCUUGGCUGCGGUUACGAUGUUUCCCCCUCUGAUUUUUCUCCAAAACAAAUUCCGUUGUAAAUAAUAUUCAAUGUAGCAACACUUUAUUCAGCAAAGAAAAUACCUAAUUUUUCAACUAACAAAUUCUCUUGUCUAAACUAAAAAAACUCACAUCUCUCCAAUCUAUCUACAAAAUAUUGGAGAUGAGAGGUGAUUUGUCAACUCGAUAAAUAAAUUCAUGCAUAAUGUUACCAAUAAUGAUAAAUUACUUAAUAAUUCUUAUAAAGAAUCAUAAAUAAGGAACAUUAACCAUUUUACAGUCUAUUACAUAAGUAAGAUUAAUCUUAUAAUAAGUUAACUUAUAACGUAAUAAAUAUUUCAAUUCAUAAUUAUUUAAGAAGUCACUUAACAAUAAAAUAUUUUUUUAUUUAAUUGAUCAUGUCAUAUAACGUUAUCUAAACUCCUGACGAUAUUAUUAUUACUCACUUUUCUCAAAAAAACAUGACUAACGUUUAGAGAAAAGUCAUGCCUUUUAGAUAGAUAGAAUAUGAUUACAAGCUAUCCAUACUUUAUCUUACCAUGACAAAAUUGAUGGUGAUUAAAUCUAUUUUUAAAAUAGAUUUAAUGCACAAACAUGAUGACUUUUGCCAAAAAUUAGUUUCAGAAGAUAACUAAAUUAAGUUGCAAAGGAGCUUACUUCAAUUUCUAAGCUUUUCAAUCAUGAUUCCUCCAUGCCUUCCUCUGAUACCAUUUUGUUACGUGCCAACGUAAUUGACCUUGUAAUUGGUUUGUAUAAGGAAUGAAGCCCUUUCAAGAUCGUUUCUUUUGUGUCCAUAUUGUAGUAGACUAGUAGUCAAGUAAAUAAAGAGUGAAUAACUGAAUUUGGUCUAUUUCGAAGAAGACUAUGGCCUCCACACUACAAGAAAAUAGGCGAUAGAUAACGGGAAAUAACCGUCAUAAAAGGUGGUGUAUGACAGACAGUUUAUUCGUCAUCUAUGUCACUGUCAUUAAUUUAUGACAGAAUAUUUUCCGUCAUGAAUUCUUGAUGUUAUUUUACAAUCAUAUAUCCAUCACACAAUAUUUUAAUGAGAAAAAAUAAUUAAAUAAAAUUUGAAUUUAUUAAAAUUUUUGCUCUAUUUUUUAAUUUUUUGGCGGAAAAUUAAAUUGUCAUUUGUAAAUUUCUUAUUCAAUUUUGGUGGAAAAUUUUUUUAUGACAGACUUUAUGAUGUGUAUUUCCCAUCAUAAAGUUAAUUUUUUUAAAUUAUAUUGUGAUUAUAGUUUAUUUCUGAAUUCCUGUUUACAAAUUUAAUUAAUUAAUAAAAAAUGAAUAUUGUCAAAAAAUAAAAAAAUAAUAGUAACUAAAAUCCAUUCAAUCCAACAAAUUAAUUUCAAAAUAAAUACAUCUAAUAUUCAAUGUCAUUACCACUAAUACAUAAUAAAACAUCCCAAAUUAAAAAAAAGAAUGUCAAAAUAUAAAACAAUAGUUAAAUUCCAAUUAAAUUCCAAGAAAUGUAAUUCAAAUUCCGGACACCGAGCCAAGCUCCCCAGCAAAACUUCCAAAGAUUAAUGGAAAUAUUCCAAUAGCAAGACUUCCAGAAGCAAUACCCUCUUCCAGUGGCAAUACAUUGACUAAUCUUUGAAGCCAUGACUCCUCAAGCCAAUGCCAAAAAUGUGUGCAAAAUUAAUGCUCUAUCCACAAAAAUUUCAGUCUAUAUUGGUAAGAAGAAACAUGAAGAAACAAUUACCUCAGCAUCAUCGUCAUUGGAAGCCAAAUCAGCUGUAAAGACCACAAAAUGUUUGGUUAGAACUAGUGGAAGUCUUACUCUAAAACUUUUAAUUUUUGAAUUUCGAAAGAUCUAGUAAUGACAAAGAUUCUCAUAUCCAGUGACCAAGUUUUGAAAAUUAGAAUACGGAAUAACGUCAACUAAAUUCACUAAUAUAGGGUGCAUUUGAGAUUGAGGUUGGACAGCUGUAGCUUAAAAGCUACAGUAGUAAAGUGUUUGGUAAACACUAGUUGCUGUAAUUUAAAAACUAUGUUGAUAUGAUUUUUCACUUGUAUAAUGGAGAAUCUAUUUUUUUAAAUAAUUAUGUCAAAAUUAUUAUUUAAAAUUUAUAUUUACUACAUAUUAUUAAUUUUUGUUUCAUAGUCACAGUUUUUUUUCCACAGCAGUUGUAAAGCUACAUCACCUCAAUCCCAAACGCACCCUAAGCUAGAGGAAUCCCUAGUUGAUAUAGCACACAUGCACACAUGAUAUGCAUGCAUCAGAAUACACAAUAAUAAAUUAUCUCAAAGUCAAUAAGAAGCCAAAACUAGAGAUAAACCUUUAGCCACUAUAAGGAAGACUGAUAUUUGCAGUGUGAUUACAAUAAACAAACAGAAACUUCACUACCCAUAAGUAAAGCAAAAUAAAUAAAGGAUAAUAACUAACCAAGAAAUGGAAAAGCUCACAUUCUCUGAACACGCACCCCAAAAAGAAAGAAAGAAAUAAAUGUUCCCAUUGGAUCUGAAGCACAAGCAAUCCACUGACAUCCUUCUAUAAUUAGGUAAUUUAAAGGGGUUAAGCUCACAUCUUUUACGGAAGCAACAAGAGAAUUAACAACAUUCCAGAGGAUUUAGGGAAAAACCACGAGGCAAGAAAAAAGAAAGAUCCUUCUUCAAUCUAGAUAUCUUGACACUGCUCACCAUCUACAGCAGUCUGGGGCUUAAAAAGCAUGAUCUCUCCCCCCCUCUGGCACCAUUUUCUCUCAUGUGAAUCUGUCAUUGCCCGUAGAAACAAACCAGAACUGCAUAAAUUCUCUUAUCUUCCAGCAGCUUCUUUUCUCCAGAAAUAGGCACAACUAUUUGACAUGGAAACAAUUUAUCUAACAUGGCCACCUUUAAAGACAAAGACAUACUAAGGACAUGGUUUUAGAUACGGAUACAAGAAACAAUCACAAAAUGUAAAAUCUAUACAUAUGAUAUUAAUUUCCAAUGGAUACAGCACUUCAUUCUUUGACUUAACUUCAUUAGAUUACUAGGUUUGAUUAGGUUAUACACACAUUUAUUCAUUUAUGGUUUUCAACCUAUAAUCUACAUGCACUUAGAAUGAGAGGUACCUAUAAAAACAAGUUACCAGAAAACAAUACAGCUAGAAAACAUUAAAACAUUAAUCUAAGCAGUUCUAUAGGUUUAACUAACUGCAGGAAAAAACCGUUGAUUUUGUCCGUCGGAUUAUUGAGAUCCUAAUUCUGGUAAAAAGAAAAUGAGAUAAUAGAAAAUCAAAAAUUAAAUAGACACAAAAUGAGAAAUCAAGAUCAUACGGCAACUAAUAUAUAGCAUGGGCUGCAGCUAACAAGCAAUAUAAGCCAUGAUAUUAUGCCAGAUACAAAAUUUUGAGAUCCAAGAGAGAUCAAGAAGCAUGAAUAUUGAAAGAAGUGAGUGCAGAAGGAUAAGAAAUCAGGUUGAUAUUCUUCAUACUUUGGGUCAACACGUAGUGAUGCAAUAAACUUGUAAUUAGCUUCAAGUGUAUAGGCUACCAUGUCAACAUUUCCGAAAACACACAAGAUUGUGCUGGAUUCAUAUAUAGUACAUAUAUAAAAAAACAAUCUGCUUCUAAACUUCAUGAGAACAUCGAAUAAUGAACUUACAAUUUGAUCCCUCAUCAUCUUCAUCGCACCAUUUGUUCCAAUCAACCUUAAUGUAAGGUGCUGGUUUCUCUUCUGACUUGAGUAGCCUUUUCCACCAACCUUUCUCUUCUUUUUGCACCGAGCAUAUUAUGUUCCUUAAGCCAACUUUAGUCUUACAUUUCUGCACCACCAGCAACAAAAUUCAAAGCAUUACAAAAGAGGUAUAUUUAGCCGCUCUUGACUCGAGUGAGAGAACAGGAUAAACAGCCUAGGUAUAUCCACAUCCAUGUUAUGAGAUUAAUUAUGCAACAACUAACUUUAAUAUAAAGUUUGUGCUCCAACAAAGACUAAAAUGUUUGUAAUUGUUAUGCUUCCGGAGCUAAAAUGUUUCGCAAACACUCACUUUUACUCUGCAGCUAAUAUCUAGCACCCAGCCACACAAAGUCCGUAGUCUUUGUCUCAACUUUGUCUGAGGCCAAUGUAAAUCCAAUUUGCACAAGCUCUCUAUGCACCACAGCUCUUCUGGAAGCUUUCUCAAGUACGCACAAGGGUUGACAAUUAAGCUUUCAAGUUUUGGUAUUGCUCCAGCCCCCAUCGUCCACUCAUCUAGCCAAUACAUUGAUUUCAGGCGCAAAACCUUAAGUUCCGGAAAGCCACCCGAGCAAGCACAGGCCAGCUUUCUUCCUAAAUACAAGCUCUGCUUCAGUUUCAGCACUUGAAGGCGUGGAAGCUUUUUGAUAAGGAAAGGGAGCCACGGAGGUCAACAAAGGUUCAUAAGCCUAACUACAGAUACGAGGGCUUUGUUUGAACAUUCGUAAGUCUCAUGCAGCCAUGCAUGCGGUCAUGCAUGUUGCAUGCAAUACCAUGCAAGACUUAUUUACGCAUGGAUUAAAGAGUAGUCUGUUUCUAGUUUUUUAUUUAAGAUUGCUCAGUUAUUUAAAUUGAUUUUAGCCGUGAAUUGUGGCUACAAAUCCUUAGUAGUGUUUGUAUUAACUACUAUAAAUAAGCUCCAGCAAUUAAUAAAAGGAUUAUGCAAAAAAUUAUCUCAAAGUACUAUUCUUGGUCGUUUUCACCGUAAGUAGAACAACGUAAACUUAGCUAUUGUUGAACGUUUUUGAUUGGGACCUAUCACUUUUCCAGCCUUGGCAUGGGAUCCUCCAUUAGCUCAGUAUUUGAUAAGCUCAGUUGGGUCAGACUUGGAGGAAAUUGGUAUUCAGACAGGACCGUCCGUGAGAGCUUGCUUUCAUUCACCAGCUUCAAGCAUUCAAGUUUCUCUAGUUCGCAUAGGCUUUUGGAAAUCCCAGAUUGAUAGUAACUCAAAUCUCCAGACACUCUAAGAGUUUGAAGAUUAGGUAGUCUGCCCAAUAUAGCUGGAGUGCAACUACUAGGGUGUAAGGCUGAUAUGAAAAUGAGAUUUUUCAGAGAGCUGGAAUAAUUUUUUGGAGGCGCAGGCAGAGUGAUGCAACCGAAGUUUAAAUGCACGAGUUUUCGCAUCAUCCAAAUAUCCUCUGGUGAAUGAUCUAUGUAGCUUGAUGGCAUUUCUAGUGUUUGAAGGUUUAAAAGAGUGCAUAGCAGUGAAGGAAGGCAUUUGAGCGAGGGGAUAUUCAAUUUCAAAUACUUCAAAUGGAAAAAGUUUCUAAUCCGGGCGGAUAUUGGUCGAGAAUUGCAGAACCCAAGUUCAAUACCCCAAGGUGUUUGAACGUUUGACGAAAAUUCUCGCAAUCUAUCAGAGCGAGAUGAUCGCUUUCUGAACUGUGAUUCAGAAAAGAUUGGAGAUAGAUGUCAGGAUGUUCUAAAGAUAAAAACUGAAUCAGAUGUUCCAAAAUGAAGCACCGUUUAACAUUUGCCAGUGGUUCCUUUUCCCUUUCAUGCAUGCAGACAAAUUCCGUCUGCGCUGCCACCAAAAACAAUGGAGUACAUAAAAAACUUGGAACAUAACACGCUUUAAUUGUGCCUCCGGCUCUUCUCUUACUCACUUGAAUGAAGCCGCAAUAGAUUAGUUCUUUCAAAUAAUGCUCGGCAGUUUCUUCACUGUUGUAUGGUAUGAAACCUUCAGCUACCCACAAAUGAUAUAAUUGCCUCGUAGAUAUUUCAAUACUUGGACGAAAGACACACAAAUAGAUGCAGCAGACUUUCAAGUGAAAAGGUAACUCCAUCAAAGAAUAACUGUGUCUCUAAAUUGUCGGAAUCGCUACGCCUUGAACAUAAUUUUCUAAUGGCAUACUUCCAUAGUGUAGGAUGAAAAAUUGCCAGGCUUUAUGCUUUAAUCUGAUCAAUGGUCCUCCACUGAGCACUGAAUCAAACCGAAUCAUCUCUCCGUUUUCCAUGUCCAACAGCGUAAGGGGGCAUGGAUCAGUGACCAAUAUCAAUACUCUGCUUCCAUUCUGAUUGUCAGGAAGAACUUGUUCAAGAUCAUCCAAUACAUCGUCACUCUCUUCACAGUAAUCAUCAAGCACAAUAAAGUACUUCUUGUUUGUUAGGAAAUCUCGAAGAAUAGAUUUCUUCAAUUGAUAAUGUUCACCGAUAAUUACACUAACCCGAGAUGGAGGCAUCACAGACUUGAUUAUGUCAUCCAAUAUCUUGCCAAAAUCGUAGAGUACAGAAAUCCUGACCCAAGCAAGGCAGUCAGAGAAUUGCAACCACUGCAAGCCGAGGAUGUCCUUCAAUCAAUAAAUCAAACAACUCCUCUCUACCACUUUCAAAUUCGUUGAUAUCAAGCCGAGGUUUUCCCUCAAUCAAUAAGUGAAUGAGUUUGUCCCUUUGUUCAGUGAUUACGAAACCAUUGUCGCCGGGUGGAAGUUGUUGCAUCCGAUUUCUAAUAUCAAUAAUUUUACUGUGGAGUCCAACAAGAAGAGCCAUAUUAGUACUGCUUUCACUUUCUUCUUCACUGUUUUGCUGCUGCAUGAUGUUGAUGAAGAAUGUGUCAAUGGCUUCCUCAGAUUCAUGGACAAAGUCAUUGAUGUCCUUCACAAUUUCCAGAAUGUCUGAUCUUUUAACGUCUUCAUCGCUUUCUUGUAAAAAAGCCAAAUAUAUUUCGGAUUCAUCGAAUUCUCCUCUAAUGAGUUGAAACAAAAGCCGAGCCAUGUCAGCUUCAUAGUUUCCCACCAGAGUAGUAGCAAUGAUUUCUGACUCCGUAAGAAGGUUCUGAAAAAGUGGAGUCAAAUUUGUUCAAUCAGGCAACGUUAACGCGCCUUCUUCACCUGCUAGCACCCUUUUCAACCUCUCACAAAAUAGUCGGAGGUUCACGUCCACCAUAUCUCCUUCCCUCCGUAGCACUCAGAGAAGAUUGGUCCUAUCUCAAAGUGGUUAGUGCUGUAAAAUUAAACACCAUGGAAGAAUUUGAAAGGAAUAUGCCAAGAAACUGGCCAAGUGGCUAAAUUCCACAAAUAUGACAUUAUUGCUCAUUUUCUCUCAGACACGUGAUACACGUUGAUUUAGAGGAAAGUUCAAGAAUUUUGCUUUAAAAAAAAAAAUUGAUGGUGCUUAAAUUAUUAUUUUUUUAAUUUAAAGAGUUUUGCUUUUAAAAAAAAAUUAAUAUCAAAAUGCCUUCAAUGUUAUUACUGCCACAAGCCCAGUAACAAAACUCAUUAAAAAUUUUAGAAUUUCUGGCCAUGGAAAGAGUAGUAUUAAACAUCAGAAAGCAAAGGUUGUUCCGUUAAAGAAUUGAUGUUGACAUAAUUUUAUUUUGGUUUUCGGGAAAAAAAAAAUAUUUGUUGGCAAGCAAAGAAAAUAAUUUUAUACUUUACAAUCUGCUAUACAUAUUUUAUCAUAUUAAAGUAAUUUUAAUAUCUAUCAAAAAAAUAAAUUUAAUAAUAAUUGGAACAUAAUAUUACAAUAAAUAAAUUAAAAUUAUUUUAAAUAUUAGGAAAAAAAUAUUAUUAAUAGGAAGAUAUUUUGUUAAUUGUAAAAUCCUUUUAUUCCAAAUAUUUUAUUUAAAUUUUUUAUAAUAAAUAAAAAUAUAAAAUUAAAAUAAAUAUCAUAAUUUAAAUUUUUUAUAUUAAAAAUAUUUUAAUGUUAUUAGUCUACUACAUAAAUUAUAUUAUUUAUAUUAUAUUCGUAUUGAUUAAAAUCUUUUAAAGUUAAUUUUAUAGUUACUAUAUCCACAGGGUAUUAUAUUAUAUUUAAGAGUAAUUUUUUCAAAUUUUAGGAUUGCAGAUGUCCUUCUUCCGAUAAUUUAUUUCACUUUUGAGAGAAUCCAAUGAGAAAUAUGAUAAGAGAUGGUCAGUUUAAUGUUCUCUGCCUUUAUGGAAAAAAAGUAAAAAGUAAAAACUAUUCAAUUUUGUACUUUUUGUGUCCACCAAAUAAAUUUUACACAUUUAUGUUGUCAUAAAACGAAAAAAAAGGGUUUGCCAAAAAAUGGUACCAAGCAUACCUUUAAUGUCCCACGUGAUUUCUUAUUAAGCCCAUAUUAUAUAUAUUUAUACAUUUUAUUGCAUUAAACAUUUUUAUUAUAAAAGAAGUUGGUCCUUCCCCUAGUGAUAAAAGAUAAAUAUGAUAAUGUUUGAGAUGGGUUUAGUCUUUUAUAUUUGCUGAGUCCAGUGGGUUAAAGAAUUAGAGUAAAGCAUCUGGGCAUUCUUUCAUGCAAAACUAAAAAUCCUGAAAAUAGUUGGCUUUAACUGAUUAAGACAAGCUUGGUCGAAUUGAGUUGAACUUCAUAUAUAAAAGCCAAAUAUAUUGCGGAUUCAUCGAAUUCUUCUCUAAUGAGUUGAAACAAAAGCCGAGCCAUGUCAGCUUCAUAGUUUCCCACCAGAGUAGUAGCAAUGAUUUCUGACUCCGUAAGAAGGUUUUGAAAAAGUGGAGUCAAAUUUGUUAAAUCAGGCAACGUUAACGCGCCUUCUUCACCUGCUAACACCCUUUUCAACCUCUCACAAAAUAGUCGGAGGUUCACGUCCAGCAUAUCUCCUUCUCUCCGAGAAACUGUGUAAGUGGCUAAAUUCCAGAAAUAUGACAUUAUUGCUAUUUUUUUAACUCAAAAAAAUGGUACGCGUUCAUUUAGAGAAAAGUUCAAGACGCGCGCCUUUUGAAAAAUGGUACCCGUUCAUGUAGAGAAAAGAACAGGUAUCCCAAUCGGUAUCCAACCUUUAUCUUCUUUAAUUACCACCACGACAUGAUUUUUUUUUUUUUUUUUUGAUGACAUGAGACUAUUGCUUAAAUUACAACUCAAAUUACAACUCAUAUUACAUGAGAGUAUAAUUGAUAUGUACAAUCAUAUAUACAUACUGAGAUCUAUUGACAUUAAUGCUGAUAUGACACUGCUCAGAUUUUUGUAACCCUCUCAAAUAUUCGAGGGACGUCAAACUCCUAUCCUGGGAGAAAGACUGCCUUCACUCGAGCUCUGUGGCUCCAAGGAAGGAAAUAUAAAUUAAACCUCUACAAUGCGACUGCGGAGGCUCGAACCCCUUCCCUCACAUAUGUGAGGGAGUGGCUCUAGCCACUUGGGCUAGCCCAAGUGGUUCCACGACAUGAUUGAUGGUGCUUAAAUCAAUUGUUUCUUUUUUAAUUUAAAGAAAUUUUCAUUAAAAAAAUAUUUUAAUAUCAAAUACCCUUCAAUGGCAUAACUGCCGCAAUCCCAGAAACAGGAUUAAAUAUUUUUUUUUUUUUGAAUUUUUGGGCAUGGAAAGAGCAGUAUUAAAAAUCAGAAAGCUAAGGUCGUUCUGUUAAAGAAUUGAUAUUGACAUAAUUUUUUUUUGGUUUUCGGGGGAAAAAAAAAAUUGUUGACAAGCAAGAAAAUAUUUUUAUAUUUUACAAUUUAUUAUACAUAUUUUUUUUUUUUGGAUCAAUAAUGGGCUCUAAAAGAGCUAAAGCACCAGUAAACGGGAGUGGGCAACCCCAGACACAUCGUUAUGAAGAAUACUCUGUAAAUUAGGAGGAGCAACAGUAAGUAACUGCAAUCCUAAAGGACAAGACAAAUUAAAUGAGGCCAGAAAAUCUGCUGCUAUGUUUGCUUCUCGAUAGAUGUGGUUCACUUUCACGACCCAGUCCCUGCUGAUCAGCUCACGAAUGGCAAGGAUAAGAGAAUGAUGCUCAUUAACAGGAGUGGUCGGAUUCUCCAAGAUUUGAGAUUUAUUAUACAUAUUUUAUCUUAUUAAAGUAAUUUUAAUAAUAAAUAGAAACAUAAUAUUACCAUAAAUAAAUUAAAGUUUAACUUAUUUUGAAUAUUAUAAAAAAUAAUUUUAAUAUUAUUAAUAGGAGGACAUUGUAUUAAUUUUAAAAUUUUUUAACCCAAAGGUUUAUUUAAAAUCUUUAUUAUAAAUACAAAUAUAAAAUUAAAUAUAAUAAUUUAAAAUUUUUAAUAUUAUUUUAAAUAUUAAAAAUAUUUUAAUGUUAUUAGUCUACUACAUAGAUCAUAUUACUUAUAUAAUAUUUGUAUUAUUAAAAAUUCUUAAAAUCAAAUUUUUAGUUAGUAUAUUUAUGAGGUAUUAUGGUUAAAAAAAAAACCUUAUUAUUACUUUUUAAAACAUUGAGGGCCUGCGUGAUAAUUUUUUCAAAAAGAAAAUGCUUGGUAUCUAGGAGGGUUAGAGAAACAGGACUACCAAAAUCUCUCACCCUUUUUUAAUUAAAAAAAAUUAAAAUAUCAAUAAAAAAAAUAAAGAAAAUAGAAUUUUAUCUGCUCCUUACUCCAUUUUUGUAACUCUCUCACCAUCUCUGUCGAGCAGCCCUCUCUUUCACUGUCUCUCACUAUUUCACAAUCUCUCUCUCACUCACACAGUCCUUUAGAAAAGCCCAAAAUAGGCCCAAUAAGCCCAUAAUUAAAAUAAUCGAAUCGAAUUAUUUCAAUUAAUCGAGUAUUUGAUUAUUUCGGUAAUUUGAUUAAUCGCGAUUAUGAUUUUAAAAUAAUCGUAAUCGAACGAUUAUGAAAAAUUUAGUAAAAAACCGAAUUGAACCGAACCGCACCCACCCCUACAUAAAAGAACAACAAUUACUUGUCAUUUUCAAUUUUUUCUAUAAGCUAUUUAUUUUGAGCAUUAGUGAUCUUGUCUGGACUACUCCAAUUAUUGACGUAACUCCAGUGGCUGCAUCCACUGGAAAAAGUGGAUGAGAACAUUUUUUUUUUUCAUAAAGGUAACUACUCCAAUUAUUGACAUAAUUGAUGGUGCUUAAAUCAAUUUUUUUUUUUAAUUUAAAGAAUUUUGCUUUAAAAAAUAAUUAAUAUCAAAAUGCCUUCAAUGUUGUUACCGCCACAAGCCCAGUUAGAGGACUCAUUAAAAAUUUUAGAAUUUUUAGGCCUGGAAAGCGUAGUAUUAAACAUCAGAAAGCAAAGGUUGUUAUGUCGAAGAAUUGAUGUCGACAAAAUUUUAUUUUAGUUUUCGGAAAAAAAAAAAAAUUUGUUGACAAGCAAGAAAAUAUUUUUUAUACUUUACAAUCUGCUAUACAUAUUUUAUCAUAUUAAAGUAAUUUUAAUAAUAUAUGGAAACAUAAUAUUAUAAUAAAUAAAUUAAAAUUACUUUGAAUUAUUGAAUAUUACAAAAAGAUAAUUUUAAUAUUAUUAAUAGGAAAACAUUUUUAAUUGUAAAAUCUUUUUAAUACAAAAAUUCAUUUAAAAUCUUUAUAAUAAAUACAAAUAUAAAAUUAAAAAAAUAUCAUAAUUUAAAUUUUUUAAAAUUAUUUAAAUAUUAAAAAUACUUUAAUAUUAUUAGUCUACUACAUAAAAUAUAUUAUUUAUAUUAUAUUCGUAUUGAUUAAAACGUUUUAAAGUCAAAUUUUUAAUUAGUGUAUUCAAAGAUACAAAAGAUUUUAGUAUUAUUUUUAAAAAAUUUCAGGAUAUGAAUGAUAAUUUUUUCAAAUUUUAAAGAUGUAAGAAUCUUUUUUUCUGAUAAUUUAUUUCACUUUUGAGAGAAUCCGAAAACGUUAAUUUAACAUUCUUUACCUUUGUGAAAAAAGUGAAAAUCAAGAACUAUUCAAUUUUGUUUUUAUUUGUAAUUCAAAAACUUUAUUCAUUUUCGAUGCUUUUCAAAAGAGACUCCUCUAAAUCCUUUUGGUGUCUGCAGCUCCUGCAAUUCUCAUAAAUCUCCAUCCCACAUCUACACUAUCAAACAAGUUGAUGGAAAUUCUUAUCAAAAAAAAAAAAAAAAACAAGUCGAUGGAAAUUGAUCAAUUACUUUUUGAAGUGGACCCAUUGAGUCAUGUUCAUUUCUGGUCAUUGUCUACUCUUUCCAUCAGCCAUUUAUUUUGACCAUUUGCGAUCUUAAAGGAUAUGAGAACGUAGCUGAAGUGCUGAAGGGGCUAUUAAAGAAGAGUGUCACUUGAUCACAAUCACAUUGAUGCACAACUCACUCGUGGCAAAUUUCGACUAUACGUUCUGCAAAUUCAGCCAAACCAUACAUGCAUGAACAAAACUAAAAUGUAGUUCUAAUCACAACUGCAGUUAUAAUGUUUACCCCUCUGAUUUUUCUCCAAAACAAAUUCAGUUCAAAACAAUAAUUAAAUAGCCACAUUUUGUUCGUCAAAAUAAAUGCCCAAAUUUUCAAUUAACAAAUCAUCUUCUCUAAACUAAAAAUCCCACAUCUCUAAAAUCAAUCUACAUAAUGUUGGAGAUGAGGGGUGAAUUGUUAACUCAGUAAAAAAAACUCAUGCAUAAUAUUACUAAUAAUAUAAAAUAUAUAUUAAUCAUUAUAAAGAAUCAUAAUUAGAAAAAUUAAUCAUUUUAUAAUUUAUUACACAAGUAAGAUAAAUCUCAUAAUAAGUUAUAACAUAAAAAAAACGUUAUCAAUAUAUAAUCAUUUAAGAAGUCAUUUAACAAUAAAAUCGUUCUUUAAUCAGUUGGUCAUGUCACAUAGUGUCAUCUAUAUUUACGGUGAUAAUAUUAUUACUCAGUAUUAUCAAAAAACAUGAUUUAACAUUUAGAGGAAAUUCUUGCCUUUUAAAAAAAACAUGUAUGCAACAACUACCCAUGCUUUAUCUUACCAUGACAAAUAUUUUCUCAAUGAAAGAAAAUUUUUUAAAAAUUGAUUUAAUGCACAAAUAUGAUGAUUUUUCCAAAAAUUAGUUUUGGAAAACAUAGUGAGAGAAAAUAGUGACGAUUAUUGUUUAGAUGUAUAAAUAGCCUAAACAUAAUCCUUAAUACCAAUAUCCUAAUGCAUCUUAUCAUCUUUCAUGAUAUUCUUUCAUUUAUGUCCAUUGGUUCAAGAUUUGAAUUUGAUCAUUAAAUCAUGUUCAAUAAUAUUAGAGAUUCUAACAAAUGAGUACCAACUUAAAUCCCAAUGUUAUGUGUCAUUGACCAAUUUUGUGUCAUUUUGUUAUUAACUAGGUGAUGAAUUUGUAGUUGAUAAAAUCACUUAAAAAUAUCUUAAAAAUCAAACAAUAGUUUGCUUAAUUUUUCCAAGUUAACUGCUCAAGAUGCUCUAUUAUAAAUAAUAACCUAAUUAUAUUCAUAAAAAAUGAUAUUUUUUUUGUGGUGUUGAUAAUGAGAUUAUCAUUCAACAUUUUAAAAUGUGAAAACAUAUGGAAGAUGGUUGUAAAUUGAUUGAAUGAAAACAUUUCAGUGAAGUCUCAAAAAUUUGGUACUUGUUGUCUUAUCGAAAGUUUUCUAAAUUAUAUUCGUGGCACAGCCACUAUCCAAACCAUACAAGUCCAAAGCUAUCCAAACCAUACCUGCAAGUCCGGGGCUUAAAUGGAGUACUUCUAAGCAAAAAAACAUUGACUAAAAUAGAAUAUAUACAUACAGACACACAUACAUACCAGCAUAUUCAAAAUAGCAAAAGGAGUGCAAAAGUUCAAGUUUGUAGACAACAUUGCAACCAUAGCAUGUUUAUAGCAAAUCCUCAAAAUCUGCUAAAUAAAACAAUGCCCUGUCUCAUGAAUCAAUGCUGAAUUAAAAUUGAAACUGAAAGUCUGGAUGGUUUUGUUUGUUGAGAAUGUCAAAUAAAACGGCAUUGAAGGAAGUUUUCAAAGGCAGAAUCCGCACUUGUCAAAGGGAUGAUCUGCACUUGUCAAAGACACUAUCCGCGCCGAACGGAUCGACACAUUUCCUUCCGUAUUCACAUAUGUAAUCUUUGAAAAAAUAUAGCUUCUGCAUCUAUAAAUAACGCUCAGUGUAUAAUGUUUUAUUCAAGAAAUAAAAACAAGUUUCUACAUGGUAUCAGAGCCAUGAAUGCGCUCAAGUUUCUUCAAGUUUCGCUGCUCUGUUUGUCACAAAAACAGAGGAAACCAAUUAAAUUCGUCCCACAACCAUUUUUUCCACCAUUUUCUUCCUUAAAAUCAUUCCUAACAUUACAGAAAUCCAUGCCGAUCAAAAAACAUGAAAGACAAAUUACACAUGUGCAGUAACCAAUGAUCAUAUUUCGUUACUGUCAAACACAAUGCAUCUGAGCAAAACAUUGGAAGCCAACACCAGAAUACAUAUGAAUAAACAAUUAAAGAUAGAGAAAAAAGGCUUAAACCUUGGGGGGAAAAAGUGAAAAAACAUGAAAGACAAAUUACACAUGUGCAGUAGCCAUCGAACUUAUCAGUGACAGCUGCAUCCAUUACAUUGCUCCAACAACACAAUGGCAAACCACCAGUUUCAAAUUGAGGAUAGCUAUCGAGAAUGAGAAAGUGUCCAAAACGUCAUAAAUAGACAUGUUCCGAUUGUGCAUAAUUUACAUUAUAGGCAAAUAUUCUUAUACCAUCAAAGGCAAAACAUGACACUAACAAUUGAUCACCCCCCCCCCCCCCCCCCCAACAACAAAAAAAAGGAAAAAAACAAUACAGAAAAGAUUGAAACAGAUAAGGCUACACUGAGCACAGGAUGCCAUGAAACAUAAUCCAGGAACCAAAUUAAUAAAAAAGGAAGCCAAACCAUUAUUUAACAAUCUGUUUUGUAUUUGGGAAAGUCUGAUAAAAUCUACUUGGGGAUAAUUAGAGAACCUCAACUAUUAAUCACACCUCAUAAAUGAACUAACAUUAAACAUCUACCAUCCCAACGUCACACAAACAUUCUCUACACUUCUGAACCUAAUACUUCCAUCUUCAAUUGGGGUUUUUUUUUCUUUUUCUUUGGGGGGGGGGGGGGGGGGGAUUGAAAUGCUGAUUUCGAAUCACUAACAGUAAAAUUGGAAGCUCAUGAAAAAAUAGUUUUAUCUCAAAAUUACAUCUCGAUAUAAAUUCUCUUUUCAUUUCCUUCAACUUUCUAAUUAAGCUUAAAAAAUGUACCUUCAACCACAAAGGGGUUUAAAAUUUAAAAUAUAAAAAAUAAAUUCAGAUAACAAUAAUUAAUUUAAUUAAAAAUAUAAAUAGAGUUACAGAGAAAGAGAAAAUAGAGAAAGACGUAAUGUUGAGUCCUUUGGCGCAAGUCUCUUCAUAGGUCCGAACCAUUUCUUCGGGCGUGGGUUUCGGGUCUUUAGGAUACUCCAUAGUGAUAAGCCAGUGAUUGUAAUCGCAACCCUCGAACAGAAUCGUGUCGGGUGUGAUCUCGUCGCCGUCCUUAUACAAGUGGUACGUCUUGUUAACCGACGGCGUAGACGAGAGGGAGAUCGUCGGGGACGAUCUGAACGGCCGAGAUUGGAUAAUGAUGGAGGAGGAGAAGAUUAGCGAUGACGACGCCGAUGAAAUGGAAGGGUUUACCAGAGGAGUGGAUGCGAAGAAUGCAGGGACGGCCGCAAAGAGAGAGCGGCGGAGAGCGGCGACGGACGGUAGUGACCAGCGGAGGCGGAAAAUGGCGGUAUGGGCCAUUGCUUGCGCGUCGGUGAGUGUCUCGAGUGAGAGAGUGAAGGGUUUUGGGAAAUGAAAAAUGCAAAUGUUUGAUUUUGUUGCUAGAAACUUCUUCUGCCGCUGCCUUUUAUUUUCGCUAUAAUAAUAAUAAUUUGUUAAUCAAAUAUUUUCUUAAAAAAGAUAAAUUUCUACAACAAAAUUUAUAUUAAAUCAAAUUGUAAAAAUGUCUAUUAGGGUUAAUUUCUCCUUAAUAUUAUUAUUAGUAGAUGUAGAUUUUCGAAUUAGUCUUGAUAUAUUUCAGAGUUGUAUUAUAAAUGUAUAUGUAUCUGGAUUGCAAUUAUAUUUUUAAAAAAUAUAAUUUUUUUAAUUAUUGCACAAUAAAUGUAAAUAGUAUCUAUAAAAUAAUAUUAUUAGGACUACGAAAAAAAUAUUAUUUUAGAGAAGUUAUUUAUUUAUUAUUGAAUGAAUAAAAAAAUUAGUUUGGCAUUUUUAUAACCUCCUUGAAGGUUUUACGAUAAACAUAAAUCUACUGAGAAAGUGGGAAAAAAAAAAGAAAAUGCAUAUAAAAGUAUGAGUUAUCAGAUAAGAUUAAAACUCACCCAAUUCAAUCCAUCAGAUUCCGUAAGGAUAUAACUGGAUGUCAUACCGCCACUCCAUAUCCUCGAAAGUCCGUAGUCCUUGUCUCAACUGUGUCUGAGGCCAGUGUAAGUCCAAUUUGCGCAAGCUCUUUAUGCACCACAGCUCUUCUGGAAGCUUUCUCAAGUAAGCACAUGGGUUGACAAUUAAGCUUUCAAGUUUCGGCAUUGCUCCAGCCCCCAUCGUCCACUCAUCUAGCCAAUACAUUGAUUUCAGGUGCAAAACCUUAAGUUCGGGAAAGCUACUCAAGCCAACACAAGCAAGCUUUCUUCCUAAAUACGAGUUCUGCUUCAGUUUCAGCACUCGAAGGCGUGGAAGAUUUUCCAGAAUUGGCAUGGGAUCCUCCAUUAGCUCAGUAUUUGAUAAGCUCAGUUGGAUCAGACUUGGGGGAAAUUGGUAUUCAGACAGGACCAUCCGUGAGGGCUUGCUCUCAUUCACCAGCUUCAAGCAUUCAAGUUUGUGGAGUUCGCAAAGGCUUUUGGAAACCCCAGAUUGAUAGUAACUCAAAUCUCCAGAUAUCCGAAGAGUCUGAACACUAGGUAGUCUGCCCAAUAUAUCAGGAGUACAACUGCUACGGUUUAAAGCUGAUAUGAAAAUGAGAUUUUUCAGAGAGCUAGAAUAAUUUUUUGGAGGUGCGGGCAGAGUGAUAGAACCAAAGUUUAGAUGCAUGAGUUUUUGCAUCAUCCAAAUAUCCUCUGGUGACUGAUCUAUGUAGCUAAAUGGCAUUUCUAGUGUUUCAAGGUUUAAAAGGGUGCAUAGCAGUGAAGGAAGACAUUUGAGCGAAGGGAUAUUCAAUUUCAAAUACUUCAAAAGAUAUAAAUUUUCUAAUCCGGGCGGAUAUUGGUCCAGGACUGCAGAACCCAUGUUCAAUACCCGAAGGUGUUUGAACUUUUUACAAAAAUUCUCGCAAUCUAUCAGAGCGAGACGAUCGCUUUCUGAACUGUGAUUCAGAAAAGAUUGGAGACGCAUGUCAGAAUAUUCUAAAGGAAAGAAGUCAAUCAGACGUUCCACAAUGAAGCACCGUUUAACAUUUGCCACUGAUUCCUCUUCCAUGUCAGGCGUCCAGACAAAUCCCGCCUUCUUUGCCAGAAAAUACAAUGAAGUGUAUACAAAACUUGGAACAUAACACGCUUUAAUUGUGCCGCCGGCGCUUCUCUUACUCACUUGAAUGAAGCCGCGAUGGAUUAGUUCUUUCAAGAAAUGGUCGGCAGUUUCUUCACCGUUGUAUGGUACGAAACCUUCAGCUACCCACAACUGAUGUAAUUGCCUCCUGGAUAUCUCAAUACUUGGAGGGAAGACACACAAAUAGAUGAAGCAGACUUUCAAAUGAAAAGGUAACUCCAUCACAGAAAAAAUUUGUCUCCAAACUGUCGGAAUCGCUUCGCCUUGAAGAUAAUUUUCUAAUGGCAUACUUCCAUAGUGUAGGAUGAAAAAUUGCCAGGCUUCAUGCUUUAAUCUGAUCAAUGGUCCUCCAAAGAGCACUGAAUCACGCCGAAUCUUCUCUCCGUUUUCCAUUUCCAACGACGCAAGGAGGUCUGGAUUAGUGACUGUUAUCAAUACUCUGCUUCCAUUCUGCUUAUCAGGAAGAACUUCUUCAAGAUCAUCCCAUAUGUCACUGUCAUUGAAGACAUCAUCAAGCACAAUAAAGUACUUCUUGUUUGUCAGGUAAUCUCGAAGAAUAGAUUUCUUCAAGCGAUAAUCUUCACUGAUAAUUACCCUAGCCCGAGAUGGAGGCAUCAAAGAAUUGAUUAUGUCAUCCAAUAUCUUGCCAAAAUCGUAGGCUAUAGAAACCCUGACCCAAGAAAGACAGUCAAAAUAGAACUUGACAUGGUUAUUAUUGUAAGUAUCUGCAGCAAAAGCAGUCUUAUCGAAGCCACUGCUGUCGAGAAUUGCAACCACUGAAAGCCCAGAUGGUCCCUCAAUCAAUAGAUCAAAAAACUUCUCUCUGCCCCUUUCAAAUUCACUGAUAUCGAGCCGAGGUUGUCCCUCAUUCAAUAGGCGAAUGAUUUCGUUACUUUUUUCACUGAUAUCAAAACCAUUGUCGCCGGGUGGAAGUUGUUGCAUCCGAUUUCUAAUAUCAAUGAUUUUAGUGUGGAGUCCAACAAGAAGAGCCAUAUCAGUACUGCUUUCACUUUCGUUUUCACUGUUUUGCUGCUGCAUUAUGUUGAUGAAGAAUCUGUCAAUGGCUUCCUCAGAUUCAUGGACAACGGGAUUGAUGUCCUCCAGAAUUUCCAAAAUAUCUGCUGUUUCAACGUCUUCUUUAUCGCUUUCUUCUAAGUCCAACAGUUGCAAAAAAGGCAAUGAUAUUUUGGAGUCAUCGAAUUCUUCUCUAAUGAGUUGAAACAAAUGCCGAGCCAUGUCAGCUUCAUAUUUUCCCAGCAGAGUAGUAGCAAUAAUUUCGGACUCCGUAAGAAGGUUUUGAAAAAGUGGAGUUAAAUUUGUUGAAUCAGGCAAAGUUAACGUGCCUUCUUCACCUGCUAACACCCUUUUCAACCUCACACAAAACAGUCGGAGGUGGAGUUCCAGCAUAUCUCCUUCUCUCCGCAGCACUCAGAGGUAUAGUUGAAAGAUUAAACACCAUGGAAGAAUUUGAAAGGAAUAUGCCAAGAAACUGUGUAAGUGGCUAAAUUCCACAAAUGCGGCAUUAUUGCUCAUUUUUAACUCAAAAAAUUGAUACGCGUUCAUUUAGAGAAAAGUCCAAGACGCGUGCCUUUUGAAAAGAACAGGUAUCCCAAUCGGUAUCCAACCUCUAUCUUAUUUAAUUACUAUCAUGACAUAAUUGAUGGUGCUUAAAUCAAUUGUUUCUUUUUUAAUUUAAAGAAUUUUUCAUUAAAAAAAUAUUUUAAUAUCAAAUUGCCUUCAGUGGCGUAACUGCCUCAAGCCCAGUAACAGGACUAAUUAAAGAUUUUACAAUUUUUGGGCAUGGAAAUAGUAGUAUUAAAUAUUAGAAAGGUGAGGUUGUUCUGUUAAAGAAUUGAUCUUGACAUAAUUUUAUUUUGGUUUUCGUGGAAAAAUAAAAUUUGUUGACAAGCAAGAAAAUAUUUUUAUAUUUUAAAAUUUAUUAUGCAUAUUUUAUCAUAUUAAAGUAGUUUUAAUAAUAAAUAGAAACAUAAUAUUACGAUAAAUAAAUUAAAAUUUAACUUAUUUUGAAUAUUAUAAAAAAAAUUUUAAUAUUAUUAAUAGGAAGACAUUGUAUUAAUUUUAAAAUUUUUUAACCCAAAGGUUUAUUUAAAAUCUUUAUUAUAAAUACAAAUAUAAAAUUAAAUAUCAUAAUUUAAAAAUUUUAAUAUUAUUUUAAGUAUUAAAAAUAUUUUAAUGUUAUUAGUCUACUACAUAGAUCAUAUUACUUAUAUAAUAUUUGUAUUAUUAAAAAUUCUUAAAAUCAAAUUUUUAGUUAGUAUAUUCAUGAGGUAUUAUGGUUAAAAAAAAAAAAGACCUUAUUAUUACUUUUUAAAAAAUUGAGGGUCUGCGUGAUAAUUUUUUCAAAAAGAAAAUGCUUGGUAUGUAGGAGGGGUAGAGAAACAGGACUCCCAAAAUCUCUCACCCUUCUUUAAUUAAAAAUAAAUAAAAUAUUAAUAAAAAAUAAUAAAGAAAAUAGAAUUUUAUCUGCUCCUUACUCCAUUUUUGUAACUCUCUCACCAUCUCUGUCGAGCAGCCCUCUCUUUCGUUGUCUCUCACUAUUUCACGAUCUCUCUCUCACUCACACAGUCCUUUAAAAAAGCCCAAAAUAGGCCCAAUAAGCCCAUAAUUAAAAUAAUCGAAUCGAAUUAUUUUAAUUAAUCGAGUAUUUGAUUAUUUCGGUAAUUUAAUUAAUCGCAAUUAUGAUUUUAAAAUAAUCGUAAUCGAACGAUUAUGAAAAAUUUAGUAAAAAAACCGAACUGAACCGAACCGCACCCACCCCUACAUAAAAGAACAUCAAUUACUUGUCAUUUUCAAUUUUUUCUAUAAGCUAUUUAUUUUGAGCAUUAGUGAUCUUGUCUGGACUACUCCAAUUAUUGACGUAACUCCAGUGGCUGCAUCCACUGGAAAAAGUGGAUGAUAACAUUUUUUUUUUUUUCAUAAAGGUAACUACUCCAAUUAUUGACAUAAUUGAUGGUGCUUAAAUCAAUUUUUUUUUUAAUUUAAAGAAUUUUGCUUUAAAAAAUAAUUAAUAUCAAAAUGCCUUCAAUGUUGUUACCGCCACAAGCCCAGUUAGAGGACUCAUUAAAACUUUUAGAAUUUUUAGGCCUGGAAAGCAUAGUAUUAAACAUCAGAAAGCAAAGGUUGUUAUGUCGAAGAAUUGAUGUCGACAAAAUUUUAUUUUAGUUUUCGGAAAAAAAAAAUUUGUUGACAAGCAAGAAAAUAUUUUUUAUACUUUACAAUCUGCUAUACAUAUUUUAUCAUAUUAAAGUAAUUUUAAUAAUAUAUGGAAACAUAAUAUUAUAAUAAAUAAAUUAAAAUUAAAAUUACUUUGAAUUAUUAAAUAUUACAAAAAGAUAAUUUUAAUAUUAUUAAUAGGAAAACAUUUUUAAUUGUAAAAUCUUUUUAAUACAAAAAUUCAUUUAAAAUCUUUAUAAUAAAUACAAAUAUAAAAUUAAAAAUAUCAUAAUUUAAAAUUUUUAAUAUUAUUUUAAUAUUAAAAAUACUUUAAUAUUAUUAGUCUACUACAUAAAAUAUAUUAUUUAUAUUAUAUUCGUAUUGAUUAAAACGUUUUAAAGUCAAAUUUUUAAUUAUUGUAUUCAAAGGUACAAAAGAUUUUAGUAUUAUUUUUUAAAAAUUUUAGGAUAUGAAUGAUAAUUUUUUCGAAUUUUAAAGAUGUAAGAAUCUUUUUUUCUAAUAAUUUAUUUCACUUUUGAGAGAAUCCGAAAACGUUAAUUUAACAUUCUUUACCUUUGUGAAAAAAGUGAAAAUCAAGAACUAUUCAAUUUUGUUUUUAUUUGUAAUUCAAAAACUUUAUUCAUUUUCGAUGCUUUUCGAAAGAGAUUCCGUUAAAUCCUUUUGGUGUCGGCAGCUCCUGCUAUUCUCAUAAAUCUCCAUUCCACAUCUACACUAUCAAACAAGUUGAUGGAAAUUCUUAUAAAAAAAAAACAAGUCGAUGGAAAUUGAUCAAUUACUUUUUGAAGUGGACCCAUUGAGUCAUGUUCAUUUCUGGUCAUUGUCUACUCUUUCCAUCAGCCAUUUAUUUUGACCAUUUGCGAUCUUAAAGGAUAUGAGAACGUAGCUGAAGUGCUGAAGGGGCUAUUAAAGAAGAGUGUCACUUGAUCACAAUCACAUUGAUGCACAACUCACUCGUGGCAAAUUUCGACUAUACGUUCUGCAAAUUCAGCCAAACCAUACGUGCAUGAACAAAACUAAAAUGUAGUUCUAAUCACAACUCCAGUUAUGAUGUUUACCCCUCUGAUUUUUCUCCAAAACAAAUUCAGUUCAAAACAAUAAUCAAAAUAGCCACAUUUUGUUCGUCAAAAUAAAUGCCCAAAUUUUCAAUUAACAAAUCAUCUUCUCUAAACUAAAAAUCCCACAUCUCUAAAAUCAAUCUACAUAAUGUUGGAGAUGAGGGGUGAAUUGUUAACUCAGUAAAAAAAACUCAUGCAUAAUAUUACUAAUAAUAUAAAAUAUAUAUUAAUCAUUAUAAAGAAUCAUAAUUAGAAAAAUUAAUCAUUUUAUAAUUUAUUACACAAGUAAGAUAAAUCUCAUAAUAAGUUAUAACAUAAAAAAAACGUUAUCAAUAUAUAAUCAUUUAAGAAGUCAUUUAACAAUAAAAUCGUUCUUUAAUCAGUUGGUCAUGUCACAUAGUGUCAUCUAUAUUUACGGUGAUAAUAUUAUUACUCAGUAUUAUCAAAAAACAUGAUUUAACAUUUAGAGGAAAUUCUUGCCUUUUAAAAAAAAACAUGUAUGCAACAGCUACCCAUGCUUUAUCUUACCAUGACAAAUAUUUUCUCAAUGAAAGAAAAUUUUUUAAAAAUUGAUUUAAUGCACAAAUAUGAUGAUUUUUCCAAAAAUUAGUUUUGGAAAACAUAGUGAGAGAAAAUAGUGACGAUUAUUGUUUAGAUGUAUAAAUAGCCUAAACAUAAUCCUUAAUACCAAUAUCCUAAUGCAUCUUAUCAUCUUUCAUGAUAUUCUUUCAUUUAUGUCCAUUGGUUCAAGAUUUGAAUUUGAUCAUUAAAUCAUGUUCAAUAAUAUUAGAGAUUCUAACAAAUGAGUACCAACUUAAAUCCCAAUGUUAUGUGUCAUUGACCAAUUUUGUGUCAUUUUGUUAUUAACUAGGUGAUGAAUUUGUAGUUGAUAAAAUCACUUAAAAAUAUCUUAAAAAUCAAACAAUAGUUUGCUUAAUUUUUCCAAGUUAACUGCUCAAGAUGCUCUAUUAUAAAUAAUAACCUAAUUAUAUUCAUAAAAAAUGAUAUUUUUUUUGUGGUGUUGAUAAUGAGAUUAUCAUUCAACAUUUUAAAAUGUGAAAACAUAUGGAAGAUGGUUGUAAAUUGAUUGAAUGAAAACAUUUCAGUGAAGUCUCAAAAAUUUGGUACUUGUUGUCUUAUCGAAAGUUUUCUAAAUUAUAUUCGUGGCACAGCCACUAUCCAAACCAUACAAGUCCAAAGCUAUCCAAACCAUACCUGCAAGUCCGGGGCUUAAAUGGAGUACUUCUAAGCAAAAAAACAUUGACUAAAAUAGAAUAUAUACAUACAGACACACAUACAUACCAGCAUAUUCAAAAUAGCAAAAGGAGUGCAAAAGUUCAAGUUUGUAGACAACAUUGCAACCAUAGCAUGUUUAUAGCAAAUCCUCAAAAUCUGCUAAAUAAAACAAUGCCCUGUCUCAUGAAUCAAUGCUGAAUUAAAAUUGAAACUGAAAGUCUGGAUGGUUUUGUUUGUUGAGAAUGUCAAAUAAAACGGCAUUGAAGGAAGUUUUCAAAGGCAGAAUCCGCACUUGUCAAAGGGAUGACCUGCACUUGUCAAAGACACGAUCCGCGCCGAACGGAUCGACACAUUUCCUUCCGUAUUCACAUAUGUAAACUUUGAAAAAAUAUAGCUUCUGCAUCUAUAAAUAACGCUCAGUGUAUAAUGUUUUAUUCAAGAAAUAAAAACAAGUUUCUACAUGGUAUCAGAGCCAUGAAUGCGCUCAAGUUUCUUCAAGUUUCGCUGCUCUGUUUGUCACAAAAACAGAGGAAACCAAUUAAAUUCGUCCCACAACCAUUUUUUCCACCAUUUUCUUCCUUAAAAUCAUUCCUAACAUUACAGAAAUCCAUGCCGAUCAAAAACAUGAAAGACAAAUUACACAUGUGCAGUAACCAAUGAUCAUAUUUUGUUACUGUCAAACACAAUGCAUCUGAGCAAAACAUUGGAAGCCAACACCAGAAUACAUAUGAAUAAACAAUUAAAGAUAGAGAAAAAAGGCUUAAACCUUGGGGGAAAAAGUGAAAAAACAUGAAAGACAAAUUACACAUGUGCAGUAACCAUCGAACUUAUCAGUGACAGCUGCAUCUAUUACAUUGCUCCAACAACACAAGGGCAAACCACCAGUUUCAAAUUGAGGAUAGCUAUCGAGAAUGAGAAAGUGUCCAAAACGUCAUAAAUAGACAUGUUCCUAUUGUGCAUAAUUUACAUUAUAGGCAAAUAUUUUUAUACCAUCAAAGGCAAAACAUGACACUAACAAUUGAUCACCCCCCCCCCCCCCCCCCCCAACAACAAAAAAAAGGAAAAAACAAUACAGAAAAGAUUGAAACAGAUAAGGCUACACUGAGCACAGGAUGCCAUGAAACAUAAUCCAGGAACCAAAUUAAUAAAAAAGGAAGCCAAACCAUUAUUUAACAAUCUGUUUUGUAUUUGGGAAAGUCUGAUAAAAUCUACUUGGGGAUAAUUAGAGAACCUCAACUAUUAAUCACACCUCAUAAAUGAACUAACAUUAAACAUCUACCAUCCCAACGUCACACAAACAUUCUCUACACUUCUGAACCUAAUACUUCCAUCUUCAAUUGGGGGUUUUUUUUUUCUUUUUCUUUGGGGGGGGGGGGGGAUUGAAAUGCUGAUUUCGAAUCACUAACAGUAAAAUUGGAAGCUCAUGAAAAAAUAGUUUUAUCUCAAAAUUACAUCUCGAUAUAAAUUCUCUUUUCAUUUCCUUCAACUUUCUAAUUAAGCUUAAAAAAUGUACCUUCAACCACAAAGGGGUUUAAAAUUUAAAAUAUAAAAAAUAAAUUCAGAUAACAAUAAUUAAUUUAAUUAAAAAUAUAAAUAGAGUUACAGAGAAAGAGAAAAUAGAGAAAGACGUAAUGUUGAGUCCUUUGGCGCAAGUCUCUUCAUAGGUCCGAACCAUUUCUUCGGGCGUGGGUUUCGGGUCUUUAGGAUACUCCAUAGUGAUAAGCCAGUGAUUGUAAUCGCAACCCUCGAACAGAAUCGUGUCGGGUGUGAUCUCGUCGCCGUCCUUAUACAAGUGGUACGUCUUGUUAACCGACGGCGUAGACGAGAGGGAGAUCGUCGGGGACGAUCUGAACGGCCGAGAUUGGAUAAUGAUGGAGGAGGAGAAGAUUAGCGAUGACGACGCCGAUGAAAUGGAAGGGUUUACCAGAGGAGUGGAUGCGAAGAAUGCAGGGACGGCCGCAAAGAGAGAGCGGCGGAGAGCGGCGACGGACGGUAGUGACCGGCGGAGAGCGGAAGAUGGCGGUAUGGGCCAUUGCUUGCGCGUCAGUGAGUGUCUCGAGUGAGGAGUGAAGGGUUUUGUACUUUUGUUUAGGGUUUUGGGAAAUGAAAAAUGCAAAUGUUUGAUUUUGUUGCUAGAAACUUCUUCUGCCGCCGCUUUUUAUUUUCGCUAAAUAAUAAUAAUAAUUUGUUAAUAAAAUACUUUCUUAGAAAAGAUAAAUUUAUAGAACAAAAUUUAUAUUAAAUCAAAUUGUAAAAAUGUGGAAUAGGGCUAAUUUCUCCUGAAUAUUAUUAUUAGUAGAAGUAGAUUUUCGAAAUAGUCUUGAUAUAUUUCAAAGUUGUAUUAUAGAUGUACAUGUAUCUGGAUUGUAAUUAUAUUUUAAAAAAUAUACAUUUUUUUUCAUUAUUGCACAAUAAAUGUAGAAAGUGUCUAUAAAAUAAUAUUAUUAGAACUAUGAAAAUAUAUUAUUUUAGAGUAGUUAUUUAUUUAUUUUUGAAUAAAUAAUUUAUUAAUUUAUUAAUUUAUUGAUAAAUUAAUAAAUAUUAAUUUAAAGAGAGAUUUUUUUUUUUGGGGGUUUUUAAGAAGAGUUUUGUUGGUAUAUGUACAAACUUAUAAAGAAAUACAAAAAAUGCUUCCUCAAGUCAAUAGUAUUUACUUUAAUUCAUAAUAGUAUAGUUUAAUCAAGAAACUUAUAAUUAUACUAUAUCUUUCUUUCUUUGUUCUAUUUGGUGGGACAUUGUGAUAAAUCAUUGGAUUAAAAUGCAUUUCUAAAUGAAAACUUGUUAAAACCUAAUUUAUUUGGGAACGACAUUUUAUUUGUCAGUCGUAUUUCUCAACUUCGUAAGUUAUUUCUAAUUUAUCGGUCUCUAUUGGUUCUCUUAAGUACCUAUUUGGCAUGACUUAUUUAAUAGUAAUAAGUGCUUAUUUAAUCUCAUAAGUUUUUUCCCUCUCUGACAAUUGAGUUAGGGGGUCAAACUUGAAAGUAUCUUAAAAUUAGACAACAAUUUAACUAUUUUUUUUUUUUUAGAUAACUGCUAAUAUGCUCUAUUAGACAAUGAUGAGUGAUAACCUAGGUGUUUGCAUUUAAAGGGAUACUUUUUGUGGUGUUGAUAAAGAGGUUAAGUAUGAUUCAACAAUUUAAAAUAUGAAAACAUAUGGAAGACGGCCGCAAUUAAAUUAAUUGUAUGAAAAUAUUUCAAUGAAAUUUUAAAAAUUUAGUAUUUGUUAUCUUAUCGAGAGUUUUUUAAAAUUAUAUUACUACUUGAACUUGACUGCUUUUGUAUUUAAUUCCUACCGUUGCCAUUGCUUCUACUCAAAAGCCAUUUAAGUUUGUGUAAGCUACGUAUAGUUUGAACAACAAUUUACUCAUGAAUUGUUGUUCAUAAUAGCAUCAGUGCAUGCAUCAUUUUAAUGAGAAAGAAUAUUCUAAGAACGAAAUUGAACGUGGGAGGUAUCGGGAAGGAAUUGGAAUGGAAUAAUAUCGAUUCAUAUAGAUACAGAAGAAAAAGUUCUCUAUUGAUUCAAAUGCUGUGCCUAUGGGAUAAGGAUAGAGAAAGAGGAAAAAACCGAAGCCAGAAAUGUACACGCAUGAGGAACUUUUCCUAGAAGAUUGAUAUUUCUUUGACUAGCAAACCAUACAAGUCCAAAGCUAGCCAAACCAUACCUGCAAGUCGGGGGUUUAAAUGGAAUACUUCUAAGCAUAAAACAUUGAUUAAAACAGAAUACACACAUACAUACCAGCAAAUUCAAAAUAGCAAAAGGAGUGCAAAAGUUCAAGUUUGUAGACAACAUUGCAACCAUGGCAUGUUUAUAGCAAAUCCUCGAAAUCUGCUAAAUAAAACAAUGCCCUGUCUCAUGAAUCAAUGCUGAAUUAAAAUUGAAACUGAAAGUCCGGCUGGCGUUGUUUCCCUCUCCAAUUUUGCCUACAUAAGUGAAAAUAAGAAUAAUAAAUGAAAAUCUGCUUUUACGGUUCUUAUUAGAUAGAUAAAAGGGGGAUCUUUCUUUGUUUCUCUGCUGCAAUGUGUGGCUAUCCCACUCUGUUUUGCCACCCAAGCUGAGUCUAUGCUGAGACAUAAUUUUGACAUCAGAAGCAAUCUCAAUUAGUUUGGCACUUUUAAGCAAUCUCAUAUUUUGCUCACUUGAAGGUUUUACGAUAAACAUAAAUCUACAGAGAAAGUGGGAAAAAAAAAAGAAAAUGCAUAUAAAUAUAUGAGUUAUCAGAUAAGAUUAAAACUCACCCAAUUCAAUCCAUCAGAUUCCGUAAGGAUAUAACUGGAUGUCAUACCGCCACUCCAUAUCCUUGAAAGUCCGUAGUGUUUGUCUCAACUCUGUCUGAGGCCAAUGUAAAUUCAAUUUGCGCAAGCUCUUUAUGCACCACAGCUCUUCUGGAAGCUUUCUCAAGUAAGCACAUGGGUUGACAAUUAAGCUUUCAAGUUUCGGCAUUGCUCCAGCCCCCAUCGUCCACUCAUCUAGCCAAUACAUUGAUUUCAGGUGCAAAACCUUAAGUUCCGGAAAGCUACUCAAGCCAACACAAGCAAGCUUUCUUCCUAAAUACGAGUUCUGCUUCAGUUUCAGCACUCGAAGGCGUGGAAGAUUUUCCAGAAUUGGCAUGGGAUCCUCCAUUAGCUCAGUAUUUGAUAAGCUCAGUUGGAUCAGACUUGGGGGAAAUUGGUAUUCAGACAGGACCAUCCGUGAGGGCUUGCUCUCAUUCACCAGCUUCAAGCAUUCAAGUUUGUGGAGUUCGCAAAGGCUUUUGGAAACCGCAGAUUGAUAGUAACUCAAAUCUCCAGAUAUCCGAAGAGUCUGAACACUAGGUAGUCUGCCCAAUAUAUCAGGAGUACAACUACUAGGGUUUAAAGCUGAUAUGAAAAUGAGAUUUUUCAGAGAGCUGGAAUAAUUUUUUGGAGGUGCGGGCAGAGUGAUAGAACCAAAGUUUAGAUGCAUGAGUUUUUGCAUCAUCCAAAUAUCCUCUGGUGACUGAUCUAUGUAGCUAGAUGGCAUUUCUAGUGUUUCAAGGUUUAAAAGGGUGCAUAGCAGCGAAGGAAGGCGUUUGAGCAAAGGGAUAUUCAAUUUCAAAUACUUCAAAAGGAAUAAAUUUUCUAAUCCGGGUGGAAAUUGGUCGAGAACUGCAGAACCGAAGUUCAGUACCCGAAGGUGUUUGAACUUUUUACAAAAAUUCUCGCAAUCUAUCACAGCGAGAUGAUCGCCUUCUAAACUUUGAUUGAUAAAAGAUUGGAGAUAGAUCUCACCAUGUUCUAAAGAAAUGAAGUCAGUCAGAUGUUCCAAAAUGAUGUAGCGUUUAACAUUUGCAAAUGGUUCCGCUUCCAUUCCAGGCAUCCAGAGAAAUUUCGUCUUGUCUGCCACCAAACCCAAUGAAGUAUAUACAAAACUUGGAACAUAGCAAGCUUUAAUUGUGCCGCCGGCUCUUCUCUUACUCACUUGAAUGAAGCCGCGAUGGAUUAGUUCUUUCAAGUAAUGUUCGGCAGUUUCUUCACCGUUGUAUGGUAUGAAACCUUCAGCUACCCACAACUGAUAUAAUUGCUCCGUAGAUAUCUCCAUACUUGGAGGGAAGACCAACAAAUAGAUGCAGCAGACCUUCAAGUGAAAAGGUAACUCCAUCACAGAAAAAAUUUGUCUCCAAACUGUCGGAAUCGCUUCGCCUUGAAGAUAAUUUUCUAAUGGCAUACUUCCAUAGUGUAGGAUGAAAAAUUGCCAGGCUUCAUGCUUUAAUCUUAUCAAUGGUCCUCCAAUGAGCACUGAAUCACGCCGAAUUUCCUCUCCAUUUUCCAUUUCCAACGACACAAGGAGGUCUGGUUCAGUGACUGUUAUCAAUACUCUGCUUCCAUUCUCAUCAUCAGGGAGAACUUCUUCCAGAUCAUCCCAUAUCUCACAGUCAUCGAAGACGUCAUCAAGCACAAUAAAAUACUUCUUGUUUGUUAGGUAAUCUCGAAGAAUAGAUUCCUUGAAUUGAUAAUCUUCACCGAUAAUUACACUAACCCGAGAUGGAGGCAUCACAGACUUGAUUAUGUCAUCCAAUAUCUUGCGAAAAUCGUAGAGUAGAGAAACCCUGACCCAAGCAAGACAGUCAAAAUAGAACUUGACAUAGUUAUUAUUGUAAGUAUCUGCAGCAAAAGCAGUCUUAUCGAAGCCACUGCUGUCGAGAAUUGCAACCACUGAAAGCCCAGAUGGUCCCUCAAUCAAUAGAUCAAACAACUCCUCUCUGCCCCUUUCAAAUUCACUGAUAUCAAGCCGAGGAUGUCCCUCAUUCAAUAGGCGAAUCAUUUCGUUACUUUUUUCACUGAUAUCAAAACCAUUGUCGCCGGGUGGAAGUUGUUGCAUCCGAUUUCUAAUAUCAAUGAUUUCACUGUGGAGUCCAUCAGGAAGAGCCAUAUUAGUGCUGCUUUCACUUUCGUUUUCACUGUUUUGCUGCUGCAUGAUGUUGAUGAAGAAUGUGUCAAUGACUUCCUCAGAGUCACGGACAAAGUUAUUGAUGUCCUUCAGAAUUUCAAAAAUAUCUGCUGUUUCAACGUCUUCUUCAUCGCUUUCUUCUAAGUCCAACAGUUGCAAAAAAGGCAAAGAUAUUUUGGAGUCAUCGAUAUCUUCUCUAAGGAGUUGAAUCAAAUGCCGAGCCAUGUCGGCUUCAUAGUUUCCCAGAAGAGUAGUAGCAAUAAUUUCGGACUCCGUAAGAAGGUUUUGAAAAAGUGGAGUUAAAUUUGUUGAAUCUGGCAGAGGCAACGUGCCUUCUUCACCUGCUAACACCCUUUUCAACCUCUCACAAAACAGUCGGAGGUGGACGUCCAGCAUAUCUCCUUCUCUCUGUAGCACCCAGAGGUAUUGUUUUUUGCUCCAAGAAAUAUUAAAAGGAUUGGUUCUAUCUAAAAGUGGUUACUGGUGUAAAAUUAAACGCCAUGGGAGAAUUUGAAAGGAAGAUGCCAAGGAACUGGCGAAGUGGCUAAAUUCCACAAAUACGGCAUUAUUGCUCAUUUUUAACUCAAAAAAUUGAUACGCCUUCAUUUAGCGAAAAGUCCAAGACGCUUGCCUUUUGAAAAGAAGAGGUAUCCAUAGAUAUCCAACAUUUAUCUUAUUUUAAUUACUACCACGACAUGAUUGAUGGUUGUUAAAUCAAUUGUUUCUUUUUUAAUUUAAAGAAAUUUUCAUUAAAAAAUAGUUUAAUAGACACAUAAUAUUACAAUAAAUAAAGUAAAGUUUAAAUUAUUUUGAAUAUUAUAAAAAAUAAUUUUAAUAUUAUUAAUAGGAAGACAUUUUGUUAAUUUUAAAAUCUUUUUAACCCAAAGGUUUAUUUAAAAUCUUUAUUAUAAAUACAAAUAUAAAAUUAAAUAUCAUAAUUUAAAAUUUUUAAUAUUAUUUUAAGUAUUAAAAAUAUUUUAAUGUUAUUAGUCUACUACAUAGAUUUUAUUAUUUAUAUUAUAUCUGUAUUGAUUAAAAUUUUUUAAAGUCAAUUUUUUAGUCAAUAUAUUCAAGAGGUAUUAUAGUUAAAGAAAAGAUUUUGGUGUUAUUUUUUGAAAAUUUUAAGGUUUAAAUGAUUUUUUUUUUAAUUUUAAGGAUGUGGGUAUUAUUUUUCCGACAAUUUAUUUUAUUUUUGGGGAAUCCGAUGAGAAAUAUCAUGAGAGAAGGUUAAUUUUACAUUCUUUACCUUUAUGAAAAAAGUGGAAACCAAGAACUAUUCAAUUUUGUAUUUUUUGUUUGUAAUUCAAAAAAUGCAUCCACCAAACAAGCUUAUCUUGAUUUUCCCACUUUAUUCAUUUUCGAUCCUUUAAUCCAUCUAGCAUCUGCAGCCCCCGCUAUUUUCACAAAGAGUAAUGAUACAGCCACAAAUUCUUGUACAAAUUUAUUUUGUAUAAACUGACGUGGCAUGAUAAGAUUGGUUGAAUUAAAUAUCACUUGGCCCACAUGAUUUGUUUUUAUUAUUUUAUAUUUUUAUUCAACCAAUGAAUUAAUGCCACGUCAGUUUGUACAAAAUAAAUUUGUACAAGAGUUUGUGGCUGUAUCAUUACUCUGUCAAGAAUCUCCAUCCCACAGCUACACUAUCAAACAAGUUGAUGGAAAUUGAACAAUUGCUUUUUGAAGUGGACCCAUUAGGUUAUGUUCAUUACUGGUCAUUGUCUAUUCUUUCUAAGAGCCACUUAUUUUGAGCAUUAGCGAUCCUAUCUGGACUACUCCAAUUAUUGAUGUAACUCCAAUGGUUGCAUCAACAGUUGAAUGUAAGAUAGUGUCAGUUCUUUUUUGAGAAUAUAGAGGGAUCUUUAUUUGUUUCUCCGUUGCAGCGUAUUAGUAUAAAUUUCUUGACCUUACAGUUCCUACAGUCUUCCUGUUAAUGAAUUCGCUGAGGCAUUAUUGAUCCAAUCUCAGUGAAGUAAUUGUGGGUGAAAAAAAAAUAAAGGAUAAGAGAACGUAGCUCAAGUGCUGAAUUGACUAUUAAAGAAGAGCGUCACCUGAUCACAAUCACAUUGAUGCACAACUCACUCGAGGCAAAUUUCAUCUAUAUAUACUGCAAAUUCAGCCAAGCCAUGCAUGCAUGAACAAAACUAAAAUGAAGUUCAUAAUCACAACUGUAAUUAGAGCUACAAAAGGUGGCAAACCAUACAUGCAUGAACAAAAUUAGACAUAAAUUGAAGCCACAACAUUAAUUGAAGCCACAAAAGCCAGCAAAUCCAAAUGAAAACUUAAAAGGAAGAUCUUAUCGAAGUUUGUCCCCAAAAGACAGCGGAAAUGAAAAAUAUUGACUAUCGAGUGGAUCAAUGCUGAAUUACAUUUGACCUGGAAAGCUUGGCUGCAGUUGCGAUGUUCCCCCUCUGAUUUUCCCUAAAACAAAUUCAGUUGUAAACAAUAACUGGAGUAGCAACAAUUUAUUCAUUAUAGAAAAUACCUAAAUUUUCAACUAUCAAAUCCUCUUGUCUAAACUAAAAAACUCAUAUCUCUAAAAUCUAUAUACAAAAUGUCAUAAAUGAGGGUGAUCUCUCAAUUCGGUAAACAAAUUCAUGCAUAAUAUUACCAAUAAUGAUAAAUUACAUAAUAAUUAUUAUAAAGAAUCAUAAAUUGGAAACAUUAAUCAUUUUAAAAUCUAUUACAUAAUAAAAAUAAAUCUUAUAAUAAGUUACGUUAGAACAUAACAAAUAUUUAAAAUGAUAUAUAUAAUUAUUUAAGAAGUCUUUUAACAAUAAUUUUUUUUUUCUUUUUCAGUUGAUCAUGUCAUAGCGUUAUCUAAAAUGCUAGCGAUAUCAUUAUUCCCCACUUUUCUCAAAAAAAAGAAAAAGAUAAAGAAAAAAGAAAUAUGAUUAACGUUUGGAGAAAAGUCAUGCCUUUUAAAAAGAAUAUGUAUACAAUACCAAUUCAUACUUUAUCUUACCAUAAAAAAAUUGUUUAAAAUAGAUUUAAUGCACAAAUAUGAUGACUUUUGGCAGAAAUGAGUUUCGGAAAUAUUGGGAUGAAAACCAUAUUGGUUCAGACUUAAAAUUACUUAAUAAAAUUACUUAACUACCAUUUAAUAAAUAAAAAUCAUAUUAGUUGAAAGUUAAAUUAAGAUUUAAAUGUUGAGAUAUCUAACGUUACUCAAUCAGAAUAAACAAUAAUCAAUUCAAAUUAUGACUAUCAUGUAGAAGCAAAUGUUUAUGCUUGGGUCUUUUACUUCUUGAAUUUGAUUGGAAAAAUUUCUGAGACAGGGAAGUGAGUGUUUUGGAUAAUAUUUUUCGGGAUUGAAACCACAAGUUGGUCGAGGAAAAUAAUUUUGGACAAAUUUUUAUUAUAUUGUAGAACCUUUUUGGUUCCUUUUGUGUCGGCAGCCCCUCACUAUUCUCUUAACCCUGAGUUUUGAGAUAGAAAUUUCCCGAACUCCAACCCCACAUCCACAGACAAGUUGAUUGAAACAAUUGCUCUUGUAAUUAAGAGGAUGAGUUAGGGUUCAGUUCUUAUCAUUGUCUGUUAUUUCUUUGAAUCAUUAUCUUAGUUAAUUACAUCAAUUGUUUCUUUUCUUAAUUUAAAGAAUUUUUCUUUUAAAAAAAUAUUUUAAUAUCAAAAUGCGUUAAAUGGUAUUACUGCCGCAAUCCCAGUAACAGGAUUAAUUAAAAAAAUAUUCUUAGGAAGAUAUUUUGUUUAUUGUAAAAUCUUUUUAACCCAAAGGUUUAUUUAAAAUCGUUAUAAUAAAUAAAAAUAUAAAAAAAAAUAAAUAUCAUAAUUUAAAAUUUUAAUAUUAUUUUAAAUAUUAAAAAUACUUUAAUGCUAUUAGUCUACUACACAGGUUAUAUUACUUAUAUUAUAUUUGUAUAAAUUAAAACUUUUAAAGUUAAAUUUUUAAUUACUAUAUUGAAAAGGUAUUAUGGUUAAAAAAAGUUUUGGCAUUUGUUUUUUGAAAAUUUGAGGGUCUGCAUGACAAUUUGUCCAAAUCCUAGAGGUAUAGGUGUCUUUUUUUUUCGAUAAUUCAUUUUACUUUUGAGGGAAUCCGAUGAGAAAUAAGAUAAGAGAAACGUCAAUUUAACGUUCUCUAGGGAAAACCAAGAACUAUUCAAUUUUGUAUUUUUUGUUUGUAAAACAAAAAACAGUUUGCCAAAAAAGGUACCAAACAUAUCCUUAAUGUCUCACAUGAUUUCUUAUUAAGUCCAUACUCGAUAUAUUUAUACAUUUUAGGUAUUUUAGUUAUAAAAGAAGUUGGUCCUCCCUCUGUUUAUAAAAGGUAACUUUAUUUCGAGAUUACCACUAAAGUCUUACAAAGAAUUAGUGUAAUGUUAAGAGAGACUAACACAGUUUUCCAUUACCAUUUUGAAAAUAGAAAGAUAUGGAUGUGUGCAUUUAAUGGUGCGUUUACUUGCCGGAUUGGGGAAUCAGAAUCUGGAAUCAGAAUGAUUGAUGGUGUUUACUUCACAAAUAUGGAGCAGGAAUCGGAAUUGGAAUGGUGGGGCCCACCACUAUUUGGGAAUGGGAGAUUGAUUCCCAUGGGGGAAGGUGGGAAUGAGUCUCUCAUUCCCUGGAUUGACCAUUUUGCCCUCCCUCAAAAUUAAAAAUGCCUACUUUGUCCUCUUUUAUAAUUAAUUAAUAUAAUAUUAUAAUUAAUUAAUUAAUAUAUAAAUAUUUUAUUAACUAUAAUUAUUAAAAAUUAUAGUUCUUGAAUAAAUAAUCACAAUAAUUAAUUUAUUAUUAUUAUUGUUAAUGAAUUAAUAUAAUUAUUACUAUUAAUUAAUAUAUUAAUAUAUUAUUAACAAUAAUAUAUUAAUAAUUAUUGUUCGUGAAUAAAUAAUCACAAUAAUUAAUAUAUUAUUAUUGAAAUUAAUUAAUUAAUAUACUAUUAUAAUAAUUAUUAUAAUUAAUUCAUAUAUUAUUAUUAAUUAAUUAAUAAAAUUAAAAUUAUUAAUUAAAUAAAUAAUAUAAUUAUUACUACUAAUUAAUAUAUUAAUAUAUUAUUAAAAAUAAUUAUUAAUAAUUAUAAUUUUUGAAUAAAUAAUCACAAUAAUUAAUAUAUUAUUUUAAUUAAGUAAUUAAUAUUAAUAUUAUUAGUUAAUAUAUUUUUAUAAUAAUUUUUGAUAUAGUUAUUAUAAUUAAUUAAAAUUUUUUACAAUUAAUUAAUAUAUUAGUUAAUAAUAAUUAUGACAAUAAUUCAUUAAGUACUUUUUAGUAAUUUGUUACAAUCUAAUUCAUUCCGAUUCCGAUUUCAAGACAAAGUAAACACAUUAAUGGCAAUCUAGCUCAUUCCGAUUUCGAUUCUUACAGUUCAAGUAAACAACUUAUUUUGAUUCCCAUUACCUAUUCCCAUUCCAGCCCAUUCUCAUUUCUGCCCAUUUCAAUUCCAGCUCAUUCCGAUUCCAGUUUAGUAAACGCAGCAUAAGAGUUAUCAUGAAAAUCAUACAAUUUAAUUUCCUGAAAUAUAUAUUUUAUUCACAUGUGCCAAAAGAAUAAAUAGAUAGAAAGUAAAUUUACAAUCCUCACUCCCUCAUAAUUGUUAAAGUGAAUAUGCAUUACAACUGUGAACUGUCACUACUUUAGCCCUUUAUUUGUUUUUUCAAUUAUAGUGUGAUGGAGACAGUGAACAUUAAGGAUAAAGUGCUCUGCUGAAAGCCAAACUUCCUUUGGCUAAUUAAUUUAGAAGUAAAGCAGAGAAUAAAGUCCUUGAUGCCUUCUGAAAUUAGAAAUACAUUUUAUAUGCUUUAAUUAUGAUUAUUUGGUAGACUAUUGACCAAAAGACAUGUUAAAGUAUAAAACAGAGCGAUUAAAGAAAAAAAAAAGGAGCGUUUGUGACGUAGAAUAACAAUUUGUAAGCAAAGUCCUAAUUUGAGUUGUCAAAAAGCAAACAUAACAGAGAAGGUAAGAGAGAUGCAAAAACAGAAAACUAUUAGCUUAUCUUGAUUUUCCCACUAUAUUCAUUUUCGAUGCUUUUCAAACGAGAUUCUUUUAAUCCUUCUGGCGUCUGCAGCCCCUGCUCUUCUUAUAAAUCUCCUUCCCACAUCUGCACUACGAACAAGUUGACUAAAAUUAAAUAAUGUUGGAGACGAGGGGUGAGCCGUCAACUUAUUAAAAAAAACUCAUGUAUAAUAUUAUCAAUAAUAUAAAAUAUAUAAUAAUUAUUAUAAAGAAUCAUAAAUUAGAAAAAUUAAUUAUUUUACAAUUUAUUUCUUAAGUAAGAUAAAUCUCGUAAUAAGUUAAGUUUAAUGUAAAAAAUAUUUUCAAUUUAUAAUCAUUUAAGAAGUCAUUUAACAAUAAAAUCUUUUUUUUGAUCAGGUGGCCAUGCCAUAGAGUAUCAUCUAUAUUCGUGGUGAUAUUAUUAUUACUCAAUAUCCUCAAAAGACACUAUUUAACAUUUAGAGAAAAUUUCUGCCUUUUAAAAAGAACAUGUAUGCAAUAGCUAGCCACACUUUAUUUUACCACGACAAAAUUGAUAGUGAUUAAAUCAAUUUUCUCAAUUAAAGAAAUUUUUUUUAAAUUGAUUUAAUGCACAAAUAUGAUGAGUUUUUGCAAAAAUUAGUUUUGGAAAAUAUAGUGAGAGAGAAUGGUGACGAUUAUUUUUCAGAUGUGCAAAUAGCCUAAACAUAAUCUCUAAUACCAAUAUCCUUGUGCAUCUUAACACCUUUCAUGAUAUUCUUUCAUUCAUAACCAUUUGUUCAAUAUUUGAAUUUGAUUAUUAAAUUAUGUUCAAUAAUGUUAGAGACCCCAACAAUUGGGUACCAACUUAAAUCCCAAUGCUAUGUGUCAAUGUAACAUAGCAAAAUCCCAUUAACAAAUGUUGUGUCAUUUAUCAUUAUUGAAUGAAUAAUUCGUUAAUUUAUUGAUAAAUGAAAAUUUAUUAAUUUAAAGAGAGAUUUUUUUUUUUGGUUUUAAGAAGAGUUUUGUUGGUACAUGUACAUACUUAUAAAGGAAAAACUUGUAAUUAUACUAUAUCUUUCUUUCUUUGUUCAGUUUGGUGGGAUAUUGUGAUAAAUCAUUGGAUUAAAAUGCAUUUCUAAAUUGAAACUUGUUAAAAUCUAAUUUAUUUGGGAAACGCAUAUUAUUUGUCAGUCGUACUUCUCAACUUAGCAAGUUAUUUCUAACUUGUCGGUCUCUAUUGGUUCUCUUAAAACUAAUAGUCUCGUAUCUCCCGCAUUUGAUAUCUUGCCAUUACUGUUGGCAUUAACAUGUUACCUGAGAUUGGGAUUCAUUAAAAUCCUCAAUGUAAUCGGUGGAACGAAUGGAUUUCUUCUGUUCACCAAUCCACCAAAAUUUCUGUAAUUAAAUUCAAAAGUCAAGAUCUAUGCUUAUAAUCUAUUCAACAGCUAAUAUUCUAUUUUAUAUUUACUUAAAUAUGAAGAGCUAUGCUUGUAGUUAACUUCAAAUGUGAUCGAAGCAGCCUUACAUCUAUAUAUUACUUAUGCCCAACCUUUUUUUUUGACUUCAUAUACAUUCUUUUCAUGUUAUUUACUCUUUUUUCCCCCUCUCUGACAAUUGAGGUAGGGGGUCAAACUUGAAAGUAUCUUAAAAUCAGACAAUAAUUUUUUUUUUUUAAAGAUAGCUACUAAUAUGCUCUAUUAGACAAUGAUAAGUAAUAACCUAGUUGUUUGCAUUAGAAAUGAUAUUUUUUGUGGUGCUGAUAAAGAGGUUGAUUAUGAUUCAACAAUUUAAAAUAUGAAAACAUGUGGAAGACGGCCGCAAUUAAAUUGAUUGUAUGAAAAUAUUUCAAUGAAAUUUUAAAAGUUUAGUACUUGUUAUCUUAUCGAGAGUUUUUUUAAAUUAUAUUACUACUUGAACUUGACUGCUUUUGUAUUGAAUUCCUACCGUUGCCAUUGCUUCUACUCAAAAGCCAUUUAAGUUUGUGUAAGCUACCUAUAGUUUGAACAACAAUUUACUCAUGAAUUGUUGUUCAUAUUAGCAAUUUGAUUGAAAGUGCGGCUGCACUAAUUUUCUAGAUGAAUUUUUUCCUACAUGCUUGUUCUCGUAUGACCCAAAAUCCUACUACAUCAGUUGUAUUAGAAAUUAAUCAACUGGGUUACAAUUAUGCAUCCCCACCAAUAUUUAAGCAAUUUAAUUACAGAAAUAUUUCUUGAGGAAAGAAACUCAUAUCGCCACUAGGCUUGUAAUGAGGCUCAUUUUUAUGAAUCUGGAUGGCAUUAGAUAUCUCUACGAAUAUUGGUGGGAGUAGAUCGCAGAUCUCUGGGCUAUACUACAAAGUUUAUGUACGUUGACUCUCAAUAAAUACAAACGAUUCUCUGAUAUGAUUCAAACAUCAGUGCAUGCAUCAUUUUAAUGAGAAAGAAUAUUCUAAGAACGAAAUUGAAGGUGCAAUCAGCAGCUAAAAUGAAGCCAGAAAUGUACAUGCAUGAGGAAUUUUUCCUAGAAGAUUGAUAUUUCUUUGACUAGCAAACCAUACAAGUCCAAAGCUAGCCAAACCAUACCUGCAAGGUGGGGGUUUAAAUGGAAUACUUCUAAGCAUAAAACAUUGAUUAAAACAGAAUACACACAUACAUACCAGCAAAUUCAAAAUAGCAAGAGGAGUGCAAAAGUUCAAGUUUGUAGACAACAUUGCAACCAUGGCAAGUUUAUAGCAAAUCCUCGAAAUCUGCUAAAUAAAACAAUGCCCUGUCUCAUGAAUCAAUGCUUAAUUAAAAUUGAAACUGAAAGUCUGGCUGACGUUGUUUCCCUCUCCAAUUUUGCCUACAUAAGUGAAAAUAAGAAUAAUAAAUGAAAAUCUGCUUUUACAGUUCUUAUUAGAUAGAUAUAAAUGGAUCUUUCUUUGUUUCUCUGCUGUAUUUUGUGGCUAUCCCACUCUGUUUUGCCAGUCAAGCUGAGUCUAUGUUGAGACAUAAUUUUGACAUCAGAAGCAAUCUCAAUUAGUUUGGCACUUUUAUGACCUCCUUAAAGGUUUUACAAUAAACAUAAAUCUACUGAGAAAGUGGGAAAAAAAAGAAAAUGCAUAUAAAAAUAUGAGUUAUCAGAUAAGAUUAAAACUCACCCAAUUCAAUCCAUCAGAUUCCGUAAGGAUAUAACUGGAUGUCAUACCGCCACUCCAUAUCCUUGAAAGUCCGUAGUGUUUGUCUCAACUCUGUCUGAGGCCAAUGUAAAUUCAAUUUGCGCAAGCUCUUUAUGCACCACAGCUCUUCUGGAAGCUUUCUCAAGUAAGCACAUGGGUUGACGAUUAAGCUUUCAAGUUUCGGCAUUGCUCCAGCCCCCAUCGUCCACUCAUCUAGCCAAUACAUUGAUUUCAGGUGCAAAACCUUAAGUUCGGGAAAGCUACUCAAGCCAACACAAGCAAGCUUUCUUCCUAAAUACGAGUUCUGCUUCAGUUUCAGCACUCGAAGGCGUGGAAGAUUUUCCAGAAUUGGCAUGGGAUCCUCCAUUAGCUCAGUAUUUGAUAAGCUCAGUUGGAUCAGACUUGGGGGAAAUUGGUAUUCAGACAGGACCAUCCGUGAGGGCUUGCUCUCAUUCACCAGCUUCAAGCAUUCAAGUUUGUGGACUUCGCAAAGGCUUUUGGAAACCCCAGAUUGAUAGUAACUCAAAUCUCCAGAUAUCCGAAGAGUCUGAACACUAGGUAGUCUGCCCAAUAUUUCAGGAGUACAACUACUAGGGUUUAAAGCUGAUAUAAAAAUGAGUUUUUUCAGAGAGCUAGAAUAAUUUUUUGGAGGUGCGGGUAGAGUGAUAGAACCAAAGUUUAGAUGUAUGAGUUUUUGCAUCAUCCAAAUAUCCUCUGGUGACUGAUCUAUGUAGCUAGAUGGCAUUUCUAGUGUUUCAAGGUUUAAAAGGGUGCAUAGCAGUGGAGGAAGGCAUUUGAGCGAAGGGAUAUUCAUUUUCAAAUACUUCAAAAGAUAUAAAUUUUCUAAUCCAGGUGGAAAUUGGUCGAGAACUGCAGAACCGAAGUUCAGUACCCGAAGGUGUUUGAACUUUUUACAAAAAUUCUCGCAAUCUAUCACAGCGAGAUGAUCGCCUUCUGAACUUUGAUUGAUAAAAGAUUGGAGAUAGAUCUCACCAUGUUCUAAAGAAAUGAACUCAGUCAGAUGCUCCAAAAUGAUGUACCGUUUAACAUUUGCAAAUGGUUCCGCUUCCCUGUCAGGCAUCCAGAGAAAUUUCGUCUUGUCUGCCAUCAAACCCAAUGAAGUAUAUACAAAACUUGGAACAUAGCAAGCUGUAAUUGUGCCGCCGGCUCUUCUCUUACUCACAUGAAUGAAGCCGCGAUGGAUUAGCUCUUUUAAGUAAUGUUCGGCAGUUUCCUCACCGUUGUAUGGAAUAAAGCCUUCAGCUAUCCACAACUGACAUAAUUGCCUGGUAGAUAUCUCAAUGCCUGGACGGAAGACACACAAAUAAAGGCAGCAGACUUUCAAGUGAAAAGGUAACUCCAACACAGAACAAAUUCGACUCAAGAGUGUCAAAACCACUUUUUCAUCCAUAUAAUUUACUAAUGGGGCACUUCCAUAGUGUAGGAUGAAAAAUUUCCAGGCUUCAUGCUUUAAUCUGAUCAAUGGUCCUCCAACAGGCACUGAAUAAAGCGGAAUGAUCCCUCCAUGCUCCAAUUCAAAAAAGGUAAGGAGGAAUGGAUCAGUGACCAAUAUCAAUACUCUGCUUCCAUUCUGCUUAUCAGGAAGAACUUCUUCAAGAUCAUCCCAUAUGUCACUGUCAUUGAAGACAUCAUCAAGCACAAUAAAGUACUUCUUGUUUGUCAGGUAAUCUCGAAGAAUAGAUUUCUUCAAGUGAUAAUCUUCACCGAUAAUUACCCUAGCCCGAGAUGGAGGCAUUAAAGAAUUGAUUAUGUCAUCCAAUAUCUUGCCAAAAUAGUAGCCUAUAGAAACCCUUACCCAAGCAAGACAGUCAAAAUAGAACUUGACAUGAUUAUUAUUGUAAAUAUCUGCAGCAAAAACAGUCUUAUGGAAGCCAUUGCUGUCGAGAAUUGCAAUCACUGAAAGCCCAGAUGGUCCCUCAAUCAAUAGAUCAAACAACUCCUCUCUGCCCCUUUCAAAUUCACUGACAUCAAGCCAGUGUUGUCCCUUACUCAAUAGGCGAAUGAUUUUGUUACUUUGUUCAGUGAUAUCAAAACCAUUGUCGCUGGGUGGAAGUUGUUGCAUUCGAUCUCUAAUAUCAAUGAUUUUACUGUGGAGUCCAACAAGAAGAGCCAUAUUAGUACUGCUUUCACUUUCGUUUUCACUGUUUUGCUGCUGCAUGAUGUUGAUGAAGAAUGUGUCAAUCGCUUCAUCAGAUUCAUGGACAAAGUGAUUGAUGUCGUCCAGAAUUUCCAAAAUGUCCCGUCUUUUUACGUCUUCAUCAGUGUCUUCUAAGUCUAACAGUUGCAGACAAAGCCAAGCCAUUUCAGCUCCAUUGAGUUGUUCUCUAAUGAUGCGUCGAAUCACACGACGAGUCAUGUCACCUUCAUAGUUCCCGAGCAGAGUAGUAAUAAUUUCAGUCUCCGUAAAAAGGUUUUGAAAAAGCGGGGCUAAGUUUGUUGAAUCAGGCAACGUUAACGUGCCUUCUUCACCUGCUACCACCCUUUUCAACCUCUCACAAAAUAGUCGGAGGUGGACGUCCAGCAUAUCUCCUUCUCUCUGUGGCACCCAGAGGUAUUGUUAUUUGCUCCAAGAAAUGUUAAAAGGAUUGGUCCUAUCUCAAAGAGGUUAGUGGUGUAAAGUUAAACACAAUGGAAGAAUUUGAAAGGAAUAUACCAAGAAACUGUGUAAGUGGCUAAAUUCCACAAAUAUGGCAUUGUUGCUCAUUUUUAACUCAAAAAAAUACACGUUAAUUUAGCGAAAAGUCCAAGACACGUGCUUUUUGAAAAGAACAGGUAUCCCAAUAGGUAUCCAACCUUUAUCUUAAUCAAUUACUACCAUGACAUACUUGAUGGUGCUUAAAUCAAUUUUUCUUUUCUUAAUGUAAAGAUUUUAUUUUUUUAAAACAGAUUUUAAUAUCAAGAAAAAAUAUCACUCGUAUAUCCUUAAAUGACACUUGUAUCAAACGUACUACAACACUUUUAACAUGUAUCACUUGUAUACCUUAAGUUGACAAAUUGUGUCUACCAUCCACCAAACCGUUAGUUGCCGUUUGCAAGCGCUGACAUCAUAAAGGUAAUCUAGUCUUUUCAAAUGGAAGAAACUUUGAUUAAAAAAACGACAUGUCAUCCCAUUUACCUCGUAAAAAAUGACAUAUCAUAUGAUAUAUAUUGACAAAAAAUGACAUGUCAUCCCAUUUAUCGGAAGAUGAUGUCAUCUAUGUGAAACAACGUUGUUUCAACGGGACUAAAAAAAAAAUGAUACUCCACAACCGAAUCGACUCCUCCAAACUUUAACUUGAAUAUUUGAAGAUCUACUCAUCCAAGCUCCAACUGGAAUUUUUUAUGGUAUAAUAUGUUGUUAAUAAUUUUUUAUGGUAUAAUAUGGAUUAUUUUUUAUGGAUAAUUGUUAAUAAUACGUACCAUUAAUAAUUCAUUUUUUAAUAAAAAAUGUAUUGUUAAUAAAAAAUAAAAAAUAUAUUGAAAAUUUACGUUAAUUUUUUGGGCAAAUAUGUAUUUUUACCUUAUUUUGAGUUUCAAGGGCGAAAUAGUCAAUUUGUCAUAAUUCUGUUAACUUUCUAAUGGUAGCUAACAGUUUGGUGGACAGCAGACACAUUUUGUCAACUUAGGGUGUACGAGUAAUACAUGUUAAAAGUGCUGCAAUACGUUUGAUACAAGUGUCAUUUAAAGGUAUAUGAGUGAUACAUGUUAAAAGAGUUGUAGUACAUUUGAUACAAGUGUCAUUUAAGGGGAUAUAAGUGAUAUUUUCCCUAAUAUCAAAUUGCCUUCGAUGUUUUUACAGCUACAAGCUCAGUAACAGGAUUAAUUAAAAAGUUUAGAAUUGUUGGGCGUGCAAAGAGUAGUUUUAAACACCAGAAAGCAAAGGUUGUUAUUGACAUAAUUUUAUUUUUGUUUUCGAGGGAAUUUGUUUUUUUUGUUGACAAGAAAAUAGUAUUAUAUUUUACAAUCUAUUAUACAUAUUUUAUCAUAUUAAAGUAAUUUUAAUAUUAAAUGGAAACAUUAAAUUUAAAUUAAUUAAUUAAAAAUUGAAUUAUUUUGAAUAUUAUGUAAAAAAUUAUUUUAAUAUCAUUAAUAAGGAGAUAUUUUGUUAAUUGUAAAAUAUUUUUAACCCAAAUAUAUAUUAAAUUUUUUAUAAUAAAUACAAAUACAAAUAUAAAAAUAAAAUAAAUAUCAUAGUUUAAAAUUUUAAUGUUAUUUUAAAUAUUAAAAAUAAUUUAAUGCUAUUAGUCUAUUACACAGGUUAUAUUAUAUUUGCAUUAAUUAAAAGUUUUAAAGUCAAUUUUCCAGUUUCUAUAUUCAAAGGUAUAAUGGUUAAAAGAAAGUUCUUGGUGUUUCUUUUUAAAAAUUUGAGGGUCUUAAUGAUAAUUUUUCUAAAUCGUAAGGGUAUAGGUGUCUUUUUUUCCGAUAAUUUAUUUCACGGGUAUCCAAUAAGAAACAUGGUAAGAGAACGUCAAUUACUUAUCAUUUUCUAUUUUUUCUAUGAGUCAUUUAUUUUGAGCAUUAGUGAUCUUAUCUGGACUACUCCAACUAUUGAUGCAACUCCAGUGGCUGCAUCCACAGUUAAAUAUAUGAUAGUGUUAGCUCUUAUUUGAGAAUUUAGAGGGAUCUUUCUUUGUUUCUCUGUUGCAAUGUGCUAGUAUAAAUUUCUUUACCUUAAAAUUUAUAUAGUCUUGCAGUUAAAGAAUUCACUGAGGCAUUGUUGAUUCAAUUUCAGUGAAGCAAUUGUGGGUGAAAGAUAAAUGAAGGAAAAGAGAACAGAGCUGAAGUGCUAAAUUGGCUAUUGAAGAAGGAUGUCACAUGAUCACAAUCACAUUGAUGCACAACUCUCUGGAGGCAAAGUUUGUCUAUAUGUACUCUGAAUUCAGCCAAGCCAUACAUGCAUGAACAAAAAUUAAACCGUAGUUCUAAUCACAACAGUAAUUGAAGCUACAAAAGCCAGCAAAUCUGAACGAAGACUUAAAAGAAAGAUCUUAUUCAAGUUUGUCCCCAAAAGACAGCUGAAAUGAAAAAUAUUGACUGUUGAAUGGGCCAAUGCUGAAUUACAUUUCAAAUGGAAAGCUUGGCAGCAGUUACAAUGUUUCCCCCUCUGAUUUUCCUCCAAAACAAAUUCAGUUGUAAACAAUAACCGAAGUAGUAAUAAUUUAUUCAUCAAAGAAAAUGCCCCCAAGUUUUCAAUUAAAAAAUCCUCUUGUCCAAACUAAAAGAACUCAUAUCUCUAAAAUUUAUUUGCAAAAUGUUGGAAAUGAGGAGUGAUCCGUUAACUCUGUAAAUAAACUCAUGCAUAAUGUUAACAAUAAUGAUAAAUUACAUAAUAAUUAUUAUAGAGAAUCAUAAAUUGGAAACGCUAAUCAUUCUACUAUUAUAUAAGUAAGAUAAAUAUCAUAAUAAGUUAAGUUAUAAUGUAAUAAAUAUUUGCAAUAUAUAAUUAUUUAAGAAGUCAUUUAACAAUAAAAUAUUUUUUUAUCCAGUUGAUCAUAUAGCGUUAUCUAAACUCUUGACAAUAUUAUUAUUACUCACUUUUCUCAAAAAAACAUGAUUAACUUUUAGAGAAAGUCAUGUCUUUGAGAAAGAAUAUGUAUACAAGCUAUCCAUACUUUAUCUUACUGUGACAAAAUUGAUGGUGAUUAAUUGUAUUUUUUAAAAUAGAUUUAACGCACAAAUAAGAUGACUUUUGGCAAAAAUUAUUUUCGGAAGAUAUAGUGAUAGAAAAUAGUGAUGAUAAUUAUUGUUUAAAUGUGUAAAUAGCCUAAGCAUAGCCCGUAAUACCAAUAUUCAUUUGCACCUUGAAAGAAACUUAGUUCUAUAUUGUUUGGCAAGCAAGAAAGUAAAGGAAAAUGAAAGAGAACUCUAAAGAACCUUUUUUAUUAUACUCAGAUAUCUCAACUUAAUGAAUACUGAUUGACAUUUAUACUAAGCUACAAUCUUCACUACACACACGAGUUUGUAACAUCACAUAACCAUUUGCUGCAUAACUAACUUUACACAUCAGCUCAACCAGCUAACUAACUUUGACAGGUCAGCUCAGUGAGUUGAUCUGCUACAACCAGCUACACAGCAACAGCAUGCUCUGCUCCAGCUAUACAGCAACAUCAUGCUCUGUUCCAGCUUUAUCCGCUCUGCUUUGCUCUGCUCCAGCUUUGACAGGUCAGCUCAGUGAGUUGAUCUGCUACAACCAGCUACACAGCAACAACAUGCUCUGCUCCAGCUAUACAGCAACAUCAUGCUCUGCUCCAGCUUUAUCCAAUUCACUAACAUCCCCCCUCAAGCUAAAAUGUUUAGGAUGAACAUUCAGCUUGCUUCUGAAGUAACUGAAUUGUUUGAAAGUAAGAGCCUUAGUUAACACAUCUGCUGUUUGAUCUGGACUAGGCACAUAGCAUACUGCAACCUCUUUAGCAGUGACCUUAUCUCGGAUAAAAUGUAUAUCCAAUUCAACAUGCUUAGUCUUAGCAUGAUAAACUGGAUUAUAAGCUAAAGCAAUUGCUCCUUGAUUAUCACACCACAUUAUAGGAGUGGAGCUUAAUGUGAUACUAAGUUCACCAAGUAAGGAUUUAAUCCAGGUAACCUCUGAAGCAGCAUGGGCAAGAGAUCUAUACUCAGCUUCUGUGCUGGAUCUGGAAACAACAACUUGUUUCUUUGACGACCAGGAAACAAGAUUAGGACCUAGAUAAACAGCAAAGCCAGCCACUGACUUCCUAUCAUCAUGAUCACAAGCCCAAUCAGAAUCUGAAAAACAAUGUAAUUGCAGAGCUCCUUGAUUGUAGAAAUGCAGCCCCAGAUGGAUAGUGCCUUUUAAGUACCUCAAUAACCUUUUACAUGCUUCCCAAUGUUGAGUUCUAGGACUGGAAAGGAACUGACUUAACUUGUUUACAGAGAAGGCAAUGUCAGGUCUGGUAAGAGUAACAUAUUGAAGAGCUCCUAUAACACUUCGAUAUUGAGAAACAUUUUCAAGUGGCUCUCCUGAGUCUUUGGUGAGAUAAAAGCCUGUAGACAUUGGAGUUGGCACAGGACUGCAGUCUGUCAUGCCAUGUUUAUCCAGAAUAUUAGCAAUGUACUUUGCUUGUGUCAAGGAAACCCCUUGUGAAGAUUUGCUGACUUCAAUCCCCAGAAAAUAGUGAAGUUCCCCCAGGUCUUUUAAAGCAAAAGCUUGAUGCAUAUGCUGGAUAACUUGUUGAAUUAUGGAUGGACUGGAACCAGUGAUGAUAAUAUCAUCAACAUAGACCAAAACAACAGUUAGAUGACCACUGUUCCAGGCAUAAAAGAGAGAGUUAUCAGACCUGGAAUGCUGAAAAUGCCACUUGGAGAUCAUUGCAUCCUUAAACCUAUCAAACCAGGCUCUAGGAGCUUGUUUUAAGCCAUACAAAGCCUUAUUUAGCUUGCAGAUAUGAUUAGGUUUAGUUGAAUCAACAAAACCUUGAGGUUGAGCCAUGUACACAUCUUCAAUUAAAAUGCCAUUUAGAAAGGCAUUGUUAACAUCCACCUGCCUUACAACCCAGUGACUCAAUACUGCUAAGCUAAGAAUAACUCUAACAGUGGAGGACUUAACCACUGGACUGAAGGUUUCUGUGUAGUCAAUCCCAUGUGUCUGAUGAAACCCUUUAGCCACAAGCCUGGCUUUAUACCUUGAAACUGAACCAUCUGAGUUAUACUUUACUCGAAAUACCCACUUGUUGCCAACUAUCUUCACUGGAGUAGCAGGUAAGACUAAAUCCCAGGUGUGAUUGGUUUUAAGAGCUAGAUACUCUUCUUGCAUAGCUUUAUACCACAUAGGAUCAGAAAGUGCUUUGGAAACAGAGGUUGGUUCUGACUUCUGAGCUAGUAAAGCUGACAAGUAGAUCUUGGGCUUGAAGAUACCUGCUUUUGACCUGGUUAUCAUUGGAUGACCAGAUGAUGCAGGUUGUGACAAGGUAUGUGGAGGUGAAUGAUGGGAUGGUGAAGAAGGAGAAGAAGAAGUGGAAUUGAAAUUAUCAGAAAAGUAAACUGGAGUAGAAUUUGGGAAGGAAAUAGAAGCAUGUGACUGAGAAUCAUUAAGAAGAUAUUCUGAUGAUGCUGCUAAAGGUGCUUGUAACUGAGUAACAAAAGGAGUAGAAGAAUUAAAAGAAGACUCAGAAUGAGUUGAUGACUGACAGUUUGAAGAAACUGAAGAAAAAUCUGUUCCUGACUCAUAAGGAAAAGAACGUUCAUAAAAGGUUACAUGAUUUGAAAUAUAGACCCUCCCAGAAGAGUGAAGACACUGAUAUCCCUUGUGUUGUGAACUGUAGCCAAUGAAUAUACAUCUAGCUGUUCUGAAAUCAAACUUAUGUCUAUUGUAUGGUCUGAGUGUUGGAUAACAAGCACAGCCGAAAAUUUUAAGUGUUGAAUAAUCUGGUUGGGAAUGAAACAACUUUUGAAAAGGAGAAAUGCUGUUUAGAACUGGAGUUGGAAGUCUGUUUAUCAAGUAGACAGCUGUAUGGAAUGCAUUCCACCAAAAUUUGAGUGGUAAAUGUGCUUGAGCUAAUAAAGUCAGUCCUACAUCAACUAUGUGUCUAUGUUUCCUCUCAAUUUUUCCAUUUUGAUGAUGAAUGUGGGGGCAAGGAUGUCGAAAAUGGAUGCCAGAAGUGGUGAGUAAUGAUGAAAAUGUUCUGAACUCCCCUCCCCAGUCAGUUUGGACAGUUUUGAUGGAAAGUUGAAGAUGCUUCUCAAUGAAUAUUUUGAAAUUGGUAAAAACUUCAAGAGCAUCAGAUUUUGCUGAUAAGGGAAAAAUCCAGGUAAACCUACUGUAAUCAUCUAGGAUUGACAAGUAGUAAUUAUAUCCUUGGGUAGAACAAACAUGAGAAGGGCCCCAAAGAUCUGCAUAUAUCAGUUGUAAAGGUGCUGAAGUUUUUGUUUCUACUGAAUCAAAAUGCAGCAUGUGAUUUUUACCAUAUUGGCAUGCUGAACAAAAUUUCAAACUGUCAACUUUAUUAAAAGCAGUAGAGUUGUUACAAGCUUUGAGAAUGGUUUUGAGAGUAUAAGAUGCUGGGUGUCAUAAUCUUCUAUGAAGAAGAUUUACAUCAAUAGAACCCUUUACAACAACUGACAGACAUGACUUUUUAUUCAACUCAUAAGAGCUAACAGUAGAGAGCUGAGCAGAAUUAAAAACAGGAGAACAAGCAAAAAGAGACUGAAUUUUGUUUUGACCAACUGAACUGAGAAAGACUGAAUGAACAGCAGCAUGAGAAGAGACUUUAUACAAGCUGUUGUGCAAAUUUUAAUGUACUCGCAAGCGCACGAAUCUAUUAUAGUAUAGAUCAAUGGUGACGAGUGUCGAUCCCACGAGGAGGUAGAUUUUAAUUGUGUAUAGAAUUAAUUUUGCAAAUGGUUGAUUGGAUUUGUAGUGGAAAUGAUUAGGAAUAUGCUAAAACUUAAAUUAAAAUGGCGAGAAUAAAUUCUAAAAUUGGAAUUGCAAUGGCGAGAAUAAAUUGAAGAGAAAUGUAUUGAAAUGACGUACUUGGGUAUCUGGAUCCGUAUCAACAUGCAUCAUGGGCUAAAUAAUCCGUAUUAAUGCCAAUUAAAUCAUGAGGGGGGAAUCCACACCUCAUGAACCACGCUCUAAUCAAUAUGGUGCUAAGGGCUUAUCGUGCCAAAUAAUAAUAACCUUAUACUAGAGAGCCGGUGUAACCAAGGCGGUAUCUAGACAAGAUCAGUAUUAUUUGUCGACGAUAAGUCAAAUCAUCCACAAAAACUAGAGGGGAAAAGAAAAUAAAUUUACCAAAUAAAGCCCAUGACACAUGUUGAGACUUCACCUUCAACCCAAGCUUGAAAGGAAAUUAGCUACUCAUAAUUGAACUAGGGGCAAAAUGGGAAUUUAUUAAAAUACAAAGAAAAUACAAGAUGGAGAGGGAAUUACAGAAAAUGGAUCCCAAAAAUGGAUUCAGAGAUAUCAAAUUAGGGGGGGAGGCCCAUUUUUUAUAGAUACAUGGAGUAAAUCAUGGCCAUCGGAUUAAAAACAGUUUGGACGCUCAGGAUUGCGCCACGUCAUCAGUCAACAGUCAACGGUUUGACCACGCGGAUGAACAGUAACAUGGUUUGGUUGAAAAUAAUCCUGUGUGAUGCAUACACCGUACGCGAGAUUUUUCGUCCACUGAUAUGCUGCCACGUCACCAUCAACAGUACAUAAGAAUUUUAGUCCAACAGGAUCGUGACACCUCAUCAGUCAAUGCCACAUCAUCGGUCAAUGCCACGUCAUCGAUCCGUCUAUGUGAACAGUGUCGUGAACAGUAACGUAGACAGUACCGUAUACGUGAAUAGUACCGUACAUGUGAAUAGUGCCAUUUUUCCUUUUAUGCUCCUCCUAAGGUUUUCGACCGUCCUGAGUUCAAAAGUGAUGUCCGUUUUGCCGUCUGAUCUCUCCUUUAUUGUGAAAUGACUAUAAUGCCCCUAAAAUACAUAAAAUACUUAAUUAAAAUAACACACACGUAAUUACAUCACAAGAGGGUUAAAUACAUAAAAGUAAGGGUUGUUAGUAAGACUUGAAACGUAAAAUGACGGUUUUCUCCUUUAUAAAUAUGCAUUUUCUAACACUCAACACAAGCCACCUUUAGCAACACCUUCAAGUAAAAUUUUCCCUGUGUUCCUGGCCUUUAUAAAACACAAAUUACCAAGAAAUUCAACAGUAACUGGAUUGUCAGCCAACAAUUUUGAGAUGCUAAGCAAAUUCUUAGUAAUAAAAGGGACAUGAAGAACAUGGUUAAGAAAUAAGGAUUGAGAAGCUGAAGUAUUUAGCACAACUGACCCUACAUGUGUAAUAGCUAAUGCAUUUCCAUCUCCAACAAAUAACCUUUCAGUACCAGUGUAAACUUUUGAAUCCAGAAGCUUACCUAGAUCAUUGGUAAUAUGAUUUGUUGCUCCACUAUCAAUAUACCAGGAAGGAUCUUCAAUGUGUUCAGGUGGGAGUGAAGAAGACAUAGCAGAGGAGGAGGAAGCACUUGACUGUUCCAGAUUAUUAUGUCCUAGACAGAAACAAAAUUAGAUGAUCCAGGGUUGAAUGAGAAAUAAGCAGAUGGGUUGCUUUCUGGAUAUACUAUAUUUCCUUGAUAGCCAAAACCCCUGGGGGCAUUACCAAAACCAACAUUUUGUCCAAAACCAGCAUUUGAACCAAAACCUCCAAAACCUCUUCCACUAUUACCAUUAAAGGCUCUUCCUCGACCAUAUUGCCCUUGAUUAAAACCUCUGCCACCAUUCAUAUUACCUCUACCAUGGUUCCUCUGUGGAACAAAAGAUGAGUUGUACCUAUUUCUGCAUUUAUAGGCUGCAUGACCAGGUAUGAAGCAAAUUUGGCAAACAACUUCAGAGAAAUUACUAUUAUUAUUAAACUGACCAUAUCCAUAUCCAGAAUUAUUACCACCUCCAGAGUUAUUUCCAUACUGUUUCUGAAAAUUUCCAUUAUUCUUUCCAGCAUAUGAGUUCUUCUGAACAAUAUUUGCUGUCAUGUUAUGCAUCACAUCACCAGCAAUUUUUCCUUUCUUUUGCUCAACUCUAUUUUCAUGAUUCAACAGCAAAGAAUAUAGUUCAUCUAAUGUUAUCUUUUCACCUCGAGCUAACACAGCAGUGACUAAAGAUUCAUAAUCUGAUGAAUCAAGACCAGUUAAUACAUGCAUCACAAGAUCAUUUAACUCAACAGGUUUUCCAGCUAGAGCUAAAGUAUCAGCUAUACGUUUUACUUUUACAAAGUAAUCAGACAUAUGCAUUGCACCUUUCUUAAUAGUUUGAAUCUGCAUUCUAAGUGUUUGAAUUCUAGCUUGUGAUUGAGAGAUAAACAUACUAGCAAGAGUCUCCCAAAGCUGUUUUGAGGUUGUUGAGUCAAUCACAGUAGCAAGCAGAUUUUGUUGUAUCAAUGACAUCAUCCAACUCAGCAGAAGUUGAUCAGCCUUCAUCCAAGCUACGAACUCUGGAUUAACAGAUCUGGAUCCAGAUUCAGUAACAGAUCUGGAUCCAGAUUCAAUUAAGAUUUCAGCUCCAUUGUUGUUGCCAGAAGAAAGAAACUGCUCAGGACAUUCUCGAUCACCAUUGAUAAAACCUUCCAAACCAUUUCCUUUGAUCGAAGCUAGAAUUUGUGUGCGCCACAAAAUAUAGUUGUUUUGAUCUAGCUUUACAGGCGUAACAAAACUAAAAGAGUUGUUGUUUUGAACUGUAUUUGCCAUUUAUGGCUCUGAUACCAUGAAAGAAACUUAGUUCUAUAUUGUUUGGCAAGCAAGAAAGUAAAGGAAAAUGAAAGAGAACUCUAAAGAACCUUUUUUAUUAUACUCAGAUAUCUCAACUUAAUGAAUAUUGAUUGACAUUUAUACUAAGCUACAAUCUUCACUACACACACGAGUUUGUUACAUCACAUAACCAUUUGCUGCAUAACUAACUUUACACAUCAGCUCAACCAGCUAACUAACUUUGAUAGGUCAGCUCAGUGAGUUGAUCUGCUACAACCAGCUACACAGCAACAGCAUGCUCUGCUCCAGCUAUACAGCAACAUCAUGCUCUGCUCCAGCUUUAUCCGCUCUGCUCUGCUCUGCUCCAGCUUUGACAGGUCAGCUCAGUGAGUUGAUCUGCUACAACCAGCUACACAGCAACAGCAUGCUCUGCUCCAGCUAUACAGCAACAUCAUGCUCUGCUCCGGCUUUAUCCAAUUCACUAACACACCUUCAUUUGUGUUAUCACAUUUCAUGAUAUUCUUUCAUUUAUGACCAUUGUUCAAGAUUUUAAUUUGAUUAUAAACUAAGUUGCAAGGGAGCUUACUUCAGUUUCUAAGCUUUUCAAUCGUGAUUCCUGCAUGCCAAACGUAACUGACCUUAUAAUUGGUCUGUAUAAGAAAUCAAGCCCUUUCAGGAUCGUUUUCUUUUUCUCCCUAUUGUAGUAGUCAACUAAAUAAAGAAUGAACAACUAAACUUGGUCUAUUUCGAGGAAGACUAAGGCUUCCAAUACUAGAUGAACUUUGAAGAAAAUUAAUCCGUUGUUUUUAUUCAUCUUUGGACUAUGAAUUUAUACAAAGACUUUAACAGAAAAUAACAAAGACACAGCUAAAUGAUAGCAAUAAGUGCUGACUUGGUGGACCACUUCUGCAAGUAAAUAAAAACUAAAUAUUUAUUUUGACUAUAACAACAACUACGCUGAUGAAUAGGAUUUCACAGCAGCCACGUGACAACUAAUUUCUCCUUAAUAUUAUUAUUAGUAGAAGUAGAUUUUAAAACUAGUCUUGAUAUAUUUCAAAGUUGUAUUAUCAAUGUAUAUGUGUCUAGAUUGUAACUAUAUUUUAAAAAAUAUAAAAUUUUUAAUUAUUGCACAGUAUAUGUAGCAAAAUAUCUAUAGAAUGAUAUUAUUAGGACUAAGAUUUUUUUUUAUUUUAGAUAAGUUAUUUAUUUAUUAUCGAAUGAAUAAUUUAUUAAUUUACUGAUAAAUGAAUAUUUAUUAAUUUAAAGAGAGAUUUUUUUGGUUUUAACAAGAGUUUGUUUGGUAAAUGUACACACUUAUAAAGAAACAUAAAAAGUGGUUCCUCAAGUCAAUAGUAUUUGCUUCAAUCGCAAUGGUUCAUAAUAAUAUAGCAUAGUUAGGAAAUUUGUAAUUAUAUUAUGGCUCUGUUUGGUAGUAAAACUCAUUUAAGUAGAGUUGUUGUUAAUAGAGCUUUUAUAAAUAAAGCUUUUACUAAAAAAAAUUUAGUUGUUUGCUUGUCAAUGUCCAAAUUGAUAAACUUUUGUUCUUUUGUUAAGAUAUGUUUGUUUUACUUAAUAAUAGCAUCGGCAAGAGUUUUCGAUUGUUGCAACUUGCAAUGCACGCGGUGAGAGAAAAUGAGAAUCUUGUUUAAUUGUCAAUAUAUAAUGACAAACCUAAUCCUUUCAUUAGGAGUAAUUUAAUAAUCGUUUGUUAUAACUGAAUAUGUAUAAAGAAAGGAAAAUUCUAUUCAUAAAUUUCGACUUAUUUUUUGUUUAAAGUAAUUAAUCAUUCAACCAUCUUCAUUUGCCUCUGGCCAAUGCCCUUGUAGAUUAGUUUACUUAAUUAUGAUUAUAUACAUUUUCAUAUAGCAAGUGGCAUUGUAGAUCUAAACUAAGUUGCUAUUUCAAUACCAGCAAAUUCAAAAUAGAAAAGGAGUGCAACUAUUCAACUUUGUAGACAAUAUUGCAACCAUGGCAUAUUUAUAGCAAAUCAUUGAAAUCUGCUAAAGAAAACAAUGCCCUGUCUCAUGAAUCGAUGCUCAAUUAAAAUUUAAAUUGAAAGUCCGGCUGGUGUUGUUUUCCUCUCCAGCGAAAUAAGAAUCAUAAGUGAAAAUAGGCUUUGACAGGUCUUAUUUCUUUGUUUCUCUGCUGCAAUGUGUGGUUAUCCCACUCUGUUUUGCCACUCAAGCUGAGUCUACGUUGAGACAUUAUUUCAGUAUUGAGGUAACAAUAAUUUCGGACUCCGUAAGAAGGUUUUGAAAAAGUGGAGUCACAUUUGUUGAAUCAGGCAACGUCAACGUGCCUUCUUCACCUGCUAACACCCUUUUCAACCUCUCACAAAAUAGUCGGAGGUGGACGUCCAGCAUAUCUCAUUCACAUUUGUUGAAUUUGCAUGGAAUUUGCAAGGAGUAUGCCAAAGAAUUUGCAAGGAAUAUGCCAAGAAUUUGCAAGGAAUAUGCCAAGAAACUGGCCAACCCGCUUAGCUUAAUUCCACAAAUAUGACGUUAUUGCUCAUUUUUCUCUCAAGCACAUAAUACACGUUCUUCGAGACGCGUGCCUUCUGAAAAGGACAGGUAUCCAACCUCAUCUUAAUUACUACCAUGACAUAAUUGAUGGUUGCUUAAAUCAAUUUUUUCUUCUUUUUUUUUUUUAAUUUAAAGAAUUUUCCCUUAAAAAAAAUUUAAUAUCAAAAUGCCUUCAAUGUUAUUACUGCCGAAAGCCAAACUUCCUUUGGGUAAUUAAUUUAGAAGUGAAGCAGAGAAUAAAGUCCUAGAUGCCUUUUGAAAUUAGAAAUACAUUUUAUAUGCUUUAAUUAAUCAAUUCACUGAGGCAUUAUUGAUCCAAUCCCAGUGAAGUAAUUGUGGGUGAAAAAAAAAUAAAGUGCUGAAUUGGCUACUAAGAAAGAGUGUCACUUGAUCACAAUCACAUUGAUCCACAACUCACUCGAGGCAAAUUUCAUCUAUGUGUACUGCAAAUUUAGCCAAACCAUACAUGCAUGAACAAAAUUAGGCCGUAGUCCUCAUCACAACAUUAAUUGAAGCCACAAAAGCCAGCAAAUCCAAACAAAAACUUAAAAGAAAAUGCUUGGUAUAGAGAAGCACGAGAGAAAGACGAGAAAAACAAUGAAGAAAGUGGUAGAGAGAGAGUGAGUGGGUAGAGAGAGAGCAAAAUUCUCUCGUCUUUCUCUCGUGCUUCUCUCUCUCUAUCACUACUCAAACUUAAAAGGAAGAUCUUAUUCAAGUUUGUCCCCAAAAGACAGCUGAAAUGAAAAAUAUUGACUAUUGAGUGGGUCGAUGCUGAAUUACAUUUGACAUGGAAAGCUUGGCUGCAGUUGCGAUGUUCCCCCUUCUGAUUUUCCUCCAAAACAAAUUCAUUUGUAAACAAUAACGGAAGUAGCAACAAUUUAUUCAUUAUAGAAAAUACCUAAAUUUUCAACUAUCAAAUCCUCUUGUCUAAACUAAAAAACUCAUAUCUCUAAAAUCUAUAUACAAAAUGUCAAAAACGGGUGAUCUCUCAAUUCGAUAAAUAAAUUCAUGCAUAAUGUUACUAGUAAUGAUAAAUUACAUAAUAAUUAUUAUAAAGAAUCAUAAAUUGGAAACAUUAAUCAUUUUACAAUAUAUUACAUAAUAAAGAUAAAUUUUAUAACAAGUUAAGUUAGAACAUAUCAAAUAUUUUCAAUAUAUAUAAUUAUUUAAGAAGUCUUUUAACAAUAAUUUUUUUCUUUUUCAGUUAAUCAUGUCAUAUACCGUUAUCUAAAAUGCUGGCGAUAUUAUUAUUCCUCACUUUUCUCAAACAAAAAAGAAAAGAAAAAAGAAACAUGAUUAACGUUUAGAGAAAAGUCACGCCUUUUAAAAACAAUAUGUAUACAAUAGCAAUCCAUACUUUAUAAAAUUGAUGGUGAUUACAAAGAAAAAUUGUUUAAAAUAGAUUUAAUGCACAAAUAUGAUGACUUUUGGCAAAAAUUAGUUUCGGAAAUGUUGGGAUGAAAACCAUAUUAAUUGAGAAUUAAAAUUACUUAAUAAAAUUACUUAACUACCAUCUAAUAGAUGAAAACCAUAUCAAUUGGGACUUAAAUUAAGAUUUAAAUGUUGAAAUAUCUAGCAUUACUCACAAUAACCAAUUCAAAUUAUGACUAUCAUGUAGAAGCAAAUGUUUAUGCUUGGGUUUUUUACUUCUUGAAUUUGAUUGGAAAAAUUUCUGAGAUAGAGAAGUGUUUUGGAUAAUUUUUUCGGGAUUGAAACCACAAAUUGGUAGAGGAAAUUAAUUUUGGACAAAUUUUUCUUAUAUUGUAGGACCUUCUAGUUGGAGUAGUGAUGGCUUUGUCUUCAUUUUUGGUUCCUUUUGUGUCAGCAACCCCUUACUAUUCUCUUGACCCUGAGUUUGAGAUAGAAAUUUAUCAACCUCCAACCCCACAUCCACAAACAAGUUGAUUGAAACAAUUACUCUUUUAAUUAAGAGGACCCAAAUGAUUUAGGUUUCAGUUCUUAUCAUUUGUCUAUUAUUUCUUUGAAACAUUUAUUUUGAGCGUUACUGAUCUUAAUUAUCUGUAUUUCUCCAAUUAUUGAAGAAUUUCAAGUGGCCACUUUUUCUCCUUUUUAUAUAUGUUUAUUUUUUGGAGUGAUCAAACGGGUGAAAAAUCAAGUAUUCGCUGGUCUGUAGUUUAGCCAACGAUGGCUGAUCCACACAGUUGAUUAUAUGAUACUAUUAGCUCUCAAAAUCUUUCUUAUUUGAGAACAUAAAUUGCCCAUUGAAGUUAAACUAUGUUACCCAGCUCCAUGCACAUACAUUAAAUGUUUAGGUAGUUUUACAAAAUGAUAACAGCAUGCCAAAACUUGAUGUUGUCAUAUUCGACAUUUCAAAUUGAAAAAUAUGCAAGCAAUCUUCAGUGACCAUUACGUUUUUAUUGAAUAAUUUAAAUGGCCAGUAAAUCAACAGUCCGUGAGUUUUAAAUCUGUUAUGACUUAAUGUAUCUUUCUGUAUUCGUACACAGGUUAUAUUAUCAUAGUUUAAAAUUUUAAUAUUAUUUUAAAUGUUAUAAAUACUUUAAUGCUAUUAGUCUACUACACAGGUUAUAUUAUUUAUAUUAUAUUUGUAUUAAUUAAAACUUUUAAUGUCAACUUUCUAAUUACUAUAUUGAAAAGGUAUUAUGGUUAAGAAAAAGUUUUGGCAUUUCUUCUAAAAAAUUUGAGGGUAUGCAUGACAACACUACAAGAAAAAUGACCUACCAUGACAGUCCUCUGUGUGACAGUUUUUGGUCUGCAGAGCUACUACGAUAGAUGGAUGAUAAAUUUUUUUUCUAUCAUUCAUUUAUGACAUACUUGUGAUAGAAAUUUCAUCUAUCAAGCACUUAUGAUAGACUGAUGAUAAAUUAUUUGGUUAUCAAGAAGUAAUGACAAGUUUGUGAUAUAAUUUAGAUCAUCAAGUAGCUUUUUUAUUUUGACUUUAUUUCACAAGGUUGACUGAAAAUUUUAAAAUGAAUGAAAAAAAUAAAUAAAGAAUAAACGGUACCGUUUGGAUUAAAAGUUUCUCUUUGGACAAGAAACGACACCGUUUAGAUUGAAGCUAAAUAAAAACAAAACCCUCUUCAGUUUUCACUAAUCGAAUUUUUUUUCCCUAAGUGUCGGCACUCUCACUCACUCUCGUCUCUCGCUCAGUCAUUCUCGUCAAUCUCACACUCACAAAGCCCUUUUCACCCGAAAUCCUUGCAUGGGCACUGAACCACUGCCGCCAUUCUCUUGUAUUUGACUAUCAAUUUUGGCUCUCACCGAGAACUAUAUGGAAUACCCACCAAACGCAUGUGCUUCUACUAUUGAAUUUCAAUACCCUAACUGAGAGCCCACGCUCACCCACUAUUGUAACCGUUCGAUCAAUACAGGUAAAUAAUAUUUCUAGUGUUGUGUUCCAUUUCAAUUUUAAUGUUCUUGUCAAACUCGAACCCUAUAUAUGUAAACUUAAAAACCCUAGAUGUGUUCUUGUCAAAUUCGAACCCUACACACCUAAAUCUUGUAAAACCUAGAUGUUUUCUUGUCAAAUUUGAACCCUGUACGUGUAAAACUUGAAAAUCCUAGGUGUGCUCUUGUUAAAUUUGGAUCUAUUUGAUUGGUCUUCUAUGUUUCUUUAUUUAUGGAAUUUUAAACAUUUAUUUGAUUUUUUUGGAAUUUAAUUAUUAUAGUUUUAUUGUUAAAUUAAUUUGAUUUAGGCUGUAAAGAUCCUUGCCAAUUUAAUCGUGAUGGGUGUUGGGAUAUUGUCUAGGCUGCUUUAUCUUUGGGGUUUUCUAAUAACUAAUUUUUUUUUUUCACUUUUUUGUGGAUGCAUGGAACUAUAUAUAUAGAUAAUUCUCAAAUUCGUUCACUGUGAUGCAAAGUCUUUUUUUUUUCAAUUUCAUUGGUUAAAUUCACUAAUUCGUUGAAAUUAGUGGUGAUUGUGGGCCGAGUCGCAUGUGCAGGAAGUGGUGUCAGGUCUGGGCGCACAUUGAGUCAUGCACUUGGUGGGCAAUUGGUAUUGUUUCUAUUGUGUGUGUUGGAAAUAAUGUCAAUAUCAUCCAACCAAUGUGUGUUUCUAGUGGCUGUUUUUGCACCGAGCAGAUAAUUUAUUAUUACAUCAGAGUUCCCCAUCCCUUGUUUCUCUUUUGGGUAAUGCAGGUAUUGACUAGUUCAUUUCCAUUUUCAUUUGUCUUGAGGGAAUGUUAUCAAUUUUUCGAUCUUACAAGAUAUUGAUUGAUACAUAUGUGUACAAUACAUUAAAAAUCAUUAAACAUUUUGCUCUUAGUUACAAUUUUGAAUGAAUGUCACAUGGAAAGAUCCUCUAAGAAUAUCAAUAGUAUUGUGGUUUCUACUCAAUUUCCACUCUCCGCACUCAUAUGAGCAUGGUUUGAAUCUCAAGCCUUUUGUACCAUUCAAAAAUUUAUACCAAUUAACAACAUAGCUUGCUAGCACCACAAAUUGUUUCAACUCCAAGGCAGAGAAUUCCUAGAAGAUAUAUACAUAUUGAUAUAUACUUGCAUGUAGCCGUAUGCUCACUACCUUCGAAUUGGGGAUAUAGUCACUAUUUUUGUAUUCCCUCCAAGUGUUUGAUAAAAAGCAUGAAUGAAUCUUGGCUCUUUAAUUGUUGCAGGCCAUUUCUACCUAUGAGGAGCAAAGGAAUAUGAAGCUUAUUAUAUUCAUUCACAAAGCAAAGCUGAUAUAAUUCAUGGCAAAGCUUGAUGAGGUGUUGUAUUUAAUCUUGCUCAUGAGAUCAAUUACCUAUCUUGUUGGACUUUAUUCUUGUAAUUAAGGUCCAUCCAAAGUUGAUGGCUUGUUUGUCAGAAAGAUAAUCUGAAGGCUAUGAUUGAUUACUUGCGGGCCGAUGGAAAUGUCUCCAUGAUUGGUUUAUGAGGUUGUUAAAUUACUAAAUAGGUAUAUUUACUUUUCAUGAGCUUUAUCUUCGUUUUUCCAUUAUGGAAAUGUCUCUAUGAUUGUAACUUUUAACACGUGGAACUCUUGAACCCUAUGUUUAGUUAUAUACUUAUAUUGGGACUUGUAUAAAUUAAUAUGAUGGUUUUAUUAUUAUUAUUAUUAGUAGUAGUAGUAGUAGUAGUAGCAGCUACAAAAGAUCAAAAGAACUUAAAGGUGUGGCUUGUGGCUUUCUUGCUGUUUGGGCUUUAACUGCUGCCUCACUUGUCAUUGUUGCUAAUCUGGUGUGCCACGUCCAUUUCAGUGUAAUUACAUAAGUUAGUUUGCUUGAUUAAUUAAUUAAUUAGUUAGCGGAUUGAAUAGCCAGAGUACUACAUUUUGCAUAGGUCUGAUGCUGGAUGAAUUUUCAUGUCUUGGCUUUGGGGCUGCUGGAUUUUGCUGCUGGAAGACUAGAUUUUGCAAUUUUGUUGCUGGAAGACUACAUUUUGUGUAGGUUUGUUGCUGGAUGUUGCUGAAUGCGGAGUACUUUGCUUGGUUUUGGAUUGGCCUUUGUUGUCUAUUGGCUCGACUUUGGAAUAUGGAUUAACUAAUGUAAUGUACUUUGGAUAUUUUUAUGGUUAAUAAAGUUCACUAAUUUAGUUCAUUAGUUUUGGAUUUAAUUGCAUUUAGUAAUUUAUUUUCUUUCAUAUAAUUUUAAUAAUUUUAAUAAUUUUAAUUUUUAAAUUUCAUAAUUUUUAUUUUAAAUUAAUAAAUAAAAUAAAUAAUCAAUUUUUUCAAAAAAAAUGUGAUAGAAAAUACUAGUCAUACACACAAUUGAUAUCCCAAAAAAAAAUACAAUCCAAAAAUUUCUAAAAAAAUGAAAAUAUAAAAUAAAAAAAUAAUUUCCCUCUUCUAAGUAGUAUGACAUAAUUAUGAUAGGUAAAAUCUAUCACAACUUGUGACGCGAUUUUAUCUGUCAUCUUUUCUUGACGCUGACUAUAAUGACAGUAAGGAUAACCGUCAUCUACCCCCUAAGAUGACAGUUUUUACCUAUCAUAAUAGGUCAUUUUUCUUGUAGUGCAAUUUUUCCAAUUCUAAGGGUAUAGGUUUGAAAAUUUAACGUUAUUUAACUUAAUGAAACAAAAGGGGAAACCAAGAACUAUUCAAUUUUGUAUUUUUUGUUUGUAAUUCAAAAAAUACAUCCACCAAACAAGUUUUACACAUUAAUGCUGUCAUAAAACGAAAAACAGUUUGCCAAAAAAUGGUACCGUCACAUGAUUUCUUAGUAAGUCCAUAUUAGAUAUAUUUAUACAUUUUAGGUAUUUUAGUUAUAAAAGAAGUUGGUCCUCCCCCUAUUUAUAAAAGAUAACUUUGUUUCGAUAUUACCACUAAACUCUUACAUAGAAUUAGUGUAAUGUUAAGAGAGAGUAAUGCGGUUUUCCAUUACCAUCUUUGAAAAUAGAAAGAUAUGGAUGCGUGCAUUUAAGAGUCAUCGUGAAAAUCAUACAAUUCAAUUUCCUGACAUAUAUAUUUAUGCACGUAUGCCAAAAGAAUAAAUAGACAGAAAGUAAAUUUAUAGUCCUCACUUCCUCACAAUUGUUAACGUGGAGAUGCAUUACAACUGUGAACUGUCACUACUUUAGCCUUUUUUUUUUUUAAUUAUAGUGUGAUGGAGACAUUAAGGAUGAGCAUAAUAGUUAAAGAUGACUCAUUUCUCAUUUUCUUUUUAAAGUGCUCUGCUGAAAGCCAAACUUCCUUUGGCUAAUUAAUUUAGAAGUAAAGCAGAGAAUAAAGUCCUAGAUGCCUUCUGAAAUUAGAAAUACAUUUUAUAUGCUUUAAUUAUGAUUAUUUGGUAGACUAAAGACCUAAAAGAUAUGUCAAAAGUAUAAAACAGAGCGAUUAAAGAAAAAAGAAAAAAAAAACAGAGUAUUUGUGACGUAGAAUAACAAUUGGUAAAUAAAUCCUAAAUAUUUGAGUUGUUAAAAGCAAAUAUAACAGAGACGGUAAGAGAGAUGCUGAAACAGAAAACUAUUAGCUUAUCUUGAUUUUCCCACUAUAUUCAUUUUCGAUGCUUUUCAAACGAGAUUCUUUUAAUUCUUCUGGUGUCUCUUAUAGAUCUCCAUCCCACAUCUGCACUACGAACAAGUUGAUUAAAAUUAAAUACUGUUGGAGAUGUGGGGUGAGCGGUCAACUUGGUAAAAAAACUAUGUAUAAUAUUGUUAAUAAUAUAAAAUAUAAAAUAAUAAUUACAAAGAAUCAUAAAUUAGAAAAAUUAUUUAUUUUACAAUCUAUUUCUUAAGUAAGAUAAAUCUCGUAAUAAGUUAAGUUAUAAUGUAAAAAAUAUUUUCAAUUUAUAAUCAUUUAAGGAGUCAUUUAACAAUAAAAUCUUUCUUUUUUUGAUCAAUUGGUCAUGCUACAGAGCAUCAUCUAUUCGUGGUGAUAUUAUUAUUACUCCGUAUUCUCAAAAAACACGAUUUAACAUUUAGAGAAAGUUCCUACCUUUUAAAAAGAACAUGUAUGCAACAACUACCCAUACUUUAUCUUACCACGACAAAACUAAUAGUGACUAAAUCAAUUUUCUCGAAUAAAGAAAAAUUUCUUAAAAUUAAUUUAAUAUACAAAUAUGAUGACUUUUUGCAAAAAUUAGUUUUGGAAAAUUAGUGACAGAAAAUAGUAACGAUUAUUGUUUAGAUGUGUAAAUAGCCUAAACAUGAUCCCUAAUACCAAUAUCCACGUGCAUCUUAACACCUUUCGUCAUAUUCUUUCAUUCAUGGUCACUGGUUCAAGAUUUGAAUUUGAUCAUUAAAUCAUGUUCAAUAAUAUUAGAGAUCCCAACAAUUGAGUACCAACUUAAAUCCCAAUGCUAUGUGUCAUUAACAAAUGUUGUGUCAUUUAUAAUUAUUGAAUGAAUAAUUCGUUAAUUUAUUGAUAAAUGAAAAUUUAUUAAUUUAAAGAGAGAUAUUUUUUUUUUGGGUUUUAAGAAGAGUUUUGUUGGUACAUGUACAUACUUAUAAAGAAAUAAACUUGUAAUUAUACUAUAUCUUUCUUUCUUUAUUCAGUUUGGUGGGAUAUUGUGAUAAAUCAUUGGAUUAAAAUGCAUUUCUAAAUUAAAACUUGUUAAAAUCUAAUUUAUUUGGGAAGCGCAUAUUAUUUGUCAGUCGUACUUCUCAAGUCUCAACUUAGCAAGUUAUUUCUAACUUGUCAGUCUCUAUUUGUUCUCUAAAAGCUAAUAGUCUCGAAUCUCCCGCAUUUGAUAUCUUGCCAUUAUUGUUGGCAUUAACAUGUUACCUGAGAUUGGGAUUCAUUAAAAUCCUCAAUGUAAUCGGUGGAACGAAUGGAUUUCUUCUGUUCACCAAUCCACCAAAAUUUCUGUAAUUAAAUUCAAGAGUCAAGAUCUAUGCUUAUAAUCUAUUCUAACAGCUAAUAUUCUAUUUUAUAUUUACUUAAAUAUGAAGAGCUAUGCUUGUCAUUAACUUCAAAUGUGAUCGAAGCAGCCAUACAUCUGUAUAUUACUUAUUCCCAACCUUUUUUUUUGACUUCAUAUACUUUCUUUUCAUGUUAUUUACUCUUUUUUUCCCCUCUCUGACAAUUGAGGUAGGGGGUCAAACUUGAAAGUAUCUUAAAAUCAGACAAUUUUUUUUUUUUUUAAGAUAGCUGCUAAUAUGCUCUAUUAGACAAUGAUAAGUAAUAACCUAGUUGUUUGCAUUAGAAAUGAUAUUUUUUGUGGUGCUGAUAAAGAGGUUGAUUAUGAUUCAACAAUUUAAAAUAUGAAAACAUGUGGAAGACGGCCGCAAUUAAAUUGAUUGUAUGAAAAUAUUUCAAUGAAAUUUUAAAAAUUUAGUACUUGUUAUCUUAUCGAGAGUUUUUUUAAAUUAUAUUACUACUUGAACUUGGGUACUUGUUAUCUUAUCGAGAGUUUUUUUAAAUUAUAUUACUACUUGAACUUGGCUGCUUUUGUAUUGAAUUCCUAGCGUUGCCAUUGCUUCUACUCAAAAGCCAUUUAAGUUUGUGUAAGCUACCUAUAGUUUGAACAACAAUUUACUCAUGAAUUGUUGUUCAUAAUAGCAAUUUGAUUGAAAGUGCGGCUGCACUAAUUUUCUAGAUGAAUUUUUUCCUACAUGCUUGUUCUCGUAUGACCCAAAAUCCUGCUACAUCAGUUGUAUUAGAAAUUAAUACUGGGUUACAAUUAUGCAUCCCCACCAAUAUUUAAGCAAUUUAAUUACAGGAACAUUUCUUGAGGAAAGAAACUCAUAUCGCCCCUAGGCUUUUAAUGAGGCUCAUUUUUAUGAAUCUGGAUGGCAUUAGAUAUCUCUCCGAAUAUUGGUGGGAGUAUAUCGCAGAUCUCUGGGCUAUACUACAAAGUGUAUGUACGUUGACUCUCAAUAAAUACAAACGAUUCUCUGAUAUGAUUCAAAACAUCAGUGCACGCAUCAUUUUAACGAGAGAGAAUAUUCUAAGAACGAAAUUGAAGGUGCAAUCAACAACUAAAAUGAAGCCAGAAAUGUACACGCAUGAGGAAGUUUUCCUAGAAGAUUGAUAUUUCUUUAACUAGCAAACAAUACAAGUCCAAAGCUAACCAAACCAUACCUGCAAGUCCGGGGCUUAAAUGGAGUACUUGUAAGCAUAAAACAUUAAUCAAAACACAGUAUAGACACACACACACACCCCUACAUACAUACCAGCAAAUUCGAAAUAGAAAAAGGAGUGCAACUAUUCAAGUUUGUUGACAAUAUUGCAACCAUGGCAUAUUAAAGCAAAUCCUUAAAAUCAGCUAAACGAAACAAUUCCCUGUCUCAUGAAUCGAUGCUCAAUUAAAAUUGAAAUUGAAAGUCCGGCUGGUGUUGUUUCCCUCUCCAGGUUUGCCUACAUAAGUAAAGGGAAAUGAGAAUCAUAAAUGAAAAUCUGCUUCGAUCACUGUUCACAAAUCACUGUUCACAAAUCCCUAAUUCAAAAAUUACUGUUGAUUAUCGUUUUACAGCAGCGCCUCAGCUCCAGCCUUCACCCCGCAACGCAAGCAGCAGCCAGCGCGAACCAGUCGCGCCCAACGCAAGCCCCAGCAACCCAGAUUGUUAGCUCCAGCCGCGCGCAACGUAGCUGAGCAGCAGCAGACCAGCAGCGCGAACCAGCUCUCGCGCGCAACACAACGCGAACGCAGCAGUGCGUAGAUGCAGCCCAGCAACGCAGCGCGAACCAGCAAUGCAGCCUCACCAGCGCGCAACGCAAGCCCCCGCACGCGCAGCACCAGCAUCCCGUUUCUCGCAGCGCAGCAGCGCGCAACGCAGCGCAGCACCCGCAAAGCAAGCCUCACCAGCGCGCAACGCAAGCCCGCAACGCAGCAACGAGCACGCCCUGCAACGCAACCAGCUUACGCCUUGUAUUCCAGCCGGGUAAAUCGAAAUCCGUGAGUACAAUUAUUGUAACAAUGCCGAAGAGGAAAGCAUCCACUUCCAAGUCAUCGAAAAAGACACCCAUCGCAAAGAAAUCUAAGAUUGCCGCUCCCACUACGGUUCCAUGGAACACAAUUUCAGAUUCACGCCAAGCCGUGAGACAAAGAUCGAAGCAUGGAAAAGGCAUGAGUAUUUUGCCACUUGCGGAAUCCAAUCUCGAAGGGUGCCUUGCAUUCGCGACUCAACAAGAGAAAGAGAGGUACAAAGAUAUUUCCACGGGCAAAAUACUUCCAGCUAAGAAUUUUUGGAUAUGUCUAUGUUUGAAAGAACAUGUGUGGUUGAAUUCAAGGAGGGGAGAUUUCAGUUUACUGAACCAGGACCCACUCAACUUCCGAAGAAGCUUUAUGCUAGGAGUGGUGCUACCUCUGAUGACGAGUUUGACGACGACACUGCUGCCCCGCCAACUAUUCCUUCUACAUCCGCACCACCUUUGAGCAUUCAAUUAGAGAAAAUGGAGCACAAGCUGAACAAGAUGGAGCAGAAUUUGGCCGCAUACUUCGAGAGUGUGGGAUUUACCCCACCAUUUCCGCCAAGCCCAUAGACGUUAUGUGGAUCAAAGCUCACAAUUCAGGGAAGUUUCUUUUUGCCCUUAAUCCUUUAUCCUUACGCUUUAAUUUUUAUGUGAGCUUUGAUUAUCUUACAUUGGGGACAAUGUAAGUUCUUGGUGUGGGGGAGGGAUUUUUGCAUUAUUGAUGUCUGGAAUUAUUGUUUUCACUCUACUUAUUUUUUUUUUUCACUCUACUCAUCCUUAAAUGAUUUUGGAGUUAGUAUGCUUUAUAUAUUAUUAUUUUUUCUUUUCUUUUAUUUCUCACAACUUUUUUUUUCCCAUCUAUCUCAAAUUAUUUACAUCUAUUUUUAUUCUAUCAUACUGUUUCAUCGCUCACAUUUUAUCUUUCACUUUUCAUCUUUCUCACUUCUUAUCAUUUUUACCUUUCCUUUUAUAUAUCACCCAUACCUUCUUCUCAUUCUACACCACUAUUGAUGGUUGAUUCAUUUGAAGAGUGUACAUGAUUUGAUGGCAAAUUUACCAACUUUGUGAGGAUUUGAGCCUAUGAGCAACCACUUUGCUCUAAUAUUUUUGUUAUGUGAAUAUCAAUCUUAGUUUGUUUAUUCUAGAACUUGCUUUGUUAUGCAUGUUGAAGCCGCAUUACGGGAUUUUAUGCACUAAAAUGAUAAGGGCAAACCCUUUUCCAUUUUUCUAUUCUCGCAUUUUUUUUCUCUACCCGAAGAUCUUUAUUUGCUAUCUUUGUUUGAGCCUUAACAAUUACCCAUCUAAUUCUCUCCGUCUACUUAACCAUUUUUCUUCUUUUUUUUGAGCCUCAAUUUAAGGAGAUUUUUGGACUCAUUGUGUGGAUAUAUUUUGUUGCUUUUUCUACCUUGUAAUAAAGUUUCUCAAUUAGAUCAACAAGCAUUAUGCUUGAAUUAAAUUGUGCAAGGUUCGUUUCUUUUGUUUGAUUCAAAAACAAAAACAAAAAAAAAAAAACAAAAAACAAAAAAAAAAAAGAAAAAAAAAGAAAAAAAAAAAGAAAAAGAAAAAUCACAAAAAAAAAACAAAAAAAAAUGUUUACAUUCUUGGUGACUUAAGUAGAAAUAAGCAUUUUGAUAUCAUAAGUUCAUUCAAUGAGUUCAUUUUUCUCGUUUUAAUCUCUUUUUCUUUCGUAAACCUUUCUUUUUCAUUUAACCCAUUUAACCCCAUUACAACCCUCUUAAGACCCUUAGAUUUUUGCAUUUUAUUCAUGUUUUGUGGAUUGAGAUGUGAUAUAUGAGCAAGCUUAUGGUAAUAGCAUUCUUUGAUUUGAUUUGAGUGGAUAAAUGACACCCUAAAAACUUUGAGUGCAUGGAGUGAAGUUAUUGAGAGGGCUAUUAAAUCUUGUUGCACUUGAAUUUUGAAUGGAUCUCCUUGGUGGUUGAAUGUUCUUAUUCUAUCUUAUGAAAUUCUAUGCUUUAAAAUCCUUGUCUCUCGAAUGUUAAUCGACUUAAUUUCUUGAGGUAUGCUUUCUUAAAAUUGUUUUUGGAUGAGUUGAGAUGAGAAUUGAGUGGAGAUUUGAGAUUAAUCUUGAGUUAUAUGCUUGAGGACAAGCAUCAUCUUGGUGUGGGGGAAUUUGUUAGAGUGCAAUUUAUGCACUAGUUUUGCAUUGUUUACUUCCCUUAAUAUCGAUGUUUUACACUUAAUAAUAAUGUUUUACUUGUGUUUUACUUUUGUAGGUGCAAUUCUAUUGAUUGGUGAUAAAAUUGAGCUAAAAGAUGAUGUUUAAGGAGGAUUGUUCUCUUGGAGAAAUUAUGAGCGUCGAAAGAACUUUGUUGAUAAGGCGUGGGCGCGUGCUGUCAACUGCGGACCUGCAGUUUUUAGUUUAACGUGUUUUGUAUUUUUGGUUAUUUUUGUAAUUACGAAUUUAAUAUUUCAGAUAUUAGUAUUUUAUUUUAAAUAGAAUUCUAAAAGAGAAGAGAGAGAGAGUAUUUAAGGGAGGAAUCUAUUGUGAAAAGGGGGAUUUGGAUUGGAGAAAAAGAAAGAAACCCUAGAUCUAAUUUUUCUCUUCUCUCUAUGAAGAACUAAACCUAUUUUUCUGGUUGAAGGAUAAUGACGCUUUGAUUCAUCACUACUGUGAGAUUUUUCUUAUGCUUUAAUUGUUUUAUUACUUUUUGGGUAUUUGUUUAUUCUCUGAAUUAGUUUCAUGAUUAUGUUUGUUAAUUAGGUAAUUGUCCACUAUUUAAUUAUCAACUUAAUCUAUUGUCAAUUAAAGGAUUCAUCGUAUGAAGAAUUUAAUGUUUGUGACAAAUAACAUAGCAGAGAGUUGUGUUGUGAGAAUAAACAAUCUAAUUUAAAUGAAUCAUCAUAUGUGUUGAUUAGGAUUUGGGUCUCUCUGGUUUUUCAGGCUGUCAAUUGAUUAAAUCCUAUGAUCGUAUCAAGGGUUGUCUAUUGAUUAGGGAAAUAUCCAACGGUCGUACCUUGGUUAUCGACUAGUUAAGGAGAGAUUGGCUAUUAGAGGGUCUCAAUAGCUAUAACCGGUCUAUUCAUAAGUAAUAAUAAUAUAUAUUUGAAUCAAUGAUCAGUAGUCGAAUCAAGCUGAGUUAAUUCCUUCAACCAGAGCUUUCUCCAAUUUGAAUUACAACUUUAAUUUGCAUUUUGUAUUUAAUUUGAUUUUUAUUAUUGUCUACAAUUCCCCCAUUUUAUGUUUUACGUUUCAAAAGGAUUUAAAUAAUUACCGAUCUCUGUGGACACGACCCUGCUCAAUCACUAUACACAAUUUAUUUAGAGUAGGAAUUUAUUUUUGUUGGCUUCGACACCCAUCAGUUGAUUUGUGUUGUUUAUUGCUAGAUUUCGCAUAAUUGUUUGCUGAUUACUAGAACUGGCUCUGUUUGGAUCUGAUACCAUGUUUAAAAACAUAAAAAAUCACUGAUCAGUUUGUUUGGUUGCUAAGAAAAUUUGCUCUGUUUGCUGAGAAAGUUUCAAAGAAGAUUCUCGAUUUUUUUUAUUUCAUCUUUCUUACUUCACGAAUGAUUACAAACACACCUUUUAUACACAACUCAACUAGCUAACAGAAAGAAAGCUACAAAACAGAAUCUCAGUAAGCUUAACUAAUUUUGCUGAGCUGGCAUUACACACUUAACUAACUUCGGCUAACUAAAUUCUCACAUGUGCUAAGCAUGAGCAGACUGUUUGUACACAUUAUGUGCUUCUUUAACACAAUGGAGUUUUAAAAAUUUGGUACUUGUUAUCUUAUCGAAAGUUUUCAAAAUUAUAUGAAUGUUCAAACUUAGCCCCUCCCGGCACUGCCACUGCUUCUACGUGAAAGUCAUUUAAGUUUGUGUUAGCUGCCUAUAGAUUGAAUAACAAUUUUACUCCGGAUUUUUUGUCCAUUAUGAAAAUUUGAUUGAAAGUGCGGCUGCACUAAUUUUCUAGAUGAACUUCCCUACAUGUUUUUUCUCAUAUGACCCAGAAUACUGCUAUAACAAUUGUAUUGGAAACUAUUCAACUGGGUUACUAUUCUACAUCCCCACCAAAAUUUAAACAGUCGACAUUGUGGAAAGAAACUCAUUUCGCCACUAGGCUUUUAGUGAGGCUAAUUUCUCUGAAUUUGGACAGAGUAGAUUUCUAAGCUAAUGCUUGGAAGAUCUCUGGCGAUAUUACAAAGUGCAUGUACAUUGAGUCUUAAUAAAUAUAAACGAUUCUCUAAUAUGAUUCAAAACAUCACUACAUGCAUAAGUUAAUAAGAGAAAAAAUUAUAAGAUUAUUUAUGCAUCACCAUUUAUAGUUGCACCCUCUCUAAUGAAAUUGAAGGUGCAGCCAGCAAUUAAAAUGAAGCAGAAAUGUACAUUGACCCUUAAUAAAUAGAAACUAAGGCGUUAUCGAUUCAACUUCAGUUGAUCAAUUGCGGGUGAAAGAUAAAUAAAGGAUAAGAGAAUAGAGCUGGAGUGCUAAAUUGGCUAUUGAAGAAGGGUGUCACAUGAUCACAAUCACAUUGACGCACAACUCUUUGGAGGCAAAUUUUGUCUAUGUGUACUCUAAAUUCAGCCAAACCAUACAUGUAUGAACAGAAUUUAAACCGUAGUUCUCAUCACAAUAGUAAUUGAAGCUACAAAAGCCAGAAAAUCUGAACAAAAACUUAAAAGGAAGAUUUUAUUCAAGUUUGCCCCCAAAAGACAGUUGAAAUGAAAAAUAUUGACUAUUGAAUGGGUCAAUGCUGAAUUACAUUUCAAAUGGAAAGCUUGGCAACAGUUACAAUGUUUCCCCUCUGAUUUUCCUCCAAAACAAAUUCAGUUAUAAACAAUAACUGAAGUAGGAAUAAUUUAUUCAUCAAAGAAAAUACCCUAGUUUUCAACUAACAAAUCCUGCUAUCCAAAUUAAAAAAACUCGCAUCUCUAAAAUUUAUUUGUAAACUGUUGGAAAUGAGGAGUGAUCUGUCAACUCCGUAAAUAAACUCAGGCAUAAUAUUAAUAAUAAUUAUAAAUUACAUAAUAAUUAUUAUAAAGAAUCAUAAAUUGGAAACGCUAAUCAUUCUACAAUCUAUUAUAUAAGUAAGAUAAGUCUCAUAAUAAGUUAAGUUAUAAUGUAAUAAAUACUUUCAAUAUAUAAUUAUUUAAGAAGGCAUUUAACAAUAAAAUAUUUUUUUUUCUAUUCGGUUGAUCAUAUAGUGUUAUCUAAACUCUUGACGAUAUUAUUAUUACUCACUUUUCUAAAAAAAAAACAUGAUUAACGUUUAGAGAAAAGUCAUGCCCCUUAAAAAUAAUAUGUAUACAAGCUAUCCAUACUUUAUCUUACCAUGACAAAAUUGAUGGUGAUUAAAUCUACUUUUAAAAUAGAUUUAAUGCACAGAUAUUAUGACUUCUGGCAAAAAUUAGUUUUGGAAGACAUAAUGGUAGAAAAUAGUGAUGAUCAUUAUUUAAAUGUGUAAAUAGCCUAGGCAUAGCCUGUAAUACCAAUAUCCAUUUGCCUUUAUUUGGAUUAUCACAUUUCAUGAUAUUCUUAUAUUUAUGACCAUUGUUCGAGAUUUGAACUUGAUCAUAAAUUAAGCUGCAAGAGAUUUUACUUCAGUUUCUAAGCUUUUCAAUCGUGAUUCAUCCAUGCCUUUCUUGGAUACCAUUAUGUUACGUGCCAAUGUAACUGACCUUGUAAUUGGUGUGUAUAAGGAAACAUGCCCUUUCAAGAUUGUUUUCUUUUGUUUCCUUAUUGUAGUAGUCAAAUAAAUAAAGAACGAACAAUUGAACUUGGUCUACUUCGAGGAAAACCAAGGCCUGCAAUAUUAGAUGAACUUUGAACAAAAUUAAUCUACUGCUUUUAUUCAUCUUUGGACUAUGAAUUUAUACAAAGACUUUAACAAAAAAUAACAAAGACACAACUGAAUGAUAGCAACAAGUGCUGACUUAGCGGACUACUGCAACAACUAAAUAAAAACUAAAUAUUUAUUUUGACUGUAACAACAAUUGCCCUGAUGAAUAGGACUCCACAGCAGCCACGUGACAACUAAUUUCUCCUUAAUAUUAUUAUUAGUAGAAGUAGAUUUUCAAACUAGUCUUGAUAUAUUUCGAAGUUGUAUUAUUAUCAAUGUAUAUGUAUCUAGAUUGUAACUAUAUUUUAAAAAAUAUAAUUUUUUUAAUUAUUGCACAGUAAAUGUAGAAAAAUAUCUAUAAAAUAAUAUUAUUAGGACUAAGAAAAAAAUAUUAUUUUAUAUAAGUUAUUUAUUUAUUAUUGAAUGAAUAAUUUAUUAAUUUAUUGAUAAACGAAUAUUUAUUAAUUUAAAGAGAGAUUAUUUUGGUUUUAAGAAGAGUUUGUUUGGUACAUGUACACACUUAUAAAGAAACACAAAAGGUGCUUCCUCAAGUUAAUAGUAUUUGCUUUAAUCGCUAUAGUUCACAAUAAUAUAGCAUAGUUUGGAAAAUUGUAAUUAUACUAUGUCUACGUUUGGUACAAUUUUUCAAGAAGAACUUAUUUAAAUAGAGUUUUUGUUAGUAGAACAUUUAUAAAUAAAAUUUUUACUGAAAAAAUUUAAGUUAUUUGGUUGUCAUUGUCAAAAUUGAUGAACUUUUGAUCUUUUGUUAACAUGUGUUUUUUUUACUAAAUAAUAAAUGUUAGGUUACAAUUAUUUUCAAUAGUUUUUGAAGGAAUCAAGUUAUGAAAUUUUUAUCAAUGAACUUUCAAUAUGUCAGCAUAUGGUCUGUAAAAUUUGAGAGUUUUCCAAUGAGGGAAUAAUUUAUUAAAAAUAAGAGAAUAUGGAUUGUUCUGUUUUAAGGGCCGAUUAUUGAGGACAUUUGAGGUUGAGCUUAGGAGAUGUUUAAAUUGAGAUAUUUGAGGACAUUAUGUUAGCCUAAAGGGCUACACAUAAUGUAAUUUUGAUGAUAACAAACAUGUGUCUUAAGUAAAAAUAAUAAAUAUUGUAUUUCACAUUUUCACUAGUUUUUGAAGGAUAAUAUUUAUGCAAGUGAAUCAAGUGAAAUCAAGAUUGAAGAUACUCAACGGACAACGGCGACAUCAAGAAUAUAGUUUAGAGCUCAAUGAACAAAUUAGUGCGAUAAAUUCUUGUAAAGCCGGUAUGAUUUAAUUGAUGCAUGAUUUAGCAUUUGAGAAGCUCAAGAGAUUAAUUUAAUUAAAUACUUUUCAUAAACUAAAAGGUUUUAUUUUUAUAAAGUAAAGUAUUUUGUGGAUUUGAGUAAUUUGGACUUAAAUGCUAAGAUUUGAAAUCUUUGAUUUUAAUAAGUAUUAAAUUUCGGAGUUGGACGUUUUGAUAAACAUUUGAAAUGUUUUGGGUCAUACUAUAAUUUAUAAAUAUUUUGGACUAAAGUGAAAGGUUUUGAGAACUUUGAAAAAUAUGGGUAUUAUGUUGAAAAGGACCUUUGUGCGAACUAAAAAUUUCUUUGGGGCCAUAUCAUAAUUUCAGAAAGUUUGGGAAGACAACUACUCUUAGGAAGUUCUGAAAUUGGACCUAUUUGCAAAGUUUUAUGACAUUUUGAGCCAUAGUAUAAUUAUAGAAAGUUUUGAGCCAAAGUAUAAUUUUAGUGAACAGUGUUACUAUAGCAAUUCAAAAAUAACGGUAAUAUCACUGUUCCUGAGCGGCUAGCCGGAUAAAUCAAGCGGCUAACUGCUUGGGCGAGGGAAUUUGCCUAUAACGGCUAGUUUUCAGGCUUUAACUAUAAAAACUCAGCUCAAACUUCAUUCUAAGUACUAAUGCAUGCAAAUAUAAGAUCAUACAACAUAUAUUGAGCUUCCAAAAUGCAAAUCAUCAUUGAUUGAAUCAUUGUUGAGCUAUUAGUUGCAUAUCCACUCUUAAAGAGAGUUUUUGUUGUAAUUUUCAUUUCUUAUCAAAUUGUGAGUGUGUGAGUGUGUAAGUGUGGGAAACACUUGGGGUGAAGAGAUUGGGGAGAUAAUCUCUUGGUUGUAAAGGUUCAUUGACACCUUGGAAGUCAAUUGUAAAAACUUGAACCCUUGAGAGGCUUGGAUAGUGAAAUCCUCGAGCAUGGUUGGCUUGGAGGCGUGGACGUAAGCAGGGAUUGCCGAACCACGUAAAAAUCCGCGUGUUUGUUUCUCUCUUCCCUUGCUCUUUUAUUUUUACGCUUGUUUGAAUUUAUUGUUCUCUAUUUCAUUAAGGCGUUAGAUUGAUUUAUUGUGCGAAUUGUAUUGCAUUAUUUUUAAAAACUCAAUUCACCCUCCCUCUUGGGUUGCAUUACUUGCAUUUACAUUAGAGUUUAUGAUUGAGACUCGAUUAUAUCUUAUGAGAAAUUUAUUGAUGAUUUUAGGUUGAUGAUAACAGUACGCAUUUGUUACAUGAGGAUGCCAAGAGGUAAGUAAACUAGACUUAAAAACGAAUCACAAUAAACAAUAUAUAUGUUUGACUUGUAUGAAAAGUCUAUUUUGAUAUGUACGAAUAUAGAUUUAUAUGUCUCUACUCAUGUGUUUAUGUGAUGUGUUGUUAUGUAUUGGGCGUGAUUAUGUACAUAGGCAUAUGUAUGUGUGAUGGUUCAUUGUCAUGAGCACGAAAAUGCAUUGAGUUUUCUAUGAAUGAAAAGUGGAUUUUAGCAAAUGAGAUUUCUCUUUUAUGAGAUUUUGCAUUGGGGGCCACCUCUUGAGGGCCAGAGUGCCGCAAAGUACCACGCACAACACAAAGUGCCACAUUGCAGGAUACGUAUUUUAUUGAAAGGAAAUAUGAAAGUUUGAAAGCGACAGAAAGAGAUUUUUAUGAAUUUGUUUUACAGUAUUUCCAAAAGAUCAUGGCAUAGCAUCCAUCUACAUUAUGUAUAAGUAUGCAUGUUUGCUUAUUGAGUUUUGUACUCAUUAUAGUUUAUUAUGAUUCAGUUUCCAGAAGUCAGGAUUGAUUCGUGAUGAGUGAGAAGAUGAAUUUAAAUUGAGGAUGGUAGAUGGUUUGGCUAAAUUUUUAAGUUAUUCCGCUGGCUUUUGUAUUCGAGGCUCGAAUUUUAUCGGUUGUAAAGAGUUAUUUAAAUUCAUAUGUGAGUUGUAGUCAGAUUUGCCCUCGGAGUUCGGGUUGGGGCGUUACAGAUGCAGAAACAGAAAACUAUUAGCUUAUCUUGAUUUUCCCACUAUAUUCAUUUUCGAUGCUUUUCAAACGAGAUUCUUUUAAUCCUUCUGGCGUAUGCAGCCCUUGCUCUUCUUAUAAAUCUCCAUCCGACAUCUGCACUAGGAACAAGUUGAUUGAAAUUAAAUAACAUUAGAGAUGACGGACGGUUGAGCCGUUAACUCGGUAAAAAAACUCAUAUAUAAUAUUACUAAUAAAAAAAAAUAUAAUAAUCAUUACUAAGAAUCAUAAAUUAGAAAAAUUAAUUAUUUUACAAUCUAUUUCGCAAGUAAGAUAAAUCUCAUAAUAAGUUAAGUUAUAACGUAAAAAACAUUUUCAAUUUAUAAUCGUUUAAGAAGUCAUUUAACAAUAAAAUCUUUCUUUUGGUCAGUUGGCCAUGCCACAGAGUAUCAUCUAUAUUCGUGGUGAUAUUAUUAUUACUCCGUAUUCUCAAAAAACUUGAUUUAACAUUUAGAGAAAAUUCCUACCAUUUAAAAAGAACAUGUAUGCAGCAGCUACCCAUACUUUAUCUUACCCCGACAAAAUUAAUGGUGACUAAAUCAAUUUUCUCGAUUAAAGCAAAAUUUUCUUAAAAACGAUUUAAUGCACAAAUAUGAUGACUUUUUGCAAAAAUUAGUUUUGGAAAAUAUAGUGAGAGAAAAUAGUGACGAUUAUUGUUUAGAUGUGUAAAUAGCCUAAACAUAAUUGCUAAUACCAACAUCCACGUGCAUCUUAACACCUUUCGUGAUAAUCUUUCAUUCAUGGUCACUGGUUCAAGAUUUGAAUUUGAUCAUUAAAUCAUGUUCAAGAAUAUUAGAGAUCCCAACAAUUGAGUUCCAACUUAAAUCCUAAUGCUAUGUGUCAUUGACCAAUAUUGUGUCAUUUUUUGUUAACUGGGUGAUGAAUUUCUAGUUGAUAAAAUUACUUAAAAAUAUCUUAAAAAUCAGAUAAUAGUUAGCUUAAUUUUUUGAAGCUAACUGCUCAAGAUGCUCUAUUAGAAAUGAUAACCUAAUUAUAUAAAAAAAAAAAUGAUGUAUUUUUUUCGGUGUUGAUAGUGAGAUUAUCAUUCAACAUGUUAAAAUAUGAAAACAUAUGGAAGAAGGUUGUAAAUUGAUUGAAUGAAAAUAUUUCAGUGAAGUCUAAAAAAUUUGGUACUUGUUAUCUUAUCGAAAGUUUUCUAAAUUACAUUCGUGGCACUGCCACUGCUUCCAUGUGAAGGUCAUUAAAAUUUGUGUUAGUUACCUAUAUGUUGAAUAAUAAUUUUAUUCAUGAAUUGUUGCUCAAUAUAGCAGUUUCUAGAUGAAUUUUCCUACAUGUUUGUCCUCAUAUGACCUAGAAUGCUGCCAUAUCAAUUGUAUUGGAAAUUAUUCAAGUGGGUUUGUGCUCUAUACCCCCACCAAAAUUUAAGCAAUCUACAGAACAUUCCUUGUGGAAAGAAACUUAUUUCGCUACUAGGUGGGAGUAGAUUUCUAAGCUAAUGCUCGGCAGAUCUCUAGGCUAUACUAAAAAGUGUAUGCACUUUGACUCUCAAUAUAUACGAGUGAUUCUAUGAUAUGACUGAAAACAUCAGUACAUGCAUGAUUUUAUAAGAAAGAAUAUUCUAAAAUUAUUUAUGUAUCACCAUUUGAAGUUGUACCCUCUCGAAUGAAGGUGCAAUCAGCAACUAAAAUGAAGCCCGAAAUGUACACGCGUGAAGCAGUUUUUCUAGAAGAUUGAUAUUUCUCAAACUAGCAAACCGUACAAGUCCAAAGCUAGAAAAAGGAGUGCUUCUAAGCAGAAAACAUUGAUUAAAACAGAAUGCACACAAACAUACCAGCAAAUUCAAAAUAGAAAAAGGAGUGCAACUGUUCAAGUUUGUGGACAAUAUUGCAACCGUGGCAUAUUUAUAGCAAAUCCUUGAAAUCUGCUAAAUAAACAAUGCCCUGUCUCAUGAAUCAAAGCCGAAUUAAAAUUGAAAUUGAAAGUCCGGCUGGUGUUGUUUCCCUCUCCAGUUUUGCCCACAUAAGUGAAGGGAAAUGAGAAUCAUAAACUAAAAUCUGCUUUUACAGUUCUUAUUAGAUAGAUAUAAAGGGAUCUUUCUUUGUUUCUCUGCUGCAAUUUGUGGCUAUCCCACUCUGUUUUGCCACUCAAGCUUAGUCUACGUUGAGACACAAUUUUGACAUCAGAAGCAACCUCAAUUAGUUUGGCAUUUUUAUGACCUCCUUGUACGUUUUACGAUAAACAUAAAUCUACUGAGAAAGUGGGAAAAAAAGAAAAUGCAUAUAAAAGUAUGAGUUAUCAGACAUGAUUAAAACUCACCCAAUUCAAUCCAUUAGAUUCCGUAAGGAUAUAACUGGAUGUCAUACCGCCAUUCCAUAUCCUCGAAAGUCCGUAGCCUCUGUCUCAACUCUGUCUGAGGCCAAUGUAAAUCCAAUAUGCGCAAGCUCUUUAUGCACCACAGCUCUUCUGGAAGCUUUCUCAAGUAAGCACAAGGGUUGACAAUUAAGCUUUCAAGUUUUGGCAUUGCUCCAGCCCCCAUCGUCCACUCAUCUAGCCAAAACAUUGAUUUCAGGUGCAAAACCUUACGUUCCGGAAAGCAACCAGGGCCAACGCAGGCCAGCUUUCUUCCUAAAUACGAGUUUUGCUUCAGUUUCAGCACUUGAAGGCGUGGAAGCUUUUCCAGCAUUGGCAUGGGAUCCUCCAUUAGCUCAGUAUUCGAUAAGCUCAGAUGGCUCAGACUUGGAGGAAAUUGGUAUUCAGACAGGAUAAUCCGUGAGGGCUUGCUCUCAUUCACCAGCUUCAAGCAUUCAAGUUUGUGCAGUUCGCAUAGGCUUUUGGAAACCCCGGAUUGAUAGUAACUCAAAUCUCCAGAUAUUCUUAGACUUUGGACAAGAUAUUCUUAGACUUUGGACAUUUGGUAGUCUGCCCAAUAUAGCUGGACUGCAACUACUAGGAUGUAAGGCUGAUAAGAAAAUGAGAUUUUUCAGAGAGCUUCAAUAAUUUUUUGGAGGUGCGGGCAGAGUGAUGCAACCGAAGUUUAGAUGCAUGAGUUUUUGCAUCAUCCAAAUAUCCUCUGGUGAAUGAUCUAUGUAGCUAGAUGGCAUUUCUAGCGUUUGAAGGUUUAAAAGGGAGCAUAGCAGUGAAGGAAUGCAUUUGAGCGAAGGGAUAUUCAAUUUCAAAUACUUCAAAAGGAAUAAAUUUUCUAAUCCGGCUGGAUAUUGGUCGAGAACUGCAGAACCCAAGUUCAAUACCCGAAGGUAUUUGAACUUGUCGCAAUCUAUCAGAGCGAGAUGAUCGCUUGCCGAACUGUUAUUCAGAAAAGAUUGGAGAUACAUGUCAGAAUGUCCUAAAGAUAAAAACCCAGUCAGAUCUUGGGCAAUGACGCACCGUUUAACAUUUGCCACUGGCUCCUCUUCCCUGUCACGCAUCCAUACAAAUUCCGUCUUCUCUGCCACCGAGCACAGUAAAGUAAAUUCAAAACCUGGAACAUAAAACGCUUUAAUUGUGCCGCCGGCUCCUCUUACUCACUUGAAUGAAGCCGCAAUGGAUUAGUUCUUUCAAGUAAUGUUCUGCCGUCUCCUCACUGUUGUAUGGUAUGAAACCUUCAGCUACCCACAACUGAUAUAAUUGUCUCGUAGAUAUCUCAAUGUCUGGACGGAAGACAAACAAAUAGGUGUAGCAGACUUUCAAGUGAAAAGGUAACUCCAUCACAGAAUAAAUUUGUCUCCAAAUUGUCCGAAUCGCUUAGGCUUGAAGAUAAUUUUCUAAUGGCAUACUUCCAUAGUGUAGGAUGAAAAAUUGCCAGGCCUCAUACUUUAAUCUGAUCAAUGGUCCUCCAACGAGCACAGAAUCAGGCCGAAUCUUCUCUCCAUUUUCCAUUUCCAACGACACAAGGAGUUCUGGAUCAGUGACUGUUAUCAAUACUCUGCUUCCAUUCUCAUUAUCAGGGAGACCUUCUUCGAGAUCAUCCCAUAUCUCACUGUUAUCGAAGACAUCAUCAAGCACAAUAAAGUACUUCUUGUUUGUUAGGUAAUCUCGAAGAAUAGAUUUCUUCAAUUGAUAAUUGAAAGAGUUUGUAUAUAGUGUUUGGUUUAAGAGAAACUAACAAGAAAAUAAAAGAAAAUCAUAAAGAACCAGAUCUGAAAAUGAUCAUAUUCUCAUUUUUUGACUAAUGAUUACAACUUGUUAUUUAUAGUAAAGAUCAGAGGCGUCACGUAGCUUGUCAGUUUGUUGGAUCUAAUAUGCAUGCAGUACAGUUCGUUAUCUUUGCUGCUGAGCUGGAUAACUAACUCAACACACGUAAGCAUCAGCAGCUCCAUUUAAUCAGAUGCUCUCAUCUAUACCAUAUUAUCAUACUCUAUAACAUCCUCCCUCAAGCUGAACUGACCUGGAUGGACAUUCAGCUUGCUUCUUAGAUAGUGAAACUGAUUGAAGGUUAGUGCCUUGGUAAGAACAUCGGCAUUUUGGUCUUCACUGGGAAUGAACUGAACUGUAAUUUGCUUAGCUGUUACUUUGUCUCUGAUGAAGUGAAUAUCAAGCUCAACAUGCUUAGUUUUAGCAUGAUAAACAGGAUUGUGAGCUAAAGCUAUGGCACUUUGAUUAUCACACCACAUUAUGGGGGCUGUGACAAGAUGAAUAUGUAGCUCUUUCAGUAAGGACUGAAUCCAAGUAACCUCAGCUGUAGCUUGAGCCAAAGCUCUGUAUUCAGCUUCAGUGCUUGAUCUGGAAACUACUGCCUGUUUCUUAGACGACCAAGAAACCAAAUUUGAACCAAGAUAAACAGCAUAACCAGCCACUGAUUUGCGAUCAUCCUUAUCACAUGCCCAAUCUGAGUCACUAAAACAAUUUAUCUGCAUAGUGCCGUAAUGAUAAAAAUGUAAUCCAAAAUGAAUUGUUCCUUUCAAAUAUCUAAGAAGCCUCUUACAAGCCUCCCAGUGCUCUGCUGUUGGUGAAGCUAAAAACUGACUAAGUUUGUUUACAGAGAAAGCUAUUUCUGGCCUAGUGAGAGUCACAUAUUGUAAAGCUCCAACUGCACUUCUAUAUUGAGAACUAUUUGAAAUAACACUUCCUGACCCCUUUGUAAGAUAAUGACCAGUGGCCAUGGGAGUAGGAACUGGACUGCAGUCAGCCAUAUUGUGUUUGGCUAGAAUAUCAGCUAUGUAUUUAGAUUGAGAGAGAUAAAUUCCAGAUGCUGUUUUGGUAACUUCUAUCCCAAGAAAAUAACUCAAUUUGCCCAGAUCCUUCAAAGCAAAAGCAUUUUGCAUAUUGGUAAUCACUUGCUGCACCAUUUGAUCACUUGAGCCUGUUAUGAUUAUAUCAUCCACAUAGACAAGAACAAAAAUUACUUGAUCACCUAUCCACUUGUAGAAAAGGGAGUUGUCUGACCUUGAAUUUUGGAAACCCCAUUUCACAACCAUAGCAUCUUUCAGUCUCUCAAACCAUGCCCUGGGGGCUUGUUUUAAACCGUAGAGAGCCUUUUUCAACUUACAGACAUGAAGAGGUCGAGAUGGAUCAAUGAAGCCCUCUGGCUGCCCCAUGUACACAUCUUCAACUAAUAUGCCAUUCAAAAAGGCAUUAUUCACAUCCACUUGUCUGAGCUCCCAUUUAUUCAUAACUGCCAAACUUAAAAUAACUCUGACUGUGGAUGCUUUAACAACUGGACUGAAUGUUUCUGUGUAAUCAACUCCUUGUGUCUGAUGAAACCCCUUAGCCACUAACCUGGCUUUGUAUCUAGAAAUGGUUCCAUCAGCAUGAUAUUUUAUCUUGAAUAUCCAUUUGUUACCAACUACCUUAACUGGUUCACUUGGCAAAACCAGAUCCCAUGUAUGAUUAUUCUGAAGUGCUUGAAAUUCUUCUUGCAUUGCCUUAAACCAUUUUGGAUUAGAUAAAGCAGCUGAAACAGAAGUAGGUUCUGAAGGUAUGGCUAGUAAAGCAGCUAAAUAAGAUUUAGGCUUAAAUAUACCAGCCUUGGAUCUGGUUAUCAUGGGAUGACCUAUAGGUGGUGCAGCAGGUAAUAUAUGAGGAGGAGAUUGUGUAUGAUGUAUAGGAUGUGUAUGUGAUGUCAAAGUAGAAGAUGAAGAGGAGGUUGAAGAAGGAGAGAAUACCUGUGGAGUGUCAGCAGGUAGGUAAUCACUUGCUAGAGAUUGUUGCAGGGGGGAUUGUACUUGUGGGAUUGGAACAAGAGUAACUUUGGACUCUGAAGAAAUAUCUGAGGGACUGCAAGACUGAGCAAUGGAAGAGAAGUCUAAUCCAGAUACAUAUGGAAAAGAUUGUUCAUCAAAGAUGACAUGAUUGGACACAUACACACGACCAGAUGAAUGAAGACACUGAUACCCUUUAUGAGAAGAGCUAUACCCAAUAAAAACACAUCUGUUUGAUCUAAAACUGAGCUUGUGUCUGUUAUAAGGUCUGAGAUAAGGAAAGCAAGCACAACCAAAGACCCUAAGAGAGACAUAAUCUGGUACUUGCUGAAAAAGUUUUUGGUAAGGUGAAAUGUAUUCAAAGUUGGUGUGGGUAGUCUGUUAAUAAGGAAUACAACAGUAUGAAAGGCAUUCCACCAGAACUUAAGUGGUAAAUUAGCUUGAGCUAACAGAGUGAGGCCAAUGUCCACUAUGUGUCUAUGUUUUCUCUCAAUUCUUCCAUUUUGAUGAUGGAUAUGUGGACAAGGAUGCCUGAACUGAAUUCCAAACUGAGUGAGAUAUGAUGCAAAGGUUCUAAACUCCCCUCCCCAAUCUGUUUGAACUGUUUUGAUGUGUUGUUGUAAGUGUUUUUCAAUAAAAGAUUUGAAUUCUGUGAAAACUUGGAGUGCAUCUGAUUUGGCAGUCAAAGGAAAAAUCCAUGUGAAUCUGCUAAAAUCAUCUAAAAUGGACAAAUAAUAUAUAUAGCCUUGAGUGGAUGCAACAUGUGAUGGUCCCCACAAAUCAGCAUAUAUAAGUUGUAAUGGUGCUGUUGUUUUUGUUGGAAUAGAUCCAAAAUGUAAAAGGUGACUUUUACCAUGUUGACAGGCAUUGCAAAAGUUUGGAGUUUUAUUGAGUACAUUGAAACUAUUACAAGCUUUCAAUACAGAUUUGAGUGUGUGUAAGGCAGGAUGUCCUAGCCUUUUAUGGAAAACAUUGACAUCGACUGAGCUAGUAUUGACAGCCAAGGCUGAUUUACACAGCAAAUGAUGAGACAAAGUACUCUUACUUAUUUCAGGAGAAAUAUCACUAGACAAAGGAGAAUGAAAAGCAAACAAAGACUGAGGUUUAUUGGAAGAAAGUUGACAAGACAAGGCUGAGCUAGUUUCAGAGACUUGAGCUGCAGAUUGGACUUGAUACAAUCCCCCUGUUGCAAUUCCUCUAAGCAAAGUGAUCCCUGAGUUCCUGGCCUUGACAACACAGACAUUUGCAAAAAACUCAAGUGUCACAUUAUUAUCUACUAAGAGCUUUGAAACACUGAGUAAAUUUUUCUUAAUAUUUGGAACAUGAAGAACAUGGUUUAAACACAAGGGUUUAUUUGCAGUAGUAGCUAGCAAUACUGAUCCAAUAUGCUGAAUAUGCAAUGCAGAACCAUUCCCAACAAGCAAUUUGUCAGUUCCAACAUAUGGCUUGAGAUCCAGUAAUUUACCUGGGUCAUUUGUGAUGUGGUUAGUAGCACCACUGUCAAUGUACCAAGCUGGAUCUUCAAUCAUCUCAGGUGCAUGAGCUGGAACAGGGACUGAAGGAGAUCCAGAGUAAUCUCCAGUAGGAGCAAAAGCAUGAGCAGGAGAGUAACCACCAUGAGAAUUAGAUGGUUGAUAAACAUUGAAAGCAGCUGGAUCUGAAUACAUCAAAUGGCCUUGAUAACCAGGUGCUCUUGGUAUGUUGAAAUUACCAAACUGAGAGUUACCAAUUCCAGCACCAUAUUGAGGAUUAAGAUUUCUACCAAAAUUACCAAAAUUUCCAUAAGCCAUAGAAGACCUAUUGCCAUUAGCAUAGCCAAAACCUCUACCAUACUGCCUCUGACCAGGCCUAAAAUUUCCAUUAAAACCACCUCUUCCUUGAUUUCUUGAAGGAACAAAAGCUGAGUUAAACCUAUUCCUGCAUUUAUUGGCACCAUGACCAGGAAUGAAAUAGAUCUGACAUACAAUUUGUGAGAAGUUACCAUCACUAGAUCCAGCUCCAGAAUUAUAACUUCCUCCAUACGAUCCAAUGUUAAACUUCUGAUUACCACUAGUGUUUUUACUAGGAUUGAACUGCUUUUGAGCAACAUUAGCUGACAAGUUAUGUGUAACAUCACUUGCAAUUUUUCCUCUCUUUUGUUCCACAUGAUUUUCAUGACUCAAUAACAAUGAAUAAAACUCAUCAAGACUGAUAUUAUCUCCUCUAGCUAACACAGUAGUAACUAGUGAUUCAUAAUCAGAGGAAUCCAAUCCAGUCAAAACAUGUUGAACGAAAUCAUUCACUUCAACAGGUUUUCCAGCUAAAGCCAAGCUAUCAGAUAUCCUUUUCAUUUUUGCAAAAUAAUCAGUUAUGGACAUCGAGCCUUUUUUAAGAGUUUGGAUUUGCAUUUUUAGAGGCAUUAUUCUAGCUUGUGACUGGGAAACAAACAUACUUGUAAGUGUAUCCAGCAGCUCCUUUGCAGUUGAGCAGUGGAUCACAGUUGUCAACAGAUUCGGCUGAAUAGAUGAGAGCAUCCAGCUCAGAAUCAAUUGAUCCGUCUUUAUCCACAUUGUGUAAGCUGGAUUGAUCUCUUGAUUCUCUGUUCCAGUUGAGAAACCAGCAGCAGAGCUUAUAGCAGAGAAAAAUUUUCCCGGACAGACUUGAUUUCCAUUGAUGAAAUCUUCUAAACCAUUUCCUUUAAUGGAUAUGAGAAUCUGAGUUCGCCAAACAAUGAAGUUAUUAUGAUCUAGUUUUAUCGGAGUAAUAAAACUAUAGGAUCCAGAAUUUUGAUUCGAAUUUGCCAUUUGUUAGCUCUGAUACCAUGAAAGAGUUUGUAUAUAGUGUUUGGUUUAAGAGAAACUAACAAGAAAAUAAAAGAAAAUCAUAAAGAACCAGAUCUGAAAAUGAUCAUAUUCUCAUUUUUUGACUAAUGAUUACAACUUGUUAUUUAUAGUAAAUAUCAGAGGCGUCACGUAGCUUGUCAGUUUGUUGGAUCUAAUAUGCAUGCAAUACAGUUCGUUAUCUUUGCUGCUGAGCUGGAUAACUAACUCAACACACGUAAGCAUCAGCAGCUCCAUUUAAUCAGAUGCUCUCAUCUGUACCAUAUUAUCAUACUCUAUAACAUCCUCCCUCAAGCUGAACUGACCUGGAUGGACAUUCAGCUUGCUUCUUAGAUAGUGAAACUGAUUGAAGGUUAGUGCCUUGGUAAGAACAUCGGCAUUUUGGUCUUCACUGGGAAUGAACUGAACUGUAAUUUGCUUAGCUGUUACUUUGUCUCUGAUGAAGUGAAUAUCAAGCUCAACAUGCUUAGUUUUAGCAUGAUAAACAGGAUUGUGAGCUAAAGCUAUGGCACUUUGAUUAUCACACCACAUUAUGGGGGCUGUGACAAGAUGAAUAUGUAGCUCUUUCAGUAAGGACUGAAUCCAAGUAACCUCAGCUGUAGCUUGAGCCAAAGCUCUGUAUUCAGCUUCAGUGCUUGAUCUGGAAACUACUGCCUGUUUCUUAGACGACCAAGAAACCAAAUUUGAACCAAGAUAAACAGCAUAACCAGCCACUGAUUUGCGAUCAUCCUUAUCACAUGCCCAAUCUGAGUCACUAAAACAAUUUAUCUGCAUAGUGCCGUAAUGAUAAAAAUGUAAUCCAAAAUGAAUUGUUCCUUUCAAAUAUCUAAGAAGCCUCUUACAAGCCUCCCAGUGCUCUGCUGUUGGUGAAGCUAAAAACUGACUAAGUUUGUUUACAGAGAAAGCUAUUUCUGGCCUAGUGAGAGUCACAUAUUGUAAAGCUCCAACUGCACUUCUAUAUUGAGAACUAUUUGAAAUAACACUUCCUGACCCCUUUGUAAGAUAAUGACCAGUGGCCAUGGGAGUAGGAACUGGACUGCAGUCAGCCAUAUUGUGUUUGGCUAGAAUAUCAGCUAUGUAUUUAGAUUGAGAGAGAUAAAUUCCAGAUGCUGUUUUGGUAACUUCUAUCCCAAGAAAAUAACUCAAUUUGCCCAGAUCCUUCAAAGCAAAAGCAUUUUGCAUAUUGGUAAUCACUUGCUGCACCAUUUGAUCACUUGAGCCUGUUAUGAUUAUAUCAUCCACAUAGACAAGAACAAAAAUUACUUGAUCACCUAUCCACUUGUAGAAAAGGGAGUUGUCUGACCUUGAAUUUUGGAAACCCCAUUUCACAACCAUAGCAUCUUUCAGUCUCUCAAACCAUGCCCUGGGGGCUUGUUUUAAACCGUAGAGAGCCUUUUUCAACUUACAGACAUGAAGAGGUCGAGAUGGAUCAAUGAAGCCCUCUGGCUGCCCCAUGUACACAUCUUCAACUAAUAUGCCAUUCAAAAAGGCAUUAUUCACAUCCACUUGUCUGAGCUCCCAUUUAUUCAUAACUGCCAAACUUAAAAUAACUCUGACUGUGGAUGCUUUAACAACUGGACUGAAUGUUUCUGUGUAAUCAACUCCUUGUGUCUGAUGAAACCCCUUAGCCACUAACCUGGCUUUGUAUCUAGAAAUGGUUCCAUCAGCAUGAUAUUUUAUCUUGAAUAUCCAUUUGUUACCAACUACCUUAACUGGUUCACUUGGCAAAACCAGAUCCCAUGUAUGAUUAUUCUGAAGUGCUUGAAAUUCUUCUUGCAUUGCCUUAAACCAUUUUGGAUCAGAUAAAGCAGUUGAAACAGAAGUAGGUUCUGAAGGUAUGGCUAGUAAAGCAGCUAAAUAAGAUUUAGGCUUAAAUAUACCAGUCUUGGAUCUGGUUAUCAUGGGAUGACCUAUAGGUGGUGCAGCAGGUAAUAUAUGAGGAGGAGAUUGUGUACACACUGAUCCAUGUACAACACAUCUCUUGAUUAUCUGUGUGUGUGCUGCUCAUCAAUGAUUAACAAGAUACAGUAGUUUUGUGAAGUCUCAUGUCUUGUGUUACAAAAUUUUGUGAUGGAAAGAAGGAAUAAUUCAACUAAAAAAAAAAAACACACGCGCGCAGCACACACACAGAGGGCCGCAACUAGCCCUUGAACCCCUAUUGAACUCGCACAAGAUACUAUUGAACUAAAUUCAAAAACAGCUGUUAAUAGCAUCUUAAAAUAUGGGUUCUAUCCAUACUCCCACCUGAAUCAUUUCUUGCGGCAUGACUCAAAAAUAACAAUAAGCCUGUCGCACCGAUAACUCAUUAGUGCAAUUUUUUUAACUCAAAAAAUUGAUACGCGUUCAUUUAGCGAAAAGUCCAAGACGCUUGCCUUUUGAAAAGAAGAGGUAUCCAAUAGAUAUCCAACCUUUAUCUUAUUUAAUUACUACCACGACAUGAUUGAUGGUGCUUAAAUCGAUUGUUUCUUUUUUAAUUUAAAGAAUUUUUCAUUAAAAAAUAUUUUAAUAUCAAAUUGCCUUCAAUAGCGUAACUGCCGCAGGCCCAGUAACAAGAUUAAUUAAAAUUUUUUGAAUUUUUGGGCAUGGAAAGAGUAGUAUUAGACUUCAGAAAGCUUAAGGUUGUUAUGUUAAAGAAUUGAUAUUGACAUAAUUUUAUUUUGGUUUUCGGGAAACAAAUUAUUUGUUGACAAGCAAGAAAAUAUUUUUGUAUUUUACAAUUUAUUAUACAUAUUUUAUCAUAUUAAAGUAAUUUUAAUAAUAAAUAGACACAUAAUAUUACAACAAAUAAAGUAAAGUUUAAAUUAUUUUGAAUAUUAUAAAAAUAAUUUUAAUAUUAUUAAUAGGAAGACAUUUUGUUAAUUUUAAAAUCUUUUUAACCUAAAGGUUUAUUUAAAAUCUUUAGAAAUCUCCAUCCCACAUCUACCCUAUUAAACAAGUUGAUGGAAAUUGAACAAUUGCUUUUUGAAGUGGACCCAUUGAGUUAUGUUCAUUACUGGUCAUUGUCUAUUCUUUCUAAGAGCCACUUGUUUUGAGCAUUAGCAAUCCUAUCUGGACUACUCCAAUUAUUGAUGUAACUCCAAUGGUUGCAUCAACAGUUGAAUGUAAGAUAGUGUUAGUUCUUUUUUGAGAAUAUAGAGGGAUCUUUAUUUGUUUCUCCGUUGUAGCGUAUUAGUAUAAAUUUCUUUACCUUACAGUUCCUACAGUCUUCCUGUUAAUGAAUUCGCUGAGGCAUUAUUGAUCCAAUCUCAGUGAAGUAAUUGUGGGUGAAAAAAAAAAAUAAAGGAUAAGAGAACGUAGCUGAAGUGCUGAAUUGACUAUUAAAGAAGAGCGUCACCUGAUCACAAUCACAUUGAUGCACAACUCACUCAGAUCAUUACAACGUCCUUUUCGCUAAUUAAUUAUGAUUAUAUACAUUUUCAUAUGGCAAGUGGCAUUGUAGAUCUAAACUACGUUGCUAUUUCAUUACGUUAAUUAAGUGAUUCUCCUCAUUGUCAUCAGCGCUUUUUGGGCAUGGAAAGAGUAGUAUUAAACAUUAGAAAGCAAAGGUUGUUCUGUCAAAGAAUUGAUAUUGGCAUAAUUUUAUUUUUGCUUUCGAGUAAAAAAAAAAAAAUUGUUGACAAGCAAGAUACUGUUUUUAUAUUUUACAGUCAGUUAUACAUAUUUUAUCAUAUUAAAGUAAUUUUAAUAAUAAAUGGAAACAUAACAUUACAAUAAAUCAAUUAAAGUUUAAAUUAUUUUGAAUAUUAUAAAAAAUAAUUUUAAUAUUAUUAAUAGGAAGAUAUUUUGUUUAUUGUAAAAUCUUUUUAACCCAAAGGUUUAUUUAAAAUCGUUAUAAUAAAUAAAAAUAUAAAAACAAAAUAAAUAUCAUAAUUUAAAAUUUUAAUAUUAUUUUAAAUAUUAAAAAUACUUUAAUGCUAUUAGUCUACUACCCAGGUUAUAUUACGUAUAUUAUAUUUGUAUAAAUUAAAACUUUUAAAGUUAAAUUUUUAAUUACUAUAUUGAAAAGUUAUUAUGGUUAAAAAAAGUUUUGGCAUUUCUUUUUGAAAAUUUGAGGGUCUGCAUGACAAUUUGUCCAAAUCCUAGAGGUAUAGGUGUCUUUUUUUUUUUUCGAUAAUCAUUUUACUUUUGAGGGAAUCCGAUGAGAAAUAAGAUAAGAGAAACGUCAAUUUAAGGUUCUCUAGGGAAAACCAAGAACUAUUCAAUUUUGUAUUUUUUGUUUGUAAAACGAAAAACAGUUUGCCAAAAAAGGUACCAAACAUAUCCUUAAUGUCUCACAUGAUUUCUUAUUAAGUCCAUACUCGAUAUAUUUAUACAUUUUAGGUAUUUUAGUUAUAAAAGAAGUUGGUCCUCCCUUUGUUUAUAAAAGGUAACUUUAUUUCGAGAUUACCACUAAAGUCUUGCAAAGAAUUAGUGUAAUGUUAAGAGAGAAUAACACAGUUUUCCAUUACCAUUUUGAAAAUAGAAAGAUGUGGAUGUGUGCAUUUAAUAUUGCGUUUACUUGCUGGAUUGAGGAAUCGGAAUCUAGAAUCGGAAUGAUUGAUGGUGUUUACUUUGCAAAUAUGGAGCAGGAAUCGGAAUUGGAAUGGUGGGGGCCACCACUAUUUGGGAAUGGGAGAUUGAUUCUCAUGGGGGAAGGUGGGAAUGAGUCUCCCAUUCCCUGGAUUGACCAUUUUGCCCUCCCUCAAAAUUAAAAAUGCCUACUUUGUCCUCUUUUAUAAUUAAUUAAUAUAAUAUUAUAAUUACUUAAUUAAUAUAUAAAUAUUUUAUUAACUAUAAUUAUUAAAAAUUAUAGUUCUUGAAUAAAUAAUCACAAUAAUUAAUUUAUUAUUAUUAUUGUUAUUUUAAUUAAUUAAUUAAUAUACUAUUAUAAUAAUUAUUAAUAUAAUUAAUUUAUAUAUUAUUAUUAUUAUUAAUGAAUUAAUAUAAUUAUUACUAUUAAUUAAUAUAUUAAUAUAUUAUUAACAAUAAUAUAUUAAUAAUUAUUGUUCGUGAAUAAAUAAUCACAAUAAUUAAUAUAUUAUUAUUGUAAUUAAUUAAUUAAUAUACUAUUAUAAUAAUUAUUAAUAUAAUUAUUAUAAUUAAUUCAUAUAUUAUUAUUAAUUAAAUUAAUAUUAUUAAAUAAAUAAAUAAUAUAAUUAUUACUACUAAUUAAUAUAUUAAUAUAUUAUUAAAAAAUAUUAAUAAUUAUAAUUUUUGAAUAAAUAAUCACAAUAAUUAAUAUAUUAUUUUAAUUAAGUAAUUAAUAUUAAUAUUAAUAUUAUUAGUUAAUAUAUUUUUAUAAUAAUUUUUAAUAUAGUUAUUAUAAUUAAUUAAUUUUUUUUACAAUUAAUUAAUAUAUUAGUUAAUAAUAAUUAUGACAAUAAUCCAUUAAGUACUUUUUAGUAAUUUGUUACAAUCUAAUUCAUUCCGAUUCCGAUUUCAAGACAAAGUAAACACAUUAAUGGCAAUUUAGCUCAUUCUGAUUUUGAUUCCUACAGUUCAAGUAAACAACUUAUUUUGAUUCCUAUUACAUAUUCCCAUUCCAACCCAUUCUCAUUUCUGUCCAUUCUCAUUUCUGCCCAUUCCGAUUUUAGCUCAUUCCGAUUUCAGUUUAGUAAACGCAGUAUAAGAGUUAUCAUGAAAAUCAUACAAUUCAAUUUCCUGAAAUAUAUAUUUUAUUCACAUGUGCCAAAAGAAUAAAUAGAUAGAAAGUAAAUUUACAAUCCUCACUCCCUCACAAUUGUUAAAGUGAAUAUGCAUUACAACUGUGAACUGUCACUACUUUAGCCCUUUUUUUUUUUUCAAUUAUAGUGUGAUGGAGACAGUGAACAUUAAGGAUAAAGUGCUCUGCUGAAAGCCAAACUUCCUUUGGCUAAUUAAUUUAGAAGUAAAGCAGAGAAUAAAGUCCUAGAUGCCUUCUGAAAUUAGAAAUACAUUUUAUAUGCUUUAAUUAUGAUUAUUUGGCAGACUAAAGACCUAAAAGAUAUGUCAAAAGUAUGAAACAGAGAGAUUAAAGAAAAAAGAAAAAAAAAAAAAAACAGAGUAUUUGUGACGUAGAAUAACAAUUGGUAAAUAAAUCCUAAAUAUUUGAGUUGUUAAAAGCAAAUAUAACAGAGACGGUAAGAGAGAUGCAGAAACAGAAAACUAUUAGCUUAUCUUGAUUUUCCCACUAUAUUCAUUUUCGAUGCUUUUCAAUCGAGAUUCUUUUAAUUCUUCUGGUGUCUGCAGCCCCGGCUCUUCUUAUAAAUCUCCAUCCCACAUCUGCACUACGAACAAGUUGACUGAAAUUAAAUAAUGUUGGAGAUGAGGGGUGAGCCGUCAACUUGUUAAAAAAAACUCAUGUAUAAUAUUAUCAAUAAUAUAAAAUAUAUAAUAAUUGUUACAAAGAAUCAUAAAUUAGAAAAAUUAAUUAUUUUACAAUCUAUUUCUUAAGUAAGAUAAAUCUUGUAAUAAGUUAAGUUAUAACGUAAAAAAUAUUUUCAAUUUAUAAUCAUUUAAGAAGUCAUUUAACAAUAAAAUCUUUCUUUUGAUCAUGUGGGCAUGCCAUAGAGUAUCAUCUAUAUUCGUGAUGAUAUUAUUAUUACUCAGUAUCCUAAAAAAAACACGAUUUAACAUUUAGAGAAAAUUCCUGCCUUUUAAAAAGAACAUGUAUGCAAUAGCUAGCCAUACUUUAUUUUACCACAACAAAAUUGAUGGUGAUUAAAUCAAUUUUCUCAAUUAAAGCAAAAUUUUAAAAAUUGAUUUAAUGCACAAAUAUGAUGAGUUUUUGUAAAAAUUAGUUUUGGAAAAUAUAGUGAGAGAAAAUGGUGACGAUUAUUUUCAGAUGUGCAAAUAGCCUAAACAUAAUCUCUAAUACCAAUAUCCAUGUGCAUCUUAAUACCUUUCAUGAUAUUCUUUCAUUCAUGGCCAUUUGUUCAAGAUUUGAAUUUGAUUAUUAAAUCAUGUUCAAUAAUGUUAGAGAUCCCAACAAUUGAAUACCAACUUAAAUCCCAAUGCUAUGUGUCAUUAACAAAUGUUGUGUCAUUUAUAAUUAUUGAAUGAAUAAUUCGUUAAUUUAUUGAUAAAUAAAAAUUUAUUAAUUUAAAGAGAGAUACUUCUUCUUUUUUUGUUUUAAGAAGAGUUUUGUUGGUACAUGUACAUACUUAUAAAGAAAUAAACUUGUAAUUAUACUAUAUCUUUCUUUCUUUGUUCAGUUUGGUGGGAUAUUGUGAUAAAUCAUUGGAUUAAAAUACAUUUCUAAAUUAAAACUUGUUAAAAUCUAAUUUAUUUGGGAAACGCAUAUUAUUUGUCAGUUGUACUUCUCAACUUAGCAAGUUAUUUCUAACUUGUCAGUCUCUAUUGGUUCUCUAAAAGCUAAUAGUCUCGAAUCUCCCGCAUUUGAUAUCUUGCCAUUACUGUUGGCAUUUGUUAAGUAUAGCUGAAGCUGGUGACGUGUAUAAGCUGCUGAUGAAGCUGCUGAGUUGGCUGGCUGGUGAUGUGUAUAAACUGAAGGUGCUGAGCUGGAUUGGGUUGUUGUUCACACCAACUAAAGAUGUAACAGAUUAUCCAGCUGGCUUGUUAUGAUUGGAAGUUAGAUUAGUUUGUUAAUACAGCAAACAAUGAGCUCUGUUUUGGUAGUUAGUUUUGAGUGUAACUAUAAAUACUGGCUAACAUGUUUUCAGUGUUAAGCUUGAGUUUUAAUCAAUAAAAAUCAAUUCAGUUAAAGUUUCUUUGUUAACUUUCUUUCACUUUCUCACUUGCCAAACAACCUAUUAAUUCUAAAAUGGUAUCAGAGCUUGCACCUAUGUCAGGAUCUAAUCAUAUAGCUUCCUCAUCACUUUCAUUCAAUUUUGUUCAACCUAUAAAACUCGAUAGAUCAAACUACUUGGUGUGGAAAGCUCAAGUUAGAACAUCGAUCAUUGCUAAUGGACUUGAGAGCUUCAUCAAUGGUGAGAGUGUAUGUCCAAAAUGUUAUCUCAUUGAUUCUAUUCAAGAACUUCAAAGAUCUGGAGCUGAAACAUCACAGAAGCAGGAAAAUCCAGAGUAUAUCUUAUGGAUGAAAACUGACAAACUUCUGCAGAGCUGGAUGCUUUCGUCAAUGGUGGACAAUGUAUUAAUCAUGGUGAUCAAUUGUGAAACAUCACUUGAACUUUCGGAGAUGCUUGCUAGAAUCUUCAUGUCACAAUCCAAAGCGAGAUAUCUGCCUUUGAAGAUGCAGAUUCAAUCAACAAAUAAAGGAUCUCUCUCCAUCAGUGAUUACUUCAAAAGGAUGAAGAAAAUUGCUGAUAGCUUGGCCAUUGGAGGUAAUCCAAUUACUUCGAAUGAACUGAUUAUUCACUUGCUUACUAGAUUGGAUGAAAACUAUGAAUCCAUAGUCACAAAUAUACUUACUAGACUGGAAAAAGAGAGACUUACUGCUGAAGAGGUGUACUCUAUGUUACUUAGUCAUGAAACUAGGUUGGAAAUGAGCAAAGGAAAAUCACAUAAUGAACCUCUGCAUGAUAUGACAUCAAAUUUUGCUCAGAAAGGCCAAGGUUAUAAUACUGGUCCUGGAAGAGAUGUUGUGUGUCAAAUCUGUUACAUUCCAGGCCAUGGAGCUUAUAAGUGUAAACAUAGAUUCAAUCAAGGGUUUAUUCCUAGAAACAAAGGCUUUGGUGGUUUCAGGCCAAGAGGUGGAGGUCAGAAUUAUAGAGGAUUCCCUAGAAAUAAUCAGAAUUAUUUUGGUAGAGGUUCUGGAUACAAUAGUUCUGCUUUUGGAUCUGGAUUCAGACCUAACUUUCCCAGGCAAGCCGGACCUACUGGACCUUUCUUUGGCUAUGUUGCCUAUCAGAAUCCAGGAUUCAUGAAUCCUCAAGGUGCCUUUGACUUUCCAAGUGCAAAUGGUGAUUAUACUGGUGUUCCAACAGCAAACAUGUAUGUUGGAAAUUAUGGCAUUCCUCAUAAUGUCUCUCCCUCUGCACAAUUGGCAAACUUCAGCAAUGUAGCUGAUUCAGCCUGGUACCUUGACUCUAGAGCAACAAAUCACAUUGCUCAAGAUGCAGGUAUACUUUCUAAGUGCUCAACUUACCAUGGCCUUGAAAAACUACAUGUAGGAAAUGGUAUGGGGCUGCCUGUUCAUAAUGUUGGUUUUGUUGCUGUUAAAACCUUGACUACAACACCUAUAUACCUAAAUCAUGUUCUGCAUGUCCCUAAAAUUACUAAAAACCUUAUCAGUGUUUCCAAAUUGCUUGCUGAUAACAAUGUUUUUAUUGAGUUUUACAACCAUGUUUGUUUUGUUAAGGACAAGAAUUCAAGAAUCACAUUGCUCAAGGGGAUUGUUAGAGGAGGUCUUUAUCAAGUUUCAAGCUUAAAUACAGUCUGUGAUAACUCCAGUUCAGUGUUCCCAGUGUCAACCACUUCUGAGUUUGUUUUUACUUCAAUAAGUACAUUCCCAGCAACUCCAGUGUCUAUGUUUACUCAACUAAGUUCAUUUGAUACUAAGUUUCACUCUUGUAUGCUUGUAAAUAAUUCUCAAAUCAAUAAGAAUGUCCCUGUGGCUCACUUUGCUUCAUAUAACAAGCCUAUUGAUUAUAGUUUACUGCACAAAAGAAUGGGUCAUCCAACUACUCAUGCUUUAAAACAGAUCAUGAAAUGCCUGAACUCAAAUUUUAUUCUUCCCAAAGAUUUCACAACACAGUUCUGUGAUGCCUGUCAACUAGGCAAGUGCCAUACGCAGCAUUUUCCCUCCAUAGAAACUUCAACCACUCAGCCCCUUGAAUUACUACAUGCUGACCUUUGGGGACCAGCUCCCAUUACCUCUUCACAAGGUUACACCUACUAUCUAUCUAUCUUAGAUGACUACACUCGAUACACUUGGAUUUUUCCUCUCAUUGCCAAAUCCAAAACCUUGUCAGCCUUUAUUGAAUUCAAAAACAUGAUUGAAAACUGCCUGAACUUGAAAAUUAAAUGUUUACAAACUGAUUGGGGUGGAGAAUUCAGGCCUUUUGUGUCAUAUCUUUCUAACCAGGGUAUACAAUUUUGACAUCCCUGCCCUUAUAUCCAUCAUCAACAUAUUACCUGAGAUUGGGAUUCAUUAAAAUCCUCAAUGUAAUCGGUGGAACGAAUGGAUUUCUUCUGUUCACCAAUCCACCAAAAUUUCUGUAAUUAAAUUCAAGAGUCAAGAUCUAUGCUUAUAAUCUAUUCAACAGCUAAUAUUCUAUUUUAUAUUUACUUAAAUAUGAAGAGCUAUGCUUGUCAUUAACUUCAAAUGUGAUCGAAGCAGCCUUACAUCUGUAUAUUACGUAUUCCCAACUUUUUUUUGACUUCAUUUACUUUCUUUUCAUGUUAUUUACUCUUUUUUCCCCCUCUCUGACAAUUGAGGUAGGGGGUCAAACUUGAAAGUAUCUUAAAAUCAAACAAUUUUUUUUUUAAGAUAGCUGCUAAUAUGCUCUAUUAGACAAUGAUAAGUAAUAACCUAGUUGUUUGCAUUAGAAAUGAUAUUUUUUGUGGUGCUGAUAAAGAGGUUGAUUAUGAUUCAACAAUUUAAAAUAUGAAAACAUGUGGAAGACGGCCGCAAUUAAAUUGAUUGUAUGAAAAUAUUUCAAUGAAAUUUUAAAAAUUUAGUACUUGUUAUCUUAUCGAGAGUUUUUUAAAUUUUUCUACUUGAACUUGACUGCUUUUGUAUUGAAUUCCUAGCGUUGCCAUUGCUUCUACUCAAAAGCCAUUUAGUUACUCAUGAAUUGUUGUUCAUAAUAGCAAUUUGAUUGAAAGUGCGGCUGCACUAAUUUUCUAGAUGAAUUUUUUCCUACAUGCUUGUUCUCGUAUGACCCAAAAUCCUGCUACAUCAGUUGUAUUAGAAAUUAAUCAACUGGGUUACAAUUAUGCAUCCCCACCAAUAUUUAAGCAAUUUAAUUACAGAAACAUUUCUUGAGGAAAGAAACUCAUAUCGCCACUAGGCUUUUAAUGAGGCUCAUUUUUAUGAAUCUGGAUGGCAUUAGAUAUCUCUCCGAAUAUUGGUGGGAGUAGAUAUGCUACAAAGUGUAUGUACGUUGACUCUCAAUAAAUACAAACGAUUCUCUGAUCUGAUUCAAAACAUCAGUACAUGCAUCAUUUUAAUGAGAAAGAAUAUUCUAAGAACGAAAUUGAAGGUGCAAUCAGCAGCUAAAAUGAAGCCAGAAAUGUACACGCAUGAGGAAGUUUUCCAAGAAGAUUGAUAUUUCUUUGACUAGCAAACCAUACAAGUCCAAAGCUAGCUAAACCAUACCUGCAAGUCGGGGGUUUAAAUGGAGUACUUCUAAGCAUAAAACAUUGAUUAAAACAGAAUACACACAUACAUACCAGCAAAUUCAAUAUAGCAAAAGGAGUGCAAAAGUUCAAGUUUGUAGACAACAUUGCAACCAUGGCAUGUUUAUAGCAAAUCCUCGAAAUCUGCUAAAUAAAACAAUGCCCUGUCUCAUGAAUCAAUGCUGAAUUAAAAUUGAAACUGAAAGUCUGGCUGGCGGUGUUUCCCUCUCCAAUUUUGCCUACAUAAGUGAAAAUAAGAAUAAUAAAUGGAAAUCUGCUUUUACAGUUCUUAUUAGAUAGAUAUAAAGGGAUCUUUCUUUGUUUCUCUGCUGUAAUUUGUGGCUAUGCCACUCUGUUUUUCCAGUCAAGCUGAGUCUACGUUGAGACAUAAUUUUGACAUCAGAAGCAACCUCAAUUAGUUUGGCAUUUUCAUGACCUCCUUGAAGGUUUUAUGAUAAACAUAAAUCCACUGAGAAAGUGGGAAAAAAAGAAAAUGCAUAUAAAAGUAUGAGUUAUCAGAUAAGAUUAAAACUCACCCAAUUCAAUCCAUCAGAUUCCGUAAGGAUAUAACUGGAUGUCAUACCGCCACUCCAUAUCCUCGAAAGUCCGUAGUCCUUGUCUCAACUGUGUCUGGGGCCAGUGUAAGUCCAAUUUGCGCAAGCUCUUUAUGCACCACAGCUCUUCUGGAAGCUUUCUCAAGUAAGCACAUGGGUUGACAAUUAAGCUUUCAAGUUUCGGCAUUGCUCCAGCCGCCAUCGUCCACUCAUCUAGCCAAUACAUUGAUUUCAGGUGCAAAACCUUAAGUUCGGGAAAGCUACUCAAGCCAACACAAGCAAGCUUUCUUCCUAAAUACGAGUUCUGCUUCAGUUUCAGCACUCGAAGGCGUGGAAGAUUUUCCAGAAUUGGCAUGGGAUCCUCCAUUAGCUCAGUAUUUGAUAAGCUCAGUUGGAUCAGACUUGGGGGAAAUUGGUAUUCAGACAGGACCAUCCGUGAGGGCUUGCUCUCAUUCACCAGCUUCAAGCAUUCAAGUUUGUGGAGUUCGCAAAGGCUUUUGGAAACCCCAGAUUGAUAGUAACUCAAAUCUCCAGAUAUCCGAAGAGUCCGAACACUAGGUAGUCUGCCCAAUAUAUCAGGAGUACAACUACUAGGGUUUAAAGCUGAUAUGAAAAUGAGAUUUUUCAGAGAGCUAGAAUAAUUUUUUGGAGGUGCGGGCAGAGUGAUGCAACCGAAGUUUAGAUGCAUGAGUUUUUGCAUCAUCCAAAUAUCCUCUGGUGACUGAUCUAUGUAGCUAGAUGGCAUUUCUAGUGUUUCAAGGUUUAAAAGGGUGCAUAGCAGUGAAGGAAGGCAUUUGAGCGAAGGGAUAUUCAAUUUCAAAUACUUCAAAAGAUAUAAAUUUUCUAAUCCGGGUGGAUAUUGGUCCAGGACUGCAGAACCCAUGUUCAAUACCCGAAGGUAUUUGAACCUUUUAAAAAAAUUCUCGCAAUCUUUCGGAUUAAGAUGAUUGCUUUUUGAACUGUGAUUCAGAAAAGAUUGGAGACACAUGUCAGAAUGUUCUAAAGAAAAGAACUCAAUCAGAUCAUCGUCAAUGACGCACCGUUUAACAUUUGCCACUGAUUCCUCUUCCACGUCAUGCAUCCAGACAAAUCCCGUCUUCAUUGCCACAAUAUACAAUGAAGUGUAUACAAAACUUGGAACAUAACACGCUUUAAUUGUGCCUCUGGCUCUUCUCUUACUCACUUGAAUGAAGCCGCGAUGGAUUAGUUCUUUCAAGUAAUGUUCGGCAGUUUCUUCACCGUUGUAUGGUAUGAAACCUUCAGCUACCCACAACUGAUAUAAUUGCUCCGUAGAUAUCUCAAUACUUGGAGGGAAGACAUACAAAUAGAUGCAGCAGACUUUCAAGUGAAAAGGCAACUCCAUCACAGAAAAAAUUUGUCUCCAAACUGUCAGAACCACUUCGCCUUGAAGAUAAUUUUCUAAUGGCAUACUUCCAUAGUGUAGGAUGAAAAAUUGCCAGGCCUCAUGCUUUAAUCUGAUCAAUGGUCCUCCAAAGAGCACUGAAUCACGCCGAAUCUUCUCUUCAUUUUCCAUUUCCAACGACGCAAUGAGGCCCGGAUCAGUGACUGUUAUCAAUACUCUGCUUCCAUUCUCAUCACCAGGAAGAAGUUCUUCGAGAUCACUCCAUAUCUCACUGUUAUCGAAGACAUCAUCAAGCAAAAUAAAGUACUUCUUGUUUGUUAGGUAAUCUCGAAGAAUAGAUUUCUUCAAUUGAUAAUCUUCACCGAUAAUUACACUAACCCGAGAUGGAGGCAUCACAGACUUGAUUAUGUCAUCCAACAUCUUGCCAAAAUCAUAGAAUAUAGAAACCCUGACCCAAGCAAGACAGUCAAAAUAGAACUUGACAUGGUUAUUAUUGUAAGUAUCUUCUGCAAAAGCAGUCUUAUCGAAGCCACUGCUGUCGAGAAUUGUAACCACUGCAAGCCGAGGGCGUCCUUCAAUCAAUAAAUCAAACAACUCCUCCCUGCCCCUUUCAAAUUCAUUGAUAUCAAGCCGAGGUUGUCCCUCACUCAAUAGGUGAAUGAUUUCGUUACUUUUUUUACUGAUAUCAAAACCAUUGUCGCCGGGUGGAAGUUGUUGCAUCCGAUUACUAAUAUCAAUGAUUUUACUGUGGAGACCAGCAAGAAGAGCCAUAUUAGUACUGCUUUCACUUUCGUUUUCACUGUUUUGCUGCUGCAUAAUGUUGAUGAAGAAUGUGUCAAUGGCUUCCUCAGAUUCAUGGACAAAGUCAUUGAUGUCCUUCACAAUGCCCAAAAGGUCCGCUCUUUCAACUUCUUCUUCAUCGCUUUCUUCUAAGUCCAACAGUUGCAAAAAAGGCAAAGAUAUUUUGGAGUCAUCGAAUUCUUCUCUAAUGAGUUGAAAGAAAUGCCGAGCCAUGUCAGCUUCAUAUUUUCCCAGCAGGGUAGUAGCAAUAAUUUCGGACUCCGUAAGAAGGUUUUGAAAAAGUGGGGUUAAAUUUGUUGAAUCAGGCAGCGUUAACGGGCCUUCUUCACCUGCUAACACCCUUUUCAACCUCUCACAAAACAGUCGGAGGUGGAAUUCCAGCAUAUCUCCUUCUCUCCGUAGCACUCAGAGGUAUAGCUGAAAGAUUAAACACCAUGGAAGAAUUUGAAAGGAAAAUGCCAAGACAUUAUUGCUCAUUUUUUAACUCAAAAGAUUGAUACGCGUUCAUUUAGAGAAAAGUCCAAGACGCGUGCCUUUUGAAAAGAACAGGUAUCCCAAUCGGUAUCCGACCGAUAUCUUAUUAAAUUACAACCAUGACAUAAUUGAUGGUGCUUAAAUCAAUUGUUUCUUUUUUAAUUUAAAGAAUUUUUCAUUAAAAAAAUAUUUUAAUAUCAAAUUGCUUUCAGUGGCGUAACUGCCUCAAGCCCAGUAACAGGACUAAUUAAAAAUUUUACAAUUUUUGGGCAUGGAAAUAGUAGUAUUAAACAUUAGAAAGGUAAGGUCGUUCUGUUAAAGAAUUGAUAUUGACAUAAUUUUUUUUGGUUUUCGGGGGAAAAAAAAUUGUUGACAAGCAAGAAAAUAUUUUUAUAUUUUAUAAUUUAUUAUACAUAUUUUAUCUUAUUAAAGUAAUUUUAAUAAUAAAUAGAAACAUAAUAUUACGAUAAAUAAAUUAAAGUUGAACUUAUUUUGAAUAUUAUAAAAAAUAAUUUUAAUAUUAUUAAUAGGAAGACAUUGUAUUAAUUUUAAACUUUUUUAACCCAAAGGUUUAUUUAAAAUCUUUAUUAGAAAUACAAAUAUAAAAUUAAAUAUCAUAAUUUAAAAUUUUUAAUAUUAUUUUAAGUAUUAAAAAUAUUUUAAUGUUAUUAGUCUACUACAUAGAUCAUAUUACUUAUAUAAUAUUUGUAUUAUUAAAAAUUGUUAAAAUCAAAUUUUUAGUUAGUAUAUUCAUGAGCUAUUAUGGUUAAAAAAAAAAAGACCUUAUUAUUACUUUUUUAAAAAUUGAGGGCCUGCGUGAUAAUUUUUUCAAAAAGAAAAUGCUUGGUAUGUAGGAGGGGUACAGAAACAGGACUCCCAAAAUCUCUCACCCUUUUUUAAUUAAAAAAAAAAAUUAAAAUAUCAAUAAAAAGUAAUAAAGAAAAUAGAAUUUUAUCUGCUCCUUACUCCAUUUUUGCAACUCUCUCACCAUCCCUAUCGAGCAGCCCUCUCUCUCACUGUCUCACUCACACAGUCCUUUUCACGAUUUGAAAUUCUUUGGCCCUCUGCAUUACAAGAAAUUAACGCUUUGGUUCUCCCAAGGGUAGAUUGGUUUUAUUGGGAAGCUAUUAAUUUUUUUUUUUUUUGAAUACUGAUUAAUCAUCAGAUUACUGCAUUACACAGAUAUUUACAACAACUGCUAUUGUAGCAGAGAUAUUAUACUGAUAUUUACAAUCAGAUAUACAUAAUUGGGACUUAUAUUAUGACAUUGAAUUCUAUGAAGUACAUGCCCAAACAAAUAACCCCUCACAGGAGAGGGAUGUCCAUACUCCACUCGCAUUUCGCAAGGGAGAAUGAUUUUUUGGAAGUAUAAAGAACAUUUAGCCCCCACAAUACUUUUGUGGGGGCUAGAACCGCUGCAGCAUUGUGAGGGCAGCAGCCCACCACUUCGGCCUUGGCCGAAGUGGCGGGAAGCUAUUAAUUAGAAGGAGGAAAAAGGACUAUAUUUAGAAUAUGAUUUGUUGGAGAAUCUCAGAGUUAGUCAAUUUUCAAGCCACACUUUCAAUAGCCAAUUGAUUUAGUAACCAUUAAUUACUUUAAUUUCCAUAAAUUGUAAUGACAGUGCAAAUGCAUCUGGUUGUGAUAGCUAAGGGUUAGCUUGAAGAAUUAAAUUUCAUAAGAUAUUACUGGAAAAUGCUUUGCAGAUAACGUGCUGCUUCCUUUGCUAGACUACAAUUUCAAAAAUCUCACGAGUUUUCCAUUGUUGUCACAAACCGAGAAAUUAUAAAAUACAUGGCCUGGUUCUUUGGCAAUGACCAUCUCAUCGUCGGCGGUCGUGUCGUCAUUGUCACUGUUCUUGCUCGACCGAGACAGUGAGAGAGAGGUUUGUUAGAUGGAGUUAGUGAGAGAGAGUUGUAAAGAUGGAAUGAUGAUAAAAGGAUUCUAUUUGUUUUUAUUGUUUUUUAUUAAUAUUUUAAUUUUUUAAAUUAAAAUGUGCUGCCGUUUCUCUAGCCUUUUUAGCUGCUUAACUUAACAGUAUUCUUUUCAAAAUUUAAGAAUGUAGUAGGUGUCCUUUUCUCUAAUAAUUUAUUUCAUUUUUAGGGAAUCCAAUGAGAAAUAUGAUAAAAGAACGUCAAUUACUUGUCGUUUUCAAUUUUUUCUAUAAGCUAUUUAUUUUGAGCAUUAGUGAUCUUGUCUGGACUACCCCAAUUAUUGACGUAACUCCAGUGGCUGCAUCCACUGGAAAAAGUGGAUGAGACCAUUUUUUUUUUCAUAAAGGUAACUACUCCAAUUAUUGACAUAAUUGAUGGUGCUUAAAUCAAUUUUUUCUUUCUUUUUUUUAAUUUAAAGAAUUUUGCUUUAAAAAAUAAUUAAUAUCAAAAUGCCUUCAAUGUUGUUACCGCCACAAGCCCAGUUAGAGGACUCAUUAAAAAUUUUAGAAUUUUUAGGCCUGGAAAGCAUAGUAUUAAACAUCAGAAAGCAAAGGUUGUUAUGUCGAAGAAUUGAUGUCGACAAAAUUUUAAUUUUGUUUUCGGAAAAAAAAAAAAAUUUUGUUGACAAGCAAGAAAAUAUUUUUUAUACUUUACAAUCUGCUAUACAUAUUUUAUCAUAUUAAAGUAAUUUUAAUAAUAUAUGGAAACAUAAUAUUAUAAUAAAUAAAUUAAAAUUACUUUGUAUUAUUGAAUAUUACAAAAAGAUAAUUUUAAUAUUAUUAAUAGGAAAACAUUUUUUAAUUGUAAAAUCUUUUUAAUACAAAAAUUCGUUUAAAAUCUUUAUAAUAAAUACAAAUAUAAAAUUAAAAAAUAUCAUAAUUUAAAAUUUUUAAUAUUAUUUAAAUAUUAAAAAUACUUUAAUGUUAUUAGUCUACUACAUAAAAUAUAUUAUUUAUAUUAUAUUCGUAUUGAUUAAAACGUUUUAAAGUCAAAUUUUUAAUUAGUGUAUUCAAAGGUACAAAAGAUUUAAGUAUUAUUUUUUAAAAAUUUCAAGAUACGAAUGAUAAUUUUUUCAAAUUUUAAAGAUGUAAAAAUCUUUUUUUCUGAUAAUUUAUUUCACUUUUGAGAGAAUCCGAAAACGUUAAUUUAACAUUCUUUACCUUUGUAAAAAAAGUGAAAAUCAAGAACUAUUCAAUUUUGUUUUUAUUUGUAAUUCAAAAACUUUAUUCAUUUUCGAUGCUUUUCAAAAGAGAUUCCUUUAAAUGUCUGCAGCUCCUGCUUUUCUCAUAAAUCUCCAUCCCACAUCUACACUAUCAAGUAUCAAACAAGUUGAUGGAAAUUCUUAUAAAAAAAAAAAAAAAAUUGAUGGAAAUUGAUCAAUUGCUUUUUGAAGUGGACCCAUUGAGUCAUGUUCAUUUCUGGUCAUUGUCUACUCUUUCUAUCAGCCAUUUAUUUUGACCAUUUGCGAUCUUAUCUGGACCUACUCCAAUUAUUGUUGUAACUCCGAUGGUUGUAUCUACAGUGGAAUGUAAGAUAGUGAAAGCUCUUUCUUUGAGAAAAUAGAGGGACCUUUCUCUGUUUCUCCGUUGCAACGUGCUCGUAUAAAUUUCUCUACCUUACAGUUUAUACGGUCUUGCUGUUAAUGAAUUCGCUGAGGCAUUAUUGAUCCAAUCUGAGUGAAGUAAUUGUGGGUGAAAAAUAAAUAAAGGAUAUGAGAACGUAGCUGAAGUGCUGAAGGGGCUAUUAAAGAAGAGUGUCACUUGAUCACAAUCACAUUGAUGCACAACUCACUCGUGGCAAAUUUCGACUAUACGUUCUGCAAAUUCAGCCAAACCAUACAUGCAUGAACAAAACUAAAAUGUAGUUCUAAUCACAACUGCAGUUAUGAUGUUUACCUCUCUGAUUUUUCUCCAAAACAAAUUCAGUUCAAAACAAUAAUCAAAAUAGCCACAUUUUGUUCGUCAAAAUAAAUGCCCAAAUUUUCAAUUAACAAAUCAUCUUCUCUAAACUAAAAAGCCCACAUCUCUAAAAUCAAUCUACAUAAUGUUGGAGAUGAGGGUUGAAUUGUUAACUCAGUAAAAAAAAAAAAACUCAUGCAUAAGAUUACUAAUAAUAUAAAUUAUAUAUUAAUCAUUAUAAAGAAUCAUAAAUUAGAAAAAUUAAUCAUUUUAUAAUUUAUUACACAAGUAAGAUAAAUCUCAUAAUAAGUUAUAACAUAAAAAACGUUAUCAAUAUAUAAUCAUUUAAGAAGUCAUUUAACAAUAAAAUCGUUCUUUGAUCAGUUGGCCAUGUCACAUAGUAUCAUCUAUAUUUAUGGUGAUACUAUUAUUACUCAGUAUUCUCAAAAAACAUGAUUUAACAUUUAGAGGAAAUUCUUGCCUUAAAAAAAAAACAUGUAUGCAACAGCUACCCAUGCUUUAUCUUACCAUGACAAAUAUUUUCUCAAUGAAAGAAAUUUUUUAAAAAAUUGAUUUAAUGCACAAAUAUGAUGAUUUUUGCAAAAAUUAGUUUUGGAAAACAUAGUGAGAGAAAAUAGUGACGAUUAUUGUUUAAAUGUAUAAAUAGCCUAAACAUAAUCCUUAAUACCAAUAUCCAUAUGCAUCUUAUCAUCUUUCAUGAUAUUCUUUCAUUUAUGUCCAUUGGUUCAAGAUUUGAAUUUGAUCAUUAAAUCAUGUUCAAUAAUAUUAGAGAUUCCAACAAUUGAGUACCAACUUAAAUCCCAAUGUUAUGUGUCAUUGACCAAUUUUGUGUCAUUGACCAAUUUUGUUAUUAACUAGGUGAUGAAUUUCUAGUUGAUAAAAUCACUUAAAAAUAUCUUAAAAAUUAGACAAUAGUUUGCUUAAUUUUUCCAAGUUAACUGCUCAAGAUGCUCUAUUAGAAAUGAUAACCUAAUUAUAUACAUAAAAAAUGAUGGAAAUUGAACAAUUGCUUUUUGAAGUGGACCCAUUGAGUUAUGUUCAUUACUGGUCAUUGUCUAUUCUUUCUAAGAGCCACUUGUUUUGAGCAUUAGCAAUCCUAUCUGGACUACUCCAAUUAGGAUAGUGUUAGUUCUUUUUUGAGAAUUUCUUUAUUUGUUUCUCCGUUGCAGCGUAUUAGUAUAAAUUUCUUUACCUUACAGUUCCUACAGUCUUCCUGUUAAUGAAUUCGCUGAGGCAUUAUUGAUCCAAUCUCGGUGAAGUAAUUGUGGGUGAAAAAAAAAAAAAAGGAUAAGAGAACGUAGCUCAAGUGCUGAAUUGACUAUUAAAGAAGAGCGUCACCUGAUCACAAUCACAUUGAUGCACAACUCACUCGAGGCAAAUUUCAUCUAUAAAUAAAAGAUCCCUUACUAUUCUCUUAACCCUGAGUUUUGAGAUAGAAAUUUCCCGAACUCCAACCCCACAUCCACAGACAAGUUGAUUGAAACAAUUGCUCUUGUAAUUAAGAGGAUGGGUUAGGGUUCAGUUCUUAUCAUUGUCUGUUAUUUCUUUGAAUCAUUAUCUUAAUUAAUUACAUCAAUUGUUUCUUUUUUUUAAUUUAAAGAAUUUUUCUUUAAAAAAAUAUAUUUUAAUAUCAAAAUGCCUUAAAUGGUAUUACUGCCGCAAUCCCAGUAACAGGAUUAAUUAAAAAUUUUAGAAUUUUUGGGCAUGGAAAGAGUAGUAUUAAAUAUCAGAAAGCUAAGGUUGUUCUGUCAAAGAAUUCAUAUUGGCAUAAUUUUAUUUUUGCUUUCGAGUAAAAAAAUAUAUAUAUAUAUAUUUGUUGACAAGCAAAAUACUGUUUUUAUAUUUUACAAUCAGUUAUACAUAUUUUAUCAUAUUAAAGUAAUUUUAAUAAUAAAUGGAAACAUAACAUUACAAUAAAUCAAUUAAAGUUUAAAUUAUUUGGAAAAUUAUAAAAAAUAAUUUUAAUAUUAUUUAUAGGAAGAUAUUUUGUUUAUUGUAAAAUCUUUUUAACCCAAAGGUUUAUUUAAAAUUGUUAUAAUAAAUAAAAUAUAAAAACAAAAUAAAUAUCAUAAUUUAAAAUUUUAAUAUUAUUUUAAAUAUUAAAAAUACUUUAAUGCUAUUAGUCUACUACAAAGGUUAUAUUACUUAUAUUAUAUUUGUAUAAAUUAAAACUUUUAAAGUUAAAUUUUUAAUUACUAUAUUGAAAAGGUAUUAUGGUUAAAAUAUGUUUUGGCAUUUCUUUUUAAAAAUUUGAGGGUCUGCAUGACAAUUUGUCCAAAUCCUAGAGGUAUAGGUGUCUUUUUUUUUCGAUAAUUCAUUUUACUUUUGAGGGAAUCCGAUGAGAAAUAAGAUAAGAGAAACGUCAAUUUAACGUUCUCUAUGGAAAACCAAGAACUAUUCAAUUUUGUAUUUUUUGUUUGUAAAACGAAAAACAGUUUGCCAAAAAAGGUACCAAACAUAUCCUUAAUGUCUCACAUGAUUUCUUAUUAAGUCCAUACUCGAUAUAUUUAUACAUUUUAGGUAUUUUAGUUAUAAAAGAAGUUGGUCCUCCCUCUAUUUAUAAAAGGUAACUUUAUUUCGAGAUUACCACUAAAGUCUUACAAAGAAUUAGUGUAAUGUUAACAGAGAGUAACAUAGUUUUCCAUUACCAUUUUGAAAAUAGAAAGAUAUGGAUGUGUGCAUUUAAUGGUGUGUUUACUUACCGGAUUGAGGAAUCAGAAUCUGGAAUUAGAAUGAUUGAUGGUGUUUACUUCGCAAAUAUGGAGCAGGAAUCGGAACUGGAAUGGUGGGGCCCACCACUAUUUGGGAAUGAGAGAUUGAUUCCCAUGGGGGAAGGUGGGAACGAGUCUCCCAUUCCCUGGACUGACCAUUUUGCCCUCCCUCAAAAUUAAAAAUGCCUACUUUGUCCUCUUUUAUAAUUAAUUAAUAUAUAAAUAUUUUAAUAACUAUAAUUAUUAAAAAUUAUAGUUCUUGAAUAAAUAAUCACAAUAAUUAAUUUAUUAUUUUUAUUUUUAUUUUAAUUAAUUAAUAUACUAUUAUAAUAAUUAUAAAUAUAAUUAAUUUAUAUAUUAUUAUUAUUAUUAAUGAAUUAAUAUAAUUAUUACUAUUAAUUAAUAUAUUAAUAUAUUAUUAAAAAUAAUAUAUUAAUAAUUAUUGUUCGUGAACAAAUAAUCACAAUAAUUAAUAUACUAUUAUUUUAAUUAAUUAAUAUAAUUAAUUUAUAUAUUAUUAUUAUUAUUAAUGAAUUAAUAUAAUUAUUACUAUUAAUUAAUAUAUUAAUAUAUUAUUAAAAAUAAUAUAUUAAUAAUUAUUGUUCGUGAACAAAUAAUCACAAUAAUUAAUAUACUAUUAUUUUAAUUAAUUAAUAUACUAUUAUAAUAAUUAUUAAUAUAAUUACUAUAAUUAAUUCAUAUAUUAUUAUAAUUAAUUAAUUAAAUUAAUAUUAUUAAAUAAAUAAAUAAUAUAAUUAUUACUACUAAUUAGUAUAUUAAUAUAUUAUUAAAAAUAAUUAUAAUUUUUGAAUAAAUAAUCACAAUAAUUAAUAUAUUAUUUUAAUUAAGUAAUUAAUAUUAAUAUUAUUAGUUAAUAUAUUUUUAUAAUAAUUUUUAAUAUAGUUAUUAUAAUUAAUUAAAUUUUGUUACAAUUAAUUAAUAUAUUAGUUAAUAAUAAUUAUGACAAUAAUCCACUAAGUAUUUUUGAGUAAUUUGUUACAAUCUAAUUCAUUUUGAUUCCGAUUUCAAGACAAAGUAAACACAUUAAUGACAAUCUAGCUCAUUCCGAUUUCGAUUCCUACAGUUCAAGUAAACAACUUAUUUUGAUUUUCAUUACCUAUUUACAUUCCAGCCCAUUCUCAUUUCUUCCCAUUCUCAUUUCUGCCAAUUCCAAUUCCAGCUCAUUCCGAUUCCAGUUUAGUAAACGCAGCAUAAGAGUUAUCAUGAAAAUCAUACAAUUCAAUUUCCUGAAAUAUAUAUUUUAUUCACAUGUGCCAAAAGAAUAAAUAGAUAGAAAGUAAAUUUACAAUCCUCACUCCCUCACAAUUGUUAAAGUGAAUAUGCAUUACAACUGUGAACUGUCACUACUUUAGCCCCUUUUUUUUUUUCAAUUAUAGUGUGAUGGAGACAGUGAACAUCAAGGAUAAAGUGCUCUGCUGAAAGCGGAACUUCCUCUGGCUAAUUAAUUUGGAAGUAAAACAGAGAAUAAAGUCCUACAUGCCUUCUGAAAUUAGAAAUACAUUUUAUAUGCUUUAAUUAUGAUUAUUUGGUAGACUAUUGACCAAAAGACAUGUUAAAGUAUAAAACAGAGCGAUUAAAGAAAAAAAAAGGAGUGUUUGUGACGUAGAAUAACAAUUUGUAAGUAAAGUCCUAAUUUGAGUUGUCAAAAAGCAAAUAUAACAGGGAAGGUAAGAGGGAUGCAGAAACAGAAAACUAUUAGCUUAUCUUGAUUUUCCCACUAUAUUCAUUUUCGAUGCUUUUCAAACGAGAUUCUUUUAAUCCUUCUGGCGUCUGCAGCCCCUGGUCUUCUUAUAAAUUUCCAUCCCACAUCUGCACUAGGAACAAGUUGAUUGAAAUUAAAUAACAUUGGAGAUGACGGACAGAUGAGCCGUCAACUUGGUAAAAAAACUAUGUUAAUAUUGUUAAUAAUAAAAAAAAAUAUAAUAAUCAUUACAAAGAAUCAUAAAUUAGAAAAAUUAAUUAUUUUACAAUCUAUUUCGUAAGUAAGAUAAAUCUUGUAAUAAGUUAAGUUAUAACGUAAAAAAUAUUUUCAAUUUAUAAUCAUUUAAGAACUCAUUUAACAAUAAAAUCUUUCUUUUGAUCAAUUGGUCAUGCCACAGAGUAUCAUCUAUAUUCGUGGUGAUAUUAUUAUUACUCCGUAUUCUCAAAAAACACGAUUUAACAUUUAGAGAAAAUUCCUACCUUUUAAAAAGAACAUGUAUGCAACAGCUACCCAUACUUUAUCUUACCACGACAAAACUAAUGGUGACUAAAUCAAUUUUCUCGAAUAAAGCAAAAUUUCUUAAAAUUAAUUUAAUAUACAAAUAUGAUGACAUUUUGCAAAAAUUAGUUUUGGAAAAUAUAGUGACAAAAAAUAGUAAUGAUUAUUGUUUAGAUGUGUAAAUAGCCUAAACAUGAUCCCUAAUACCAAUAUCCACGUACAUCUUAACACCUUUCGUGAUAUUCUUUCAUUCAUGGUCACUGGUUCAAGAUUUGAAUUUGAUCAUUAAAUCAUGUUCAAUAAUAUUAGAGAUCCCAACAAUUAAGUACCAACUUAAAUCCUAAUGCUAUGUGUCAUUGACAAAUGUUGUGUCAUUUUUUGUUAACUGAGUGAUGAAUUUCUAGUUGAUAAAAUUACUUAAAAAUAUCUUAAAAAUCAGACAAUAGUUUGCUUAAUUUUUUGAAGCUAACUGCUCAAGAUGCUCUAUUAGAAAUGAUAACCUAAUUAUAUACAUAAAAAAUGAUGUAUUUUUUGCGGUGUUGAUAGUGAGAUUAUCAUUCAACAUGUUAAAAUAUGAAAACAUAUGGAAGAAGGUUGUAAAUUGAUUGAAUGAAAAUAUUUCAGUGAAGUCUAAAAAAUUUGGUACUUGUUAUCUUAUCGAAAGUUUUCUAAAUUACAUUCGUGGCACUGCCACUGCUUCCAUGUGAAGGUCAUUAAAAUUUGUGUUAGUUACCUAUAUGUUGAAUAAUAAUUUUAUUCAUGAAUUGUUGCUCAAUAUAGCAGUUUCUAGAUGAAUUUUCCUACAUGUUUGUCCUCAUAUGACCUAGAAUGCUGCUAUAUCAAUUGUAUUGGAAAUUAUUCAAGUGGGUUUGUGCUCUAUACCCCCACCAAAAUUUAAGCAAUCUACAGAACAUUCCUUGUGGAAAGAAACUUAUUUCGCUACUAGGUGGGAGUAGAUUUCUAAGCUAAUGCUCGGCAGAUCUCUAGGCUAUACUAAAAAGUGUAUGCACUUUGACUCUCAAUAUAUACGAGUGAUUCUAUGAUGACUGAAAACAUCAGUACAUGCAUGAUUUUAUAAGAAAGAAUAUUCUAAAAUUAUUUAUGUAUCACCAUUUGUAGUUGUACCCUCUCGAAUGAAGGUGCAAUCAGCAACUAAAAUGAAGCCCGAAAUGUACACGCGUGAGGCAGUUUUUCUAGAAGAUUGAUACUUCUCAAACUAGCAAACCGUACAAGUCCAAAGCUAGAAAAGGAGUGCUUCUAAGCAGAAAACAUUGAUUAAAACAGAAUACACACACACAUACCAGUAAAUUCAAAAUAGAAAAAGGAGUUCAACUGUUCAAGUUUGUGGACAAUAUUGCAACCGUGGCAUAUUUAUAGCAAAUCCUUGAAAUCUGCUAAAUAAACAAUGCCCUGUCUCAUGAAUCAAAGCCGAAUUAAAAUUGAAAUUGAAAGUCCGGCUGGUGUUGUUUCCCUCUCCAGUUUUGCCCACAUAAGUGAAGGGAAAUGAGAAUCAUAAAUUAAAAUCUGCUUUUACAGUUUUUUAUUAGAUAGAUAUAAAGGGAUCUUUUUUGUUUCUCUGCUGCAAUUUGUGGCUAUCCCACUCUGUUUUGCCACUCAAGCUUAGUCUACGUUGAGACAUAAUUUUGACAUCAGAAGCAACCUCAAUUAGUUUGGCAUUUUUAUGACCUCCUUGUACGUUUUACGAUAAACAUAAAUCUACUGAGAAAGUGUGAAAAAAAGAAAAUGCAUAUAAAAGUAUGAGUUAUCAGACAUGAUUAAAACUCACCCAAUUCAAUCCAUUAGAUUCCGUAAGGAUAUAACUGGAUGUCAUACCGCCACUCCAUAUCCUCGAAAGUCCGUAGUCUUUGUCUCAACUCUGUCUGAGGCCAAUGUAAAUCCAAUUUGCGCAAGCUCUUUAUGCACCACAGCUCUUCUGGAAGCUUUCUCAAGUAAGCACAUGGGUUGACAAUUAAGCUUUCAAGUUUUGGCAUUGCUCCAGCCCCCAUCGUCCACUCAUCUAGCCAAUACAUUGAUUUCAGGUGCAAAACCCUAAGUUCCAGAAAGCAACCAGAGCCAACGCAGGCCAGCUUUCUUCCUAAAUACGAGUUCUGUUUCAGUUUCAGCACUUGAAGGCUUGGAAGCUUUUCCAGCAUUGGCAUGGGAUCCUCCAUUAGCUCAGUAUUCGAUAAGCUCAGAUGGCUCAGACUUGGAGGAAAUUGGUAUUCAGACAGGACAAUCCGUGAGCGCUUGCUCUCAUUCACCAGCUUCAAGCAUUCAAGUUUGUGGAGUUCGCAUAGGCUUUUGGAAACCCCAGAGUGAUAGCAACUCAAAUCUCCAGAUAUCCGAAGAGUUUGAACAUUAGGCAGUCUGCCCAAUAUAUCUGGAGUACAACUACUAGGGUGUAAGGCUGAUAUGAAAAUGAGAUUUUUCAGAGAGCUGCAAUAAUUUUUUGGAGGUGCAGGCAGAGUGAUGGAACCGAAGUUUAGAUGCAUGAGUUUUUGCAUCAUCCAAAUAUCCUCUGGUGAAUGAUCUAUGUAGCUUGAUGGCAUUUGUAGUGUUUGAAGGUUUAAAAGGGUGCAUAGCAUUGAAGGAAGGCAUUUGAGCGAAGGGAUAUUCAAUUUCAAAUACUUCAAAAGGAAUAAAUUUUCUAAUCCGGGUGGAAAUUGGUCGAGAACUGCAGAACCGAAGUUCAGUACCCGAAGGUGUUUGAACUUUUUACAAAAAUUCUCGCAAUCUAUAAGAGCGAGAUGAUCGCUUUCUGAACUGUGAUUCAGAAAAGAUUGGAGAUACAUGUCAGAAUAUUCUAAAGAAAGGAACUCAAUCAGAUCUUCCAAAAUGAAGCACCGUUUAACAUUUGCCAGUGAUUCCUCUUCCAUGUCAGGCGUCCAGACAAAUCUCGUCUUCUCUACUACCAAAGCCAAUAACGUAUAUACAAAACUUGGAACAUAACACGCUUUAAUUGUGCCGCCGGCGCUUCUCUUACUCACUUGAAUGAAGCCGCGAUGGAUUAGUUCUUUCAAGUAAUGUUCGGCAGUUUCUUCACCGUUGUAUGGUAUGAAACCUUCAGCUACCCACAACUGAUAUAAUUGCCUCGUUGAUAUCUCAUUGCAUGAAAGGAAGACACACAAAUAGAUGCAGCAGAUUUUCAAGUGAAAAGGUAACUCCAUCACAGAAAAAAGUUGUCUCC